RNAcentral lists this long non-coding RNA (98892 nucleotides) under Fragaria vesca (wild strawberry). Its description in RNAcentral is "long non-coding RNA (FVES_LNC005571)". Lineage: Eukaryota; Viridiplantae; Streptophyta; Magnoliopsida; Rosales; Rosaceae. The record is from RNAcentral.
UUUUCCUUAGAAAUUAAUUUGGGAAACAUAAAUAUUUUAUUUAUUAUUUUAUUUUUGUCCACUCACUCUAACGUUAUUAAAUGUUUUCCCUGGGCCCUUCGUUUUAAAUUGCCCAGUCUGCAGAGUUCGGGUUGGAUCUAGUAGGAGACGAGGCAUAGUCACCCGCAUUUCUGCCAGUUUUCGCCAGUAGGUUACCUGUUCAACCUACUCGUGUUUUCUUGCUUCCGCUUGUGUUUAGUAGCUCUGAAUACUUUAGAAUUUUUGUAUUUUAUGCGAUGUUCAGAAGUGAUAAAUUAAGAGUGUAAUUUGAAAUUUUCGAGUUAGGGUUGUCCAUCUGCAAGGGAGAUUUUCUUAAUCUUUUCAGUAAAUUUUCCUUGGAGGUGUUCCCCGCACGACUUACUCUGGGUUUCAGGGUGAAAUUCGGGGUGGGUCGUGUCAUAGGCAGCCGGGCGUCCCUCAUUCCUCGAGGCAGCUGUGGCCUCAGACCCAGACGGAGGUGUCUGCACCCCGUAUGCCUGAGAUACACCGGGCGCCCACUCCGGGUCCUACUGCUUCGGAUGGUGGGUCAUCUGGGGUACAGAUGCCGCUGCCUCAUCUGUUCCUUCCGCGGAUGAUACCGGCCUUACCUGCAGUCGAUGGCUCAAGGACGCCGAUUUAUCCACUGCCCCCGCCAGUGGCUCCAUCAGCGACAUACCGGUUCGUGCCUUUUGAUACGCCACUUAUUUCCGCGAGGGUAUCAUCAUCGGCGACAGAGACGGAAUCGUCGCGUCCACCGCAUCGCCCUCAGGCAAUGAAAGAUUAAUGAUUUGUUUUCUUAUAAUUAAUAAUAAAGGGUCUCUGAUUUUAAUAAUCAAUUUGGUUUAUCAUGUGAUAGGCAUAGUCGGAGCGAAGCCGACAAAGAAGAAGAGAGGCCCCGUCACAGGGAAGGCUCUCGAGAAGACCGUCAAUACCUCUGGGAGGAUCGUCAUCGAUACUGACGGGGAUGGCCACAUAGUAUCGGGCGGGAAGUCGAGGACGUACUCCGGCCGUGUGGGAGAACUCAUUAGGGAUAGAGUCCCUAUGUUGUUGUCAGACUGGGGCGAGGUCCCACAGGAGGUUAUGGACAUGGUCCACAACGCGAUAUCGGUGAGUUUACAAAAUGCCUCAAUAAUAUUAUGUAUUACAUUGUUGAUUUCUCAAAAAACUAAACUAAUAAACGGUUAAAUACAGGUGUGGUUUGACAAGUGUUGUAUCUGUAGGUACAAGGAGUGGAAGAACGAGUUGCGGACCCACUGGACUACGCACGGGAACGCACGUUCUGGUACCCCUGCUGAGUUCCAGUACAGGGAGUACGAGUGGCGUUGGCUUAUGACAUCAGAAUUCAACGACCCUCAUAAACAGGUAUUUAAAAAAAUUAAUUAGUUAAUUUGUCAUUAAGUACGUCCGUUUUUAAAUAUUUUACUAAUAGUUUAUUUUUUCUUUGAAGGCCGUUUCCUGGGCGAACGCUCAGAACCGGCAACGCAACACAAGGAACCAUCAUGCCUAUUCUAGACCGUUCGUUGUCUUCAUGGACGAGGCGGCAUAUCCUGACGCCCAAGAGGAUAUUAUAAGUCAUCUUAUGUUUUUAAAUUUUAAUUUUACUUAUAUAUAUGUCAAAAUGUUAAUUAAUCAUUUUUCCCUAUCCAAUUACGCGAAGGUGAGGGAGGCUAGUGACGAGGUGAUGAGUGCUAUAGUGAGGGAGGCAUGGCCGGACACGCAGGAGGAAGAGAUGUCUGAAGCCAUGUCUCAGAUCGACACUUCGGAUCCGAGGGUUAGGACGAGGAUCAUGGGCACAUCCUUCCCACCGCGAGGAAACAACUUCUACUGCCGGGGUCUAGGAAAGUAGGGCGAGGGGGUCCUGAAGACCACUCUAGGAUUUCAACGAAAGGUAGCCUCGACCAGCAGCAGGACGACUCAGCUAGAGUCGGAAGUUGAGAGACUACGGGAAUAGCAAGCUUCUCAGGCUGCCGCUCAUGCCGCCCAGACAGCCUAUACUGCCGCGGUAUAUGCCACCCAGCAGGCCCAGCAGCAGCAGAUGUUCCAGUACUUGCAGGAGUUUACAUCUGCCCAGCUUCAGGGACUUUCGGCUCCGCCCAUGCCUACGCCUAUACUGCUACCUCAGCCGCCGCAACCUCCUCAGCAGCAGCCCCCAUAACCGGUGCCGGCGUCUAGGUCGGUCGGAGGUGGCUGGAAAAGCCGGGUCGGGUCACCGGAUCCGGGUCGGGUAGGAUGGAGGACUUUGAAUUCUCUCUGACGCGGCUCGUUUCUGGGCAUGCGACAAUUAUGAACCCUGUUUUGACAAUUGUAGUAUUGGUAAAUAAGCUUCGAUCAAUCCGGGGACUUUUAGGGUGCUCUUGCGUUUACAAAGCUAAACAGAUUAGAGUCUAAUUUAAGAGUUAUUUACAGAAUAUAAACAGCAAUUACAUUUACAUGAUUUCAGGGGGGAUACGAAAACAGUAAAGAAACAUGUUAUGUACAAAUGACCAUCUUCCACACACACACAACCUUCAAACAACAAGUAUGAAUCGAUAUAUUAUCAUGUGAAUAAUAAAAAUGUUGUCAAGCAAGAUAUGUCAAUGAACCCGAAACACAAGCUUGAAGAAGUCAUUGCAUUCCAUCGAAUUCUACUUAAUAAUCUUCUACAUUGGAGAAGUCCUAACACGUAGACAAUCUCAUAUAAAGGCUGCGAUCGAUGCGAAGGCACCCGUCCACACAAUAUACAAGUCAUUAAGAACUAAAGAAUUAUGAGUUCAAAUGCACCACGAGUUUACUUGAAGAAGCUUAACUCCCAGAUGCAUAACAUAUAGUCUCGGCUAUUAGGCAUAGCCUUCACUACUUUUAGAUCUAUACUUACUUGAAGAAGCUUAGUACAAAUCUUAGCAAUCACCAAUCCUGCAGAAUCGGUUUAGUAUAUAACAUGUAACUAUAUGCUUAACAAUUCGCAUGACAAACAAAUAAAACCAUUCACAAUCAUCCAACAUAUCAACAUCAUACUUAUUUAUUUAAAAGAAUAACAAGUUCAAACCAUACAACCAUGCAACUUUGAAUCCGAAUUUAAAGCUAACGCAAGAAAAGAGAACAGGCAUGUUGUUACACUUUUUCGAUGAUCUUCAAGGGCCAGUUGAUGAUGACGCAAGUGCUCCUCAGCUUCAAGAUCUCGGCUGCAGCUUGGAGAAGUCCGAAGGCUGCUCUCCAACGUUGGCUUCUCGGCUUCUAGAUGCACACGGCUACAGGAAGAAAGAUGCUAUUUUUUUUGUGUGAUUUGUGCAUGAAGAGAUGAUCUUCAAAACUCAGCAUAUGUCUUCUAUUUAUAGUGUCCAUGUCGCACCUAGGGUUUAUUCUCCACCCUUGAUUUUACCUUGAUCCAAUAGUCCAAGAGAAUUGCCCGACAAAUUAAUUAAAAUCUAUUGGGAACUCUCUAGAAUUUCUUACGCACAAAGGUGAUGAAUUUGGCUGAAUUAUGGACUUGGUGCGUUGCUUGAUCUCCACAACAAAUCAGCCAUGUAGUGUCCUUCCUUGUAUUGCCGAAAAUCAGCUCUUCCUCUUUAAUUUGCUGCGCCAUUUAUUGUUCCUAAAAUGGGAAGGAAUUAGUCUUGUGAAAUCCGAUUUUUAGACAAAAGAAUUUAAGGAAUUAAUUUCCAGAUUUUAAGAUUUGAAUUGCAUAAUAAAUCCCUUAAUUUAGACAAAGAAAUCUUGUCUUAAAAUCCUAGAAAGACUCAGCAGGAAACCGUAGGGUUUUGCCGUCCCUCUCCUUGAUUUAUGGCGACCAUCUUGGGCCUAAUCCAUGUAGGAUUUGGCAUCCUUGCUUCAUGAGGAAUCCUUGUCUCAAGAGGAAAGAAAGUUUCCAAAAUAAAUUAGGAAAGUCAGAAUAGGAAAGAUUCAAAGAUAGUAUGUUUCCCAAAAUGGAAAAGGUAAGUUUUCUCUUUUCAAAACAGGAAAGUUUCCUAAACGACUUAUCCUUGACUUUUGCGCCUCCUUGAGUUUCCUAGUUGCACCAGGAAUCCUUCUUUGAUUAGGAAUCCGCUCAAUUUUCUCGUUUUAGCUUUCUUUUGUGUUAAUCUGCCUUUAUUGACUCUAAAAUACAAAACAUGUUAGAAAUGGAGUUAUUAAGGAAAUAACGAGGCUAAAUAGGGUAGCAAAUACACUAAGGAAGUAGCAUAAAAUGCGUCUAUCAAAUUCCCCCACACUUAGCUUUUGCUAGGCCCUUAGCAAAACCAAACUAACAAACUGACUCUAAUCAAAACAAAAUAAUUAAACAAGGAAAACAAACAAAUCCGCCACACUUUCACACAAGUGACGGUUAUUAAAACUCUAAUGCCCUUAACUAUUGUCUCAGAUUCUCCAAUCUCAUGGCAUCAAAAUUAGCAUUCAACCAAGAAUCAUUCCAUGAAGUUUCAGAAGCUAGUUGCCAUGCAUAGAUCAACAUAUUUACACGUAGGACCUAAUAGAACAAUGGUGAUAUUUAAGCUCAGCAUGUUUCAAACAAGUAUGAUUCAUUCUCACAAGGUAUGCACUCAUUCUUCACUCAUAUUUUCUGGCUAAAUCACUCAAAAAGUAUGCAAGUUAGAAUAGAAAGCUUGCAUUUAUAUGAACAGAAGCACAAUAAAACAAAUAUAAACCUCAUGAAAGAAUAUGAUUACUCACACAAAUGAACCAUAUCAUAGGCUCAACUCUUGGAACAAACUCCACAGAUCAAGUUUUACUCAUCUUUUAGAUCAAAAGGAACUUUAAAAGGUGUUAAUGGGGCUAGGCUAGGGGUAUGAAUUUAAGGAUAAGGAAUAUGCAAAAUUCCAAAGGACCUAGCAGAGCAUUAUCCAACUCCUUAUGUCGCCAAAAUGAGGACCAAGAUAUCUUUUGUCCUCCAAAAACGUCACUGCACCUCCUUACACAAAAUGAAACAGAACAAAGGCCAAAUAUUUCGAUUUUAGGCCUUCCAUUUACAUCAAAACUCCUAUUCCGCAAAACACAACAAUGUCCAGUAUUUCUUUUCUUCUUUUUUUUUCUGCCGAAAUUUUAUUCUUUAAUUUCUUUUUAUUCUUCUCACGGCAAAUUCUUUCCUCUUUAUACAAUAAGGACAUUACAGAGACUCCUUCCCCCACACUUGCUCUUCAUCCUCAACUCAUGUAGUCUUCAAAUAAAAUGCUCUACUAGGCCCAAAGGACAGGGUAGAGAUAUGUUGUACUAAGCUCAGGUAAAAAUUACAUAGGUGAUGAAAGAAAAGGCUUAAUGUAGGCUCAAAGGGGCUCAAACUAAGGGGUGUGCAGCGCACACAAAUAAGGACACAAGUUUAUUUGGCAAUGGUGAUCAUCCUAAAAAGUUCCAAUUACCCUUUCUAAAAUCAGAGUGUUUUAUGAUUAAAAGUUUCGAAAGUUCACAAGAGUGAGUUCUAGUCAUCUCUAGUUCAUUAAAAGCUAUGGUGAGCAAUCAAUCAAAUUGAAAGAAUAAUGAGGUUUUCACAGUUAUGGCCAAGAAAAUGAAUCAGAAUAUUUCAAUUAUCACUCAGAAAGAAUAGCACAUAUAUAGGCUCAAAAGCUCACAUUUAAGGUUCAUAUGAAUCAAAACUUAUUUUAGCAUGCUCAUUUCUGUACCAGAGAUUCAAAUCAUAUCUACUACGUUUCACAUGAUUUCCAUUUAUUUCAAUUAACUUCAGAAUAUCAGUUGGAAAUCAUCUUGCGAUCUUAUCCAUAAUUUCAGAGACUAUAAUCAUCAUAGACAGUUAAGGGCUCCUAAGACUCAAAAACAAACAAAAGACUAAAAAAAACAAAACGAAAAUUUUUAAAUUUUUGACAUUUUUCAAUUUUUAUGAAUUUUCAAUAAAUGACUCAAUAAACAUGUAAAUCCUUCCCUCACACUUAAACUCUACAUUGCUCUCAAUGUAGAACAGAAUAUAGCAUGCAACAUAGAAUAAAGCAUGGAAACAGGAAUUCACAACAAAACAACCCUAAACAAAAACGAAUUAACAAAAAGUAAGAGUUUAAAGUUGAGAAAGCUCCCCCUUGUAGAUAUCCCAUACUCACAGCCUUCGGGUAGGAUUGAAAUUUAGGCACCUACCUCAAGGUACAAGACCUUGACCUUCAAAUGAAAGAUCCUUGCAAUUGAUACUUCAAAGUAGAUGUAGGGUGUCCAUAGAAUGGAGAAACACUUGGGAUGUCCGUGCAAAUUUUCUGACCUGAUUUGCUGCAAAGUCAGUAGAGCUGCAUUGCAAAAACAAGAUAUUAAUCCAACUUUCACAAAAUUAAACCUAGAAAAACAAAAAUAAAAAUAACGAAAUAAAAAUAAAGAAAAAGUUGUCCAAAAAUAGUUGCAAAAAGGUGCAACAAACCACUAAUAAGUCUAAUACAGUAUCCAAAAACUUGAACUGGAAAUAAAAACAAAAAGACUCAAAAUUGCACAAAUGUGCGACUUGAUGUAGGGCUGCCUCCCUAGAGCGCCUCAUUUAACGUCCAUUAGCUAGACGGAUGACUCCUUUAGUCUUCAUCCGCAAAGGCUAGUUUGGUGUCGAAAUUGUUCUCCCAUCCUUGUGCGUGAAGAUACUCAUCCUCCCAUGGUGAGCCAUGUGAAGUAUAUGACCUUGGUGAGUUUCCGUGGCUUCCAUGGCUAAAGUUGGAGUCAUUGUCCUCCUCCUCUUCACUAUUUUCUUCUAGUUCUUCCUCUUCCUCACGUUCCAAUUCUUGAGCUGCUUCCUCAAAAUCAGCAUCAACGGCUCUAUUGAAGACAAAUUCCACCUUGGGGGCCAUAGAGUGAAUCUCUUUCUCUACUUUGUUCAUUUGCUGCCCAAAUUUUGCUUGCUCCUUCGUUAGCUGUUCAAUGCUUGCUAGCAGCUUGUUCAUUUGAGAUUCCUCCUUCUUUUUGAUCAUUUGGUGGGGCGGCAUGAAAUAAAGAGAUGGUUGAGGUGGUGGUGGUGAUCUCGGAUGGUGGAGUAGAGAUGGUUGAGGGAGACUUGUUGGAUUAUAGAAGUGACGUGGCAUCUCUUCCUUUCUUGCUGGAUUCAUUUCAAUACGUGCCACAUGUUCUUUCUUCAGCCCUCCAAAAGCAAACCUUUUCAGAAAACGUUCUUGGCAUUGGCUCCAUGUAACGGCAUUAUGGUCCACUCGGUAAUUAUACCAGUACUUUGCUUCUCCUCUCAAACUCCGACUGAAAACCAAGAUUGUCAAGGUCUCCAACUCAAUUUCAGGGCACACCAUGUGCUCACACAUCCUCUUCACAUGGUCUAAAUGAGCCUUGGGGUCUUGUUCUGCCCCAUAAAAAUCAGGAACGGCGUUGAGGAUGGUUUGUAUCAAUUGCUCCUUGUUUAAGCGAGGAAGGCACUCAAAGAUUGAUUUAGGUGCUGGUGUCGACAUUUCAUUGGUGAACACUUGCACAAAUUCUUUCUUGCAUUCCUCCCAAGUGCUCUCAUGAUUCAACUCCUCUUGGAACCAUCUAUAGGCCUCUCCUUUCAAACUCCUCAUGAAGGCAUUAACAGCUACUUCUUCAGCAUGGUUUGGUGCCAUAAGUUUGCUCACAUCCUCCACAUAGGUAAGGUGAUUUGCUGCAUCCGCCUUGCUUAUUCCAUCGAAAUUUGGGAAGAAUUUGAGCACCUUGUGCAUCUCCUCAUGAUGUUCAAAAGAGUUGAUGAUGUCCUUGAUAUAAAUUUGGUUUGAGGCCGACAUCUGUUUAUUCAAAGAAUUGUUAGUAAUAAAACAUACAAUUUACAGAAAUUAAAAGUAAAGUAAGACAAGUUAAACAACAACUGAGUUUUCAUAAACACAUAAGACACUACACGUCUGCAUUAUCCUAUGCUUAAGUUUAUUUCAACUCUACACUUAGGUACGGGAACAGAGGACAAUGGUGUGUAAUGGGGCUGAAACAGCUACCCAAUCCAUAGUCAUGUUUGAUCCAAUAUACCUUAGUGCAACUUACACAGUUUAAACAACAACAAUACAACACUACUGAUUUUAAAUUUUAUUCACCCUUCAAAUUCAUAUCUCAAAUUGUAAACUGUAUUGGUGGGGACAUAGGCAUUGACAUCUAAACAUAACCAAUUCCGUGGUUUCAGAAGGCUAAAAUGGCAUGGCCGAAGUGAAACGGGCUGGUAGGGUUUCGUUUUUAGUGGGCUACGGAGGUCGAAACCCCCGUCGUGCUUACACACAGUCUAUAGCCCUUUGAAACCCAAUUUUGGUCCCAGUCGCUUACUCGGCCUUGGCACCACUCAAAAUGCCCCUUACUCAGCUAGGAAGUACUUGUAUUUUCGAUUAUCCAACAAGAGCACAAUAUGGGCCGCCCUCAACCUCGAGAGACCUUAAAAAGGAACUCACGAAGGGUUAAGGCCCAAAUCUGCUUUGCGGCCUUUUUAACUAGACAGUUUACCAAAUGAGAUAUAAACCUGAAAAGAAAUAAAACAAACAAUCAGUAACAAAAUUAUUUAAGUACACUAAAUAAAUUAACUAAAAGAAGACCGUAGGAGACUUUUAAAGUCAUCGGCAACGGCGCCAAAAUUGACGCGGCUCGUUUCUGGGCGUGCGACAAUUAUGAACCUUGUUUUGACAAUUGUAGUAUUGGUAAAUAAGGUUCGAUCAAUCCGAGGACUUUUAGGGUGCUCCUGCGUUUACAAAGCUAAACAGAUUAGAGUCUAAUUUAAGAGUUAUUUACAGAAUAUAAACAGCAAUUACAUUUAUAUGAUUUCAGGGGGGAUACGAAAACAGUAAAGAAACAUGUUAUGUACAAGUGACCAUCUUCCACACACACACAACCUUCAAACAACAAGUAUGAAUCGAUAUAUUAUCAUGUGAAUAAUAAAAAUGUUGUCAAGCAAGAUAUGUCAAUGAACCCGAAACACAAGCUUGAAGAAGUCAUUACAUUCCAUCGAAUUCUACUUAAUAAUCGUCUACAUUGGAGAAGUCCUAACACGUAGACAAUCUCAUAUAAAGGCUGCGAUCGAUGCGAAGGCACCCGUCCACACAAUAUACAAGUCAUUAAGAACUAAAGAAUUAUGAGUUCAAAUGCACCACGAGUUUACUUGAAGAAGCUUAACUCCCAGAUGCAUAACAUAUAGUCUCGGCCAUUAGGCAUAGCCUUCACUACUUUUAGAUCUAUACUUACUUGAAGAAGCUUAGUACAAAUCUUAGCAAUCACCAAUCCUGCAGAAUCGGUUUAGUAUAUAACAUGUAACUAUAUGCUUAACAAUUCGCAUGACAAACAAAUAAAACCAUUCACAAUCAUCCAACAUAUCAACAUCAUACUUAUUUAUUUAAAAGAAUAACAAGUUCAAACCAUACAACCAUGCAACUUUGAAUCCGAAUUUAAAGUUAACGCAAGAAAAGAGAACAGGCAUGUUGUUACACUUUUUUGAUGAUCUUCAAGGGCCAGUUGAUGAUGACGCAAGUGCUCCUCAGCUUCAAGAUCUCGGCUGCAGCUUGGAGAAGUCCGAAGGCUGCUCUCCAACGUUGGCUUCUCGGCCUCUACAUGCACACGGCUACAGGAAGAAAGAUGCUAUUUUUUUUGUGUGAUUUGUGCGUGAAGAGAUGAUCUUCAAAACUCAGCAUAUGUCUUCUAGUUAUAGUGUCCAUGUCGCACCUAGGGUUUAUUCUCCACCCUUGAUUUUACCUUGAUCCAACAGUCCAAGAGAAUUGCCCGACAAAUUAAUUAAAAUCUGUUGGGAACUCUCUAGAAUUUCUUGCGUACAAAGGUGAUGAAUUUGGCUGAAUUAUGGACUUGGUGCGUUGCUUGAUCUCCACAACAAAUCAGCCAUUUAGUGUCCUUCCUUGUAUUGCCGAAAAUCAGCUCUUCCUCUUUAAUUUGCUGCGCCAUUUAUUGUUCCUAAAAAGGGAAGGAAUUAGUCUUGUGAAAUCAGAUUUUUAGACAAAAGAAUUUAAGGAAUUAAUUUCCAGAUUUUAAGAUUUGAAUUGCAUAAUAAAUCCCUUAAUUUAGACAAAGAAAUCUUGUCUUAAAAUCCUAGAAAGACUCGGCAGGAAACCCUAGGGUUUUGCCGUCUCUCUCCUUGAUUUAUGGCGACCAUCUUGGGCCUAAUCCAUGUUGGAUUUGGCAUCCUUGCUUCAUGAGGAAUCCUUGUCUCAAGAGGAAAGAAAGUUUCCAAAAUAAAUUAGGAAAGUCAGAAUAGGAAAGAUUCAAAGAUAGUAUGUUUCCCAAAAUGGAAAAGGUAAGUUUUCUCUUUUCAAAACAGGAAAGAUUCCUAAACGACUUAUCCUCGACUUUUGCGCCUCCUUGAGUUUCCUAGUUGCACCAGGAAUCCUUCUUUGAUUAGGAAUCCGCUCAAUUUUCUCGUUUUAGCUUUCUUUUGUGUUAAUCUGCCUUUAUUGACUCUAAAAUACAAAACAUGUUAGAAAUGGAGUUAUUAAGGAAAUAACGAGGCUAAAUAGGGUCGAAAAUACACUAAGGAAGUAGCAUAAAAUGCGUCUAUCACUCUCGGGGUCGGACAGAGAGAAGGAGAGGGAGGAAAAUCUGGUUUCUGAAAAACUGAGGGCCCAAACUGAAAAUUUCCUAUUUAACCUAAAUAUUCCCGAAAAGCCACAUCUUCCGCUGACCAUAACUUCCACAUACGAAGUCCGUUUUACGCGUGCCACGUGUCUACGAACUCGUAUCGUUGUGCUCUACAACUUUCGUGAAUGAAGUUUCCCGAGAAACCCAACCAAUUAAAAAGUCAACUCUUAACCCUUCAAAAUAGAGCAUUUUCACGGAACAAAAAAAACUCUACUACUUCCAGUCCACUCACUAAACCACAAAUCCAUACAAUUCUUACUUAAAUAAUUUCCAAAAUAAAAUUAGAAACUAAUAUUAAAAUUCCGGGGUAUUACACUCUACCCUCCUUAAAGAAAUUUCUUCCUCGAAAUUUAAACACACUAAUCCACACUUCACCUAGUGGAAACUAAUCAACCAGAGACACACUCCCCUACAUAAAGUCACUAUCACCACACUGCUAAUUGUCAGGACUCACCCCGGAUUUCCCCUUGAAAUCCUGCAUAAACCUUGCGGGACCCUCCUCAAGGGAAAUUCUACCAAAAUUUUGGCAUAACCACCUUUGAAAAUGGGUAACCCUACCUGAAAGAAAAUUCACCAAAAUGCAGAUACUUAGAAAACAAAUUAAUCCACAUCUCCUGAAGCCACCCGCUCCCCCAAAUAAACAUCCACCACCUCAACAAAAGUAAUAAUUCAAAAUAAAUUCAUGAAUUUAAUCUCUCAUACAAACAAACCAAAAAUUCUUUUUCAACACUCCUAAGUUAAGUCGCAAGCCAUAACACAACACACAAAUUACACAAGAAUGUGAACUCAAAACAAAACAAUAUCUGCAUCACAUCAUCGUCAACUCACUAUGACACUACAAGCUUUCAUAAGAACUUUGCCACACAAUAUAAAUUAACACUGCUACAAGUCAAUAAAUCAUGAAGGCAUCAGAUCCACACAAAAACUCAUUCACACAGAAGGUCUACCACACAAAUUUUAACUACAUUCACAAGGCAUAAACAACAAGACUUCACCCACCGCAACCUAACAAUAGUUAAACAAAUAGCUCACCUGAAUACUACUGGGUCGGAGGCAACUGCCUCUGCUGGAACCCCUGUCUGUCCUCUUGAGGUCGAGUACACUCCCUAGCCAAGUGCCCCACCUGCCCACAACUAUAGCAAGCCUGAGUCUUCCGCUUGUGACACUCCCUAGCAAUAUGUCCUAACCCAUCGCAACGGUAGCAUCUCAAGGGCUCUACCUGUCGGAUAGGUGCAGCUGGCACCGUAGCUAGAGCCUGCUGAUCGGUCCGCUGCCUCUUCCCAGACGCACCAUGAUGACCCUCAACGCCACUGCCUCCUGCAACGGCCUUCCCCUUCCCAUGCACAUCUCUUAGUCCCUCAGCCUCAUGCAUGGCCUCCUCUUGCUCAACUGCAAGGGCACUCUCUACCACUUCUGCUAGAGUAGCAAAACGAUGUGAACUCACAACAUUCCGGAGCUUAUGCCUCAAACCCCGAAUAAACUUCCGUGACAAGGCCACUGCAUCCAUCUCUCUCGCGAAUCGAUACAGCUGAGAAAAACGUGCCUCAUAGUCCCUGACACUCAUCAAGCCCUGCACUAGAGUUAUGAACUCAAGCUCCAACUGCUCCCUCACAGUAUCAGGAAAAUACUUCUCCCGAAAGAGCUAUACGAACCCCUCCCAAGACAAAGAGGUCACAUCUCUAGCUCUCUCUACCCCGCUCCACCAUACCCUUGCCUCAUCCUUGAGAAGAAACGUAGCAAUACGCAUCUUCUCAAUCUCCGUACACGUGAUAAGGGUAAAGUAUGUCUCCAUGCCCUCUAUCCAGUGAUCUGCUACAAGGAAGUCCGUACCUCCAAGAAAGGAAGGCGCUCCUAACCUAAUGAUACCCUGAGCCAGCCUGGCCAAUCGUAGACCAUCAUCUACUGCAGCUGGCACCGACUCCUCCAACACCACCUCCUCCUCAAGGAAAUCAUCCACAGGUGGAGCCCUACCUCUGCCUCUGGCCCCACCUGCCUCUCUAGCCCUACCGGCCCCUCGGGCCCUACUGGCCCCUGGUUAACUCAUGCAUAAAACUUAAACCAAAGUAUAAGUCAAAUGCAACAUUUAUUAACCAAGGCACUAGCUCAGGGUGGACACAAAGAUUCAAAAUCCCACUAACAAAGUACUCUCUACUCUGACAUCCUAUUGACCUAGAGGCAACACCUAACCCUUCACAUACCCAAUGACAUAUCAAUACCGAAGAGCUUAUGAUGGUGAUCUGCUGCAGUCGGGCCAUCACUCCGAAGUAAUGAUUAUCACCAAAUAUGUAAACCUAGGCUCUGAUACCACACUGUCACGCUCCAAUUUUCGAAGGAUAAAAUUUCAAAAAUUUGGGCAUGAUAAAACUCAAAUUCUAAUUAUCCCAAAACCUGCUCAACAACUAUCAAACUAAAAACAGAUCCUGGAAAUGUAAAUGUCAACAAACUCAACAACUGAGUUAAACAUUUAUUCUCCUUAAUUACAUCAACUUCCAAAAGUCUAGUAAUAAACAACUUAGCUCACAAGAGCUUAAAACAACUACCAUAAAAAUACAAAUAAAUGUAUCUCGUCAAAAACCCAACUCCUAGGCCACUGCCUCAACCCUGCUGAUCAUCACCUGCAGGUCUAACACCUACACCAUGAAUUGGUGCACCGGGUUGUAAACAACAAACCCGGUAAGCUAAAAAACUCGUAUGAGUAACUCCCAAAUAUUAACUCAACAAUUCUAACAUCACAUAUAAAUAAAAUUGGUAAUUCCUGCAUUAAUAACUUAGUUCAGGAAUCACCUAAAAACAAGAGAAAACAAAAGAACAAUUAAGAAGAACACAAUAAUUCAAAAUCAUUGAAAAUCAUAAAUGAAACAAAUAAUUAAAAGGAAACGCAACAAUUCACAAUCAAACAAAUCAAAAUGAAAUCCUACAAAAAGGCAUAGUUCAGGAAAUACUUAAAACGAGGAAUUUUAAAAGACAACAAAUAAGAACCUCAAACAAUUAUUUCUCUACUCUUACUUAUGAGUUCGCCAACACUUAGUCAUCCCCCAUAAGUAACCAACAAAUGCGUACUCAUGGGUUCGUCAACACUUAGUCAUCCCCCAUGAAGUACCGAUUGACAGACUAGAGCUUUAUACUGACCGUAACCAAUCACCCGGCCAAGGCUUGGUUUCCGGUCCACUACAAAGGCUCCUAAUCUAAUGCACACCAUCACCACUAAGGCACACAUUCUAUUACUCUCACGUCAUAACACUUAUCAAAUCAUAAAAUAAUAAUAUCAUAACCGUAACCAAUCACCCGAUUAAAGGCUUGGAACCCGGUUUGACUAUUUAAACAACAAUUCACAAUAUAAAAAUAUCAUCAACAACAGCACAAGAGCACUUCAUAAAUUAUAUCUUUCCACCUAAAUAUAUUUAUAUAACAAAGACAUAGAUAUUCUCACUAGAAUAAAAAUAAUCAACAACCAAUAUUUCAGCAUCACAAAUCACNNNNNNNNNNNNNNNNNNNNUUUCUUAAGAACCCAUGUGAGAUUUACUCACAAUAUUAAAAAUAGCAUCAUAAUCAUCAAUCAAACCUAUUACCAUCGUCAUCAUAAUAAUUAUCAUCAUGAUCAUCAUAUCAUCAACAUUUCCAUCAACAUUUUCAUCAUCAUCAUACAAUUAUCAUCAUCAUCAUCAUAUCAAAAUCAACAUCACAAUCAUCAUCAUAAUCAUCUUCAAAAUCAACAUCAUAAUAAUUAUAAAUGAUGGGUCCGAAAGUGGACCUUAGUGAGAUGUUACUCACCUCAAAUCCAACUGCAUCUUCGCACGCACAACACAAGCAUAUAACACAAAACCACACCACAAGUCACCUAUUAACAAAAACGUUAACCUUAGUAACUUAUGAAAAUAACAUUAUCCGACUCGAACCGAAACUCAAGUCCUAACCCACGAGCUUAUCACUCGAGACAAAUCCUCCUCCUUGACCUCUAAAAGGUCGUUGAAACGUCAUACACAUCCUAUAGAACUACUAACCAAAUUCUCAUGUUCGGAUUACUCAAAAAAUGAAACGAACGAAACUUAACACCACGGGGAAACCCUAGCAUGCAAUAAAGAUAACCAAAACCUACAACCCACAAAUCAUCACGCUCGUAUCGAAGAGUAUUAUCUAACCAGCACCACAAAACACCCCAGACACUACCGGACGCGCCGCCACGCGCCACCACAGGCGGCGGCGAGUGGGCCCCACGCGCCACGACGAAACGUCCGAAUUUGGGCAAACUCAAAACAUCAAAUUUGUAGAUUGAGAAGAGAGGAGCAUCUUUUAUACCUGAGGGUUCAACUAGUUCGGCCGGAAAUCACCGGAAAUGCGUCUGAAAGUUUGGAAUCCACCACCGCCACUCUCCGCGGUGAGUCGCGCUCCAAGGCCACCAGAAGUCGGACCAGGACGCCAAGGAGCUUCUAUCCCGACCGAUCUCUCGCCUUGUCGCCGUCGUCGGAGGUUUGAAACCUGACCGGGUCUCUAACCCGAAAUUCCGAGCUUCGGGUCACCACUUCGGGACCGAAUCGGCGCAAGUCACCACCGCAGGGUAGCUCAGACGGAGGAGAGGAAGAGAACCCGACCGGUGCCAGCGUCUAGGUCAGUCGGAGUGGCCGGAAAAGCCGGGUCGGGUCAUCGGGUCUGGGUCGGGUUGGCUGGAGGACUUUGAAUUCUCUCGGGGUCGGACAGAGAGAAGGAGAGGGAGGAAAAUCUGGUUUCUGAAAAACUGAGGGCCCAAACUGGAAAUUUCCUAUUUAACCUAAAUAUUCCCGAAAAGCCACAACUUUCGCUGACCAUAACUUCCACAUACGAAGUCCGUUUUAUGCGUGUCACGUGUCUACGAACUCGUAUCGUCGUACUCUACAACUUUCGUGAAGGAAGUUUCCCAAGAAACCCAACCGAUUAAAAAGUCAACGCUUAACCCUUCAAAAUAGAGCAUUUUCACGGAACAAAAAAAACUCAACUACUUCCAGUCCACUCACUAAAUCACAAAUCCAUACAACUCUUACUUAAAUAAUUUCCAAAAUAAAAUUAGAAACUAAUAUUAAAAUUCCGGGGUAUUACAGUGAUAGUUACAGAAGUUGCAGUGGGUGUUGAGAGGAACGAUUUGGUGUAUAGUUUGUAGCUAGAAUCGGUGGUCGGCCUUGGAGGCUGACCGCCACUGCCGGCGGCGCGUGAUGCACGUGCGACCUCUUCAGGUGAGUCGAAUUAGCUUGUUAGGUAGGGUUCGUAACAACAAACCCAUCGGUGUAUGAUCUACCAAUUUUGGUGAUCGUAUGACUUAGUCGAAAGUUUCCAAAAUGUGAACAUUGGUUUGUUUAGAUGGUGAACGAGCCGUAUAUCUUGUUUUGGUAGAGAUAGGAGAGCAUUGGGGGUUGUUGGGAAUUUUCGGAAAAUUUUAUAGUUGUGAUGAUCAUUUUGGGUAGAUUCUAUUCAACGUGGAAUCGAUAGUUUUGGAUUUUUAGCUUAGGUUAUAAGAAAUGCCUUAGAUAAAUUUAGUUUUGGUUAGACUCUAUAGUAUGGUAUGAUUAAUGGUGGAGAUAUCUUGUUGGGUGAGUGGACACUUUGUUUUGUUAAAAGAAUAUGCAUGCAUGAUCUCUUUUGGAAAUUAUCGUUCUAAUUUCCGAGCUUAUAUUAUAAUUUCAGUUUAUAAUAUGGUUUUGAGAUUUAUUUGAGUUUGAGGGAUUGAUUAAGUGAUGAUCAUGAUUUAAGGAUUUAAGCUUGGGUUGUUAAUUUGGUAUUUGAGUGUUGAUAUUAUUUAUGAUUUCUGGAUUUAAUUAUUAUCGUUUCUAUUUGUGGAAUUUGAGAUAUGUAAAAGAUUACCGAAAAUGGGAUUUUCGGUAAUUCUCUAUUUAUAAUUUUCUCAUUUAUUUAUGGGAUAUCGAUCUUGACCUUCAGAAUAUUUUAGCGAGUAUUUUGGAUUAAGAAAUUAUUUACAAUUUAUACUGGAUAAUUAUAUCUCGCUUAUAAUUAUGGACUUGAGAAUAUUUUUGACGUAUGAGACACGUCAUUGAGUUUUUUUUUUUAAUUUUUUUAUGAUAAUUUUCAAGUACGGUUAGGAACCGUACCAUUCGCAUGAUCUUGAGGAAUCUUUAUGGAUUUAAGUGAUUUCGUAUGUUGUUAGUCACCAUACUAGGGUCGCUAUUAUUCAUUACUAGCUAACCUUAUUAGCAGUCCUCACCAUAGGUGAGUCGAGCGCUUAGCGUGGGACGCUACUAUAGCCUUGGGAGGCACCGAUCAAAUAUUAUUAUUUAUUGCUAGCUAGCCUUAUUAGCGGUCCUCACCAUAGGUGAGUCGAGCGCUUAGCGUGAGACGCUACUAUAGCUUGGGAGGCCCUGAUCGGUUUUUAUUCAUUGCUAGCUAGCCAUUAUUAGUGGUCCUCACCAUAGGUGAGUUGAGCGCUUAGUGUGGGACGUUACUAGAGCCUGGGAGGCUCAUCUUUAUGGUGAAACAUUUUCCCUUUUUCAUGAUUGCUACAAACCAAUGGGAUUAGUUCAUCACUUCUAUUUUUAGAAGCAUUAUUGGUUGAGCUUGAUUGUUGAAUUGUGAUUUGAGAUAUAUAUUGAUCGAGCAUACUAAUUAUGAAAUGUGGAAUUGUUGAGUAAUUUGGUUCAGUAGAGUUGUUGAUGUAAAUAUAAUAACUUGACCCCUGUCGUUGAUAUAGUGGGUUGGUGGGUGGUUGUGGAUAUGAAGAGCUAACAGCCCCAGGGGUUGAGUUGAUAUGUUUAACCUAUUAUGUACACGGUAGAUUUUAUAAGUUAUAAAUUAUGGCUACAGGUGUUGAGGAUGUAGAUCGUUGAUAUACUAGUGUUUUUAUGAGUUUCUUUGCAGGUCAAGUUCUACUGAAUUUUCGGUAGAAUUUCCUUUUAGAGGUGGUCCCCGCAAGACCUUCUCGGGUUUCGGGAUGAAAUUCAGGACGAGUCUUGUCACUUUAAAGGUAGACAUUUCUAAUGAACAUAGUAGAUGUGUCUUAUGUUAAAUGUCGACUUUGCAACUUUUAUCUUCGGUUGAUUUAAUCUCAAGAACAAUUUUGAUUUCCAUAAAGUCUACUUUUGUUUUAUUUGGCUUAUCUUAAUGGUAGACAUUUCUAAUGAAAAUAGUAAUUGUGUCUUAUGUUAAAUGUAGACUUUGCAACUUUUACCUUCGGUUGAUUCAAUCUCAAGAACAAUUUUGAUUUCCAAGAAGUCUACUUUUCUGUGAUUUACCUCAGGUAAAUGAGAGACAUUUCUCAUAAAAACAGUAGUCCUAUCUCAUGUUAGUAGUAGACUUGAUAAUCUAAAUGGUAGACAAUUCUUAUCAAAACAAUAGUCUUGUCUUAUGAUAGUUGUAGCAUUUUCAACUUUUGUUUUUCUGUGGUUCAAUCUCAAGAAUCUUACUAAACUACUGCCUUCGGUUGAUUCGAUCUUAAAAACCAUUUUGAUUUCCAGAAAGUCUACUUUUCAGUGAUUUAGUUUAUGUUAAUGGUAGAAAUUUCUAAUGAACAUAGUAGAUGUGUCUUAUGUUAAAUGUAGACUUUGCAACUUUUACCUUCGGUUGAUUCAAUCUCAAUAACAAUUUUGAUUUCUAGAAAGUCUACUUUUCUUUUAUUUAGCUUAAUGUUAAUAGUACGACAUUUCUAGAUGUAAAUAGUAGAUGUGUCUUAUGUUAAAUUGGUAGUAACCUUUUUGGUCAUCUUUUACCUUCGGUUGAUUCUAAUCUCAAGAACUAAUUUUGAUUUCCAUAAAGGGUCUAAUUUUUUCUGUGAUUUAACUCAUCUCAAUGGUAGAUAUUUAUAAUAAAAAUAGUAAAUGUGUCUUAUGAUAAAUGUAGAGUAACACUUUUACCUUCAAUUGAUUCAAUCUCAAGAACAAUUUUGAUUUUUAGAAAGUCUACUUUUCUGAUGAAAACAGUAGAUGUGUCUUAUGUUAAAUGUGUCUUUCGACUUGCAACAUUUUUUGUGAUAUUUUUCAUGACAAGAGUAGCUAUUUCUUAUGAUAGUUGUAGACAGUCUCAAGAAUCAUUUUGAUUUCCAGAAAGUCUACUUUUGUGUGAUUUAGCUCAUCUGAAUGACAGAUUUUUCUAAUGAAAACUGUACAUAUAGAGGGACUUAACGGAGAGUGAACGAUAUUAGUUUGCUUUAACUUGCUAUAGCACGUCAAAACUGGUUGGGUAUGCAUACCCUAAGGCAUACCCUAAGGCACACAAGUGGAACCCCACUUUGUUCCCUCCAAUUUCACAACUUACUACACAUCAAUAUUUCAGUAGUAAUAAACCAAAAUCAAAAGUGAACCACAAUCACCCAUCACUGCUAUUGUAAACACUAAACACAAUAACAGCAGCUGCAGUUUUACUCCUUUCGACUAAAACAAUAACUUCUGAUACUGAACAUUUGUUCCAUCAUAUUAACAGAACAUCUAGAGCACCCUACACAUGUUCAUAUACUUAACAACACCAGAAGCCACCACAAUAAUCAUCACCGCCGCCUAACAUAGUAGCUGCACACACUGCCCAAAUCCCAAAAUUUGAAACUCCACCAAACUUAAAUUCUAGUGUUUGCAAUCAGACAUACCAAUUCAAUAUACUUGGAAACCCGGAAAGCACUCCCAAAACCACCGUCGCCGCUGAGAAGAGCGUCACUCACGGUGGUCCACUACACUGCCAAAACCCAACUUCUCCAACACCCAACCAAUCUCAAUUCCAGUUAUAUAAACAGGAACGCUCGAUGAGUAGAUGAAGAUUGAUACCUGAAUCAAAACUAGAAGCUCGCCGGAAAAUGAAGAACACGGCCGGAAAACCCUAAAAGCUUCUCCUCUUCGAUUCUCCCUCCUCAGAGCUCGUCUGGGAAAACCAAGAACAUGGAAAGGUUCUUGAGAUCGAGAUGAAGCUAUCCAUACCAGUAAGAGACCUCGACUUGGUCAGAAUCGAAAACUCGCCGGCGAACCCAGAAUUCCUUCUCUCCUUCUUUUCUCUCUCGCCGGAACUCCUCUUCGAACACAAAGAACAUAGUGAGGUCGAGGACGUCGAGACAGACCUGUGGACACCGGUUUUGCGCCGGUAGACGACUGAAAGACAAAAGGGAGCGCUGAGCUCCGUCGCAGCUCGAGACGGGGUCGGUCGGUCUUGGUUGUGUUUUUGGGCUUCGAUCUGAUAAGGUCCUAGCCUUAUAUACUCAUUCAAUAGUUCAGAUCAAAUAGUUUAGAGAUCAACGGCCAAGACCAAACCGACUUAAAAAUACUAUUUUUAAUAAAUUUCUGGAUAAUACCAACUUCCAAAAAACAUUAAAAAUAGCUCUGAUGUCCAAACGAUGCUCCGAAGAAUCCUACGAACUCGUAACGACCUCUACUUUAAUCUUAUGGGCUUGAAAGACAAAAUUUGACAAACUAAAAAUUUGAAUAAUUUUCAAAAGCCACAAAAAAAUUUAAAGAAUAAUAGGAAUUGAAAUAAAAAUAGCUCGAAAAUAAUUUCUCAUUUAAAGAUAAAAAAUCUAAUUUUCGAGAUAUUACAUGUUACAAUGCAGAAUGUAAACAAAAGUAGUAUCUUCUAGGGAGAACAUGGAACUAAAACCAUUGCAUAUAUAGUUGCAGCUACCAAGAUCAUUAGAGAUAGUUAUUUAUGUUUAAGGAUUCUCUUUAAUUCACGAAAAAAGGUUUGAAAUACGUUAAAAUGUCAGAGUCCUACAUAGACUCUUUGACAUUUCGAUGCGUCUUACAUGAAAUGGGUUGAAAAAUUUAAAAUACUUGUGUUUGUUUUUUCGAUAAAGAAAUUAAAAAUAUUGUCGAGCCAAAUUAUGACAUCAUGUCAAGACCCACCCCGAAUUUCACCCUGAAACCCGAAGUAAGUCUUACGGGGACCACCUCCAAGGAAAAUUUACCGAAAAAUUCGGCAUAACCUCCCUUGAAAAUGGACAACCUUUACCUGAAAAAUUCAAACCACACUCCUAUACCGACACAUCCAACCUCAACUCCUGGAGCCACCCGCUUCCCACAACACCACAACAAUAUAACAAAAACCAUCUUCUAAUCCAUCACAUAAAUACCAAAUGAAAUAACAAACUUCAACCUUCGAAUAUUCGAAAAUAAAAUCCAAGACUUAGCACACAACUGAGCUAAUAUACAUUAUCCUCAAGGGUAAUCAGAGCUACUAAUACUAGCGGAAACAAGAAAAUACACUAGUAGGUUAAGCCGGUAACCUACUGGUGAAAAGUGGUGAAAAAGUGGGUAACUACGCCUCGCCUCCUACUAGUGCCAACCCGAACUCUACAGACUGGACAUUUUAAAACGAAGGGCCCUGGGGAAAACAUUUAAUAACGUUAAAGUGAGUGGACAAAAAUAAAUUUGAAUAAAAGAAUAAAUAAAAUAUUUAUGCUUUCCCGAUUCAAUUUCCAAGGAAAAAUCGAAUGCAUGCCUCCAAUGAUAAAACUUUCAUCUCUUAAAUAUCGAGCUUCUCAAGCUCUAAAAUAUAUAUGUAUGUAUUUACACACGUCCAUACUCCCUAUAUAAUUUUAUAGAAUUAUAUAGGGCUACUACACUCGCGUCCAACGCUCAUGUCACGCCUUAAUGCGGUGAUACACUACGUCAUUAACGUGGACAGACGGGUGUAUAAAUAUGUGUCCAUACCCCCUAUAAGAAUUAAACACUCACAUAGGGAUACUACACUCACGUCCAACGUUCAUGUCACACCAUAAUGCGGUUAUAUGCUACGCCAUUAAGGUGGACAGACACAUAUGGCUAGCUAGCAUUUAUAUACAUACUCUCCUCAUAAAUACAUAUUUAUAUUCACCGAAAAUCUCAUUUUCGGUAACUCUCCAAGAGAAAUAAAAUCGUCAAAAUUAAAAUGAAGUCAAAUGCUCCAACAAAAGAAAUUGUUCAACCAAGAACCAUAGCAUGCACAUUAUUUAAAAUAAAAGUCUACUCACAAAUUAGGCCUAAGCCUGAUGUCGAUCUGGGGCCUCGUCUGCUCGAGCCUCCUCACGUCCUGUUCCAGUUAUAUAAUCAAUUUCCCAAUUAAAAAUUCAAUAAUUAUACAAAAUGGGCAAAAUUAAAUGUGAGCCUCCAACACACUCAUCAUUGCCCAACUUCGCCAUUCUUCCCUCAAUAUGGCCCAAACUUCACCGAACAUACCGGCAGCCUUAAUAUAACCCUCUAUAGAUUAUACGACUUUAAACCAACGGCCGGAUUCUACCUUAAAUAACCGCUAAAAUUACCAAACUCUAAAAAUUCCCAAACCUAUCAAAACUCCUCCAAAAAUUCCACAAAUCACUUCAUUAAACUCCUCUAAUUAUAACACGAAUAAAACCCUAAAAAUCCCCCAAACAACAGCGGCCGGAGGCCAACUCACGCGACCUCCUAUGUUACACCCCAAUUUUCGAAGGAUAAAUUUUUAAAAAUUUGGGCAUGAUAACUCACAAUAAUAUAAUUCCUAAGACCUGUUCAACAACUUAAAGAAGACAAAUCUCAAUUGCAGAAAUGUAAUCUCAACACAACUCAACAUCGAGUUAAUAUUACAUUUCAUUACUUACAUAAACUUGAAAGUCAAGAAAUGAAAACACUCGAAUGAAAUUAAUGUUGUCUACCAAAUAUAAAAUAUCAAAGUAUACAACAACUAAAAACCCUGCUGAUCAAUACCUGCAGGUCUAACCCAUACACCAUGAAUUGGUGCACCGGGUUGUAAACAACAAACUUGGUAAGCUAAAAAGCCCGUAUGAGUAACUCUCAAAAAUAACUCAACCCAACUUUACUUAAAAUAAAAACGAAAAUUCCUGCUUAGAACUUAGUUCAGGAAUCGCCUCAAACAAGAAAAUUCAAAAGGGAGUAAAUAAGAAAACACAACAAUUUCCAAACAAUCAAAAUCAUAAGUGAAUCCUGCAAAAAGGAUAGUUCAGGAAUUCUACUAAAAAUCACACAAUUAAAAUUGAAAAUCUCAUGCAUUAAGCAUAGUUCAGGAGAUACUCAAAACAAUGAAUUUAAUUGGCAACAAUUAAGAAAAAUGUUAAAACCACAUUUUCAACACUUUUACAAAUAACAUGUACUCAUGAGUCCCAGAUAUUAAUAAAUACCACUCAUGACCUGCAACAACAAUUUGUUGGAACCCGGUUUGACUGUCCAAUAACAAAUCGCAAAAUAAAAAUAGCAUCAUAACCAUAACCAAUCACCCGAUUAAAGGCUUGUAACCCGAUUUGACUAUUUACACAACAUUUCACAUAAGGGUAGAAUCAUCAUAACCGUAACCAAUCACCCGAUUAAAGGUUUGGAACCCGGUUUGAUUAUCUAAACCACAAAUCACAAUAUAAUAAAAUCAACAUCCACAACCCAAUAGCACAUCAUAAAAUUAUAUCCUUCCACAUAGAUAUAUUUAUAUGCACAAGAUAUAGUUAUUCCCACAAGAAUAACCUAUCAAGAACCAAAAAUAUUAUAAUUUCAUGAACCUUAAAAAUAAUCAUAUAAUAGGAAAACUUGUUUUAUCUUACCUAUGAGCCGUUGGCGAUCAAGCUCAUAUAUUUUAAAAACAACCAAAAAUAAAAUUUUUAAAUUAAAAUCAUCAUAAUCAUCAACAAUAAUCAUCAUCAUAAUCAUUAUCAUCUUCAUCAUCAUAAUCAUCAUCACAAUCAUCAUCAUCCAUCAUCAUCAUCAUAAUCAUCAUCAAAAUCAUCAUCACAAUCAUCAUCAUCAAUAACCAUAAUAAUUCGGUCCAAAUGUGAACCUUGGUGAGAUUUACUCACCUAAAUACUCCCGCUGCGUCUUCACAAAAACACAAGAGCCAAACUAACCACAACCUCACAAAUCACCUAAAAUUACACAAUUAAAACCUUAGAAAUUUCUCAACAAUGAUUAAAGUACCCUUAACCUAAAGGUUGCCCAAAAAUGGCAAUCGUUCCUCCAAGACCUCCCAAGGUCAUUAGACACACAACAACAACCCAUACUACCUCCAAGACCAAACUUCUAAAGUUUACAACUUAACAACCUCAAUGAUUAACAUAGGACCUAAGAUGCACUACCAAAACAGCACUUAGCCUUAUCACACAACAACACACUCAACAACUACAACAACUAGUUAACACGGCCACCCAAACUCACUCACACUGCCCGGACGCGCUUCCACGCGCCACCACAGACGGCUGCGAGUGGGCCCCACGCGCCACCCCAAAACUUCUGAAUUUGGGCAAACUCAAAACAUGAAACUUGUAGAUUGAAGCAUGGUGAACAACUUUAAUACCUGAGGUUUUAACCAAUUCGGCCAGAAUCGGCCGAAAAACACCCCGAAACUCCAACACGACCUCAAGCUUAAAUCUGUAAUUUUGGCGCUCAAAACCUCAAUAUCUUGCUUCAAACUAUGCCUAGCCACAACCAGAAGGAAGAGAGGACAAAAACUCACCUAAGGUUGCUCCUUGUCGCCGCUGCAAACGGUGGUUCCGAUCGGUGACGUGUCGACGGAGACGUCGGGUCUAGCUGCACUACCUACGCCGGUCGACAGCCUUGAAGACUAGCACAGUUGCGUAGGGGAGGUCCGUGCAAACCUAAAGGAACCAACAGCAUCUCGAUUGGUGGCCGGAAAAAGAAGAACUCCUAUGAAACCACAGCAGCUCCUCUGCCUCGUGGCGGCGUCUAGGCGGCUCGACGACAAGCGGCACUGCCCUAGGAAUGGAGAGGUGACCCGUGCAAACCGAACAGGACUGUCAACGUCCAGUUUGGUGGCUGAACGGCUAAGUUCUAUGCCGGCGAAGGUCCGGCUGUGCGUGCAGCUCGGGGAGAGAGGAGAGAGAAAAUGGAGGCUUUUCUGAAUUCUAGGGUUCCCUCUUUCUAUUUAUACACUUUCCAAAACUGGAAACUAACUUCCUUUGACCGUAACUUUUUCAUACGACAUCCGUUUUACGCGUGCCGCGUGUCUACAAACUCGUAUCGCCAAACUCUACAACUGUCAUGAAGAAAGAUUUUGAAAAUAACUUACGGAUAAGAAAGUCAACUUUUGGCCUCUUAAAAGUCAAGACACCUUACUAAAAUUGACUCCCGAAACUUCAACUUCGCACAAACCAAUAACAAUUUCCAUAAAUAUUCCUUCAUUAAUUCCGGAAAUAAUACAAGGAAAAUUGAUAUGAAAAACUAGGGUAUUACAUCCUAUGCCUACCAAAUUUUAACAGCAACUUCCUCUCAACUCACUCUACAACUUCUUUAACUAGCACAACACCAAAUUCCAAGCCUAACUAGGUCAAUCGAACGAAAACAUUCUAGAAAACCCUAGAGCUUCAACACCAAAUAUCUCCUUACCUAGUUCAAGAGGGAGAGACACCUUUGGAGGGAUUGAUGCACGGGAGGAGAGCUUCAAAACGAGCCAAGAAUCGCCGGCUAUGGCGGCCGGAGGAGGGAGCUCUGGCGAGAAAACAGUCGGCCCUGCGGGACGAGUUUCCUCCCGUUCAACGGCGUUGUGGCAGUGCUCACCGACCUAGGGUGAGAGAGGAGGAGACGCCGGUCCAGACGGGACCGGUGCGGCAGCCUUGCUCGGCCGGACGAUGGCGGCGGGCGCUGGACUUCCGACGGAGAGAGAGAGAGCUCAGGAGAGAGUGCUCGGGGAAGGGGAGAGAAAAGAGAGAAGAAGAAAAAAGGAUUUGGGCCUCCAAUACCCGGUCCAACUCUUUAAUACCACCCUAAAACACCCCACUCCAUAACAUAUAACACCCCAAUAAAAAUACCCAAAUAAAAAUUAGGACUAAUUUCAGUUUACCCCCAUCAACUUUAGGUCGAUCAUCAUGUUAGUCCUUUUUCUUUCAAUUUCAUCAAAAACACCCCUCAACUCCCAAUUUUCAUCAGCUGCGCAUGUCCAAACCUCCAAUNNNNNNNNNNNNNNNNNNNNCAUCUAAUUCCUCUCUCAAGUGAUAACUUGAUAUCAAGAAGAAAGUCAAAUUCUGAAAAUUACCUUUCGGACCAUUUUUCCCCCAUAUCGAUACACAUCUUUGUUCCCAUCACAACCCCCUAACCUUAGUGAUUUUGGUGGGAUUGAAUGCAAUUUGUCUAUUUUUCCUUUUUCUUUCUUCUUGAUAUCAAGUCAUCACUUGAUAGAGGAAUUGGAUAGAGAUUGGAGAUUUGGACAUGCGCAGCUGAUGAAAAUUGGGAGUUGAGGGGUGUUUUUGAUGAAAUUGAAAGAAUAAGGACUAACAUGAUGAUCGACCUAAAGUUGAUGGGGGUAAACUGAAAUUAGUCCUAAUUUUUAUUAGGGUAUUUUUAUUGGGGUGUUAUAUGUUAUGGAGUGGGGUGUUUUAGGGUGGUAUUAAAGAGUUGGACCGGGUAUUGGAGGCCCAAAUCCUUUUUUCUUCUUCUCUCUUUUCUCUCCCCCUUCCCCAUCAACUUUAGGUCGAUCAUCAUGUUAGUCCUUCUUCUUUCAAUUUCAACAAAAACACCUCUCAACUCCCAAUUUUCAUCAGCUGCGCAUGUCCAAACCUCCAAUCUAUCCAAUUUCUCUGUCAAGUGAUGACUUGAUAUCAAGAAGAAAGAAAAAAGGAAAAAUAGACAAAUUGCAUUCAAUCCCACCAAAAUCACUAAGGUUAGGGGGUUGUGAUGGGAACGAAGAUGUGUAUCGAUAUGGGGGAAAAAUGGUCCAAAAGGUAAUUUUCAGAAUUUGACUUUCUUCUUGAUAUCAAGUCAUCACUUGACAGAGGAAUUGGAUGGAGAUUGGAGGUUUGGACAUGCGCAGCUGAUGAAAAUUGGGAGUUGAGGGGUGUUUUUGAUGAAAUUGAAAGUAGAAGGACUAACAUGAUGAUCGACCUAAAGUUGAUGGGGGUAAACUGAAAUUAAUCCUAAAAAUUACCUUUUACUAGCUAAAAUUUACCAUUUUUACCGUCAUCACAUUUUCUCCUACGAAUAAAUCCUCCAAAAUAAUGGUCCCUCAAAACCCCUCUAGGGACCAAAUAAACUAUAGUCUCAUUGACGAAGACGGUAAAACUUUUAUUAAUACCAAGUUAGUGAAUAAGGUAAAAAUUUAAGGGUUAAGAUGUGACACAUCAACAUAUUUCUUUUAGUCUAUUGCUUUAAUUCUACUAUAUAUGUACAUUUUUACUACAAUAAAACCAGCCAACAAGACGUCUAAAAGCUUCAUCAAAUUUCGAAUGAAAAAAAAAAAAAAAAUUUAUCAAAUUGUGAACUGUCUUAUCUGACUAUGAUUCUAUCAAACAGAAGGGCUAACAUUGUAUAAAUAACAACAAAAAUAAAUUGAUAAAAUAAAGAGGGCAAAUAACACAAAAGUGUCAUUUCAAGGUACACAUGAUAAAAAAGUCAUCAAUUGUACCACAUGUUAAUAUGGUCACCCUAAAUGUUAUCAGAUGAUAAAAUAAUUACUUAAGUAUAUAUCAUAUGAUGUACUGGUCAUGAUUAAGUGUCAAUUAUGAUAAAAAAAGUAUAUUUUUAAAUUUUAUGGAUUUACGAUUCUACUCUUCUGUUAGUUUCUGUCGUUGUCUUCUCUCUCUGUUACUGCUUUCUCUCAGCUCUUCUCUCAGCUUCUCUCUCUGUACUUGAUCUCUUCUCUUCUCUCUCUGGCUUUCUCUCAGCUUACUGCUUUCUCUCAGCUCUUCUCUCAGUUUCACUCUUUGUAUUCGAUCUCGAUCUCUCUCUCGCUCUCUCUCUAACCCCGCCGCCAUCGCUUAUCUUUCAUCCCGUUGGUGCCACCUGAGUUUGGUCGUUCGUAUCCGUGAAGCGAUGGCUCCAUCAGUUCCACCAUCCACCGCCUUCUAACGCAAACAAGGUCGAUGCUUUGCUCAGACACAAUUUUUUUUGUUAUUUCUUUCAGAUUUUGAUGUUUUGAUUGAUUUGUUUCUGUGUUUAAUCUUUACAAUUUCAUAUGAUGUCGAUCGGUGAAUUCUAGGGUUCAUAGGAAUUUAGUGAUUUGGAACUCUUUGACUCAAUCUGUGCUAUAUUCCCAGCCUCCUAGGAAUUUGGUGAUUUCAGUCUUUGAAAAAGUGAUUUGUUUGCAUUGUUUUGCUUAUUUUGGUUGUGUACUCUGGUGAAUGAGCAUGAGUUACUUGCAUUGUGUACUCUGUGUGUGUAUUGUUUUGCUUAUUUUGGAUGUUUGCAUUGUUUUGCUUAUAGGUGUCAUGAGUUACUUGUAAUUUGAAAUACUAUACAUAUUUUUGUUCAGGUACUAUGGACAGUAACUAUACUGCAAAGCUUGUGUACUCUGGUGAAGGAGCAUGUCACACCCUAACUCGAGUAAAGGUCUAACCUCGAGUUAAGGCGUGAAUCGCACUUUAAUUAUAGACAGUUUAAUAUCCAUAAUUAAAAUGAGAUAGAUAUCGUAACAUGACGUAAGAAGUAACAACUUUCACACCUUUAUUUAGAUUACAAGCCUUAUAAGAAGGCGCUUAAAACACACAUGUUCAAAACAUUUACAAAAAAACUAGAAUAACGUUUCUUUUCAAAACGUCCAUUCUUUAUUCAAGCUCUAUCUUAUAAAAGAAAAACUUGAAAACCUUAAUUUACAAUACAACAUUUUCUAAGCUUCACGAACACCACCUGCAAGGGGUUUAAUGAGGGGUGAGCAACACUCAGUAGGGCUAGUUAAUAUAUAUUAAGAAAACAUGAUAUGAAGCACGACAAAAACAAACAUAGCAUGUCAAGAAUGCAUGAACACAAUAUCGACUCAACUCUCAUCCCACACCUCACAUCACCCUUGAAUAUAAUUUUCUCAUUUGCUAGUCAUCUUGUUAUACUCAUGGUCCUCAGUCCCGAAACCCGAAUGAUCAUUUUAUCGACUCAUACGUCGAAGGGGCAUACUUUCCCCACUCAUUUGCGCAGGUGGGCUGAUCAUAGCUACUGGAAGUCCCCAUGAGUAAACUCAACUACACAAAUGGUUUUCUAAUAUCAAAAUCUCAUAAAUUCCCAAACACUCAUUCUCUAUUUCACCUCCAACCUCACUCGUUUCCCACCAACGUCAUGUAGUAAUAUAGAUUCAACAUAAGAACACAUGCUUUCAAAUAUAAACAUAUCAUAAUCAAUUCAAGAUCUCAAUAUCAUCCACAUUUAAUUCAAAUAUUGCCACACAAUUCAAUGUCAAACAAUCCAAUACCAAAUAAUCCAAUAUCACAAAUCAUCCAAUAUCAUCAACAAUUCAAUAUCAAACAAACCAUGUAAUAGCAUAAAUAACAAUAACACAAACACCCCAUCAAACCCUACCUCGAUUUGCACAGCACAAAGUCGAGCUCAAACUUCACUUCUCACACUUGUGGAUCACCAAAAACGUCUCCGGAACCUUACCAAAGAGGUAAAGUACAUACAACAAUGAAAAACUAGAUUUAGUACUAUGUCACAAGUAAUAUACAUAAAUAAGAAACUCUAAACUAUAAAACAGAUACAAAAUAAGACUCAAAAGUUGUUUAAAGAGCUACUGCAAAACACAGGAAUCAGCUAUUAAAGAAAAGACUGAGUUAGAACAAGGUUCAUCUGUCAGCCUUGUGUCAAAACAGUGUGUUGCUGUUUUUGGCUUCACUUUCCACUCACUCAAAUCCAACAAAAAUUUAUGAACCAAAGCCUAUUGUAAAGAUGGGAUUACAAGCUUUAAGUACAUAGCUUAAGUUUUGAAAACAAAGCCCUGGAUAGAAAGUUACAAUCUUGCAAAGUUGGAGUAAAAAUCUGAAAACCCAGAAAUUCUAGUUUUUGCUGAGUCUGCUACUGUUUUUGGCAAGCAAUUUGACAAACCAAAUGUUAACCAAAUCCUAUGAAAUUUAACACACACAUAGGUAGAUAUAUGAGCCUUACAAAGGUACUUUCAGAUUUCCAAACAAAGGCCUGAGCUGAAAGAUAUCCUGCCUCAAAGUAGGCAAGAAAAUCAGUUAUUCUGCAGAAUUUCUGGAAAUUUGCAGCAGGAAUAAAACUUGGUUCUUGGAGCUUUAAUUCGACUUUUGAAGUAGUAAAACAAGUUCUAAAGCUUCAGAACGGAAAGGAACAGAUUUCCAGAACAUUAGGACGAUUUUAAACAUAACCAACAGUUGAAAGAAAAGGAUCCAAAAUUUGAUUUGGACACCCAAACUCAAGAACAAUGUUCUUGAGCUUCAACCACAACGAUUCCAGACAAUAACAUCUGAUUCGAAUUAGGAUUCCUAUCUAUACAAGUCUGAAAAUUCGAAAUUACAAACCAUAAUCAAACAAAGUAACCAUAUUGAUACUCAAGACAUAAGAAUCAAGAAUCAAAAUAAAAAGUAAGUACUCUAUCUAAUCUUAGGAACUGAAUUCGAAAUUGCUAAAAGGUGAUAUGGAUUCUACCUUAGACAGAAACGAAUUGGAAAGGGUUGUCUCUCUCUCCACAACUCUCUCAAUUUCUGUUCUGUCCCUGUUCUGCCCCAAAUCUUUAUCUGCUUCUCUCUAGUUGAUUUGGUCGAAAACUUAACCGACUUUCGAUCUUUGGCCGACUUCAAAAUUCUCCUCCUAUAGGCUUAGACUAGACAGCUACUCUCUGCAUAUCUAACUAUUUGACACCUCCUGCUGUUUGCGUCCUAACUACAAGCAAUUGUAAUAAAAAAAACUAAGAAAGGCUGCUGUGUUUCAAAGAGAAACGCAGCUCAGGUGUUUCCCCCUUUUUUUUUCUUUUUUUUCUUUUUUCUUUUUUGAAAACAGAAGUAAAAUACCCUAAAAACUUAAUAAAGCAUAGAUUAAUACUAAGUAAAACAAAUUAGCUACUUCAAAAUGUUACAGAGCAACAGUUUCAUUUGAUCAUAGCGUUUCAUAUUUUGAUUUUGCUAAUUUUGUACAUGACCGAUUUCCGGUAUUGGGCAGAAGCAUUGUCAAGCUGAAGUAUACUGUUUUUCCUGAUGUUGUAUCUUAUCGUCUUGAAAAUGAAGAUGAUGUUUAGAGUUUUGGCCCAUUAUAGUUCAAAUUUUGUUGAUGUGGAUGUUUGCUCUUUCGAUGUUAGUGCUUCUAGUUCUGAAAGUGUGUUGAGUAACAAUGUUAGUGAAGAGUCUAGUGUUUCAUUUGAUGAAAAUGAUUAUUUAAGAUGCUACAAACUAGAGGAAGCAAAGAGGUAUUGUAGCAAAGGGUGGGAGAAUUAUAUCAAAUCAAAGGACCAGAAGUUUCAAGGUGGUGUGGAAGAGUUUAGGUUGAAAUUGCGUAUGUAUGCUCAGUUAGUUUGGUUUGGUAAAAAAGUAGUGGAAUCAAACCCUGGCUCUACUAUCAAGAUUGAGUAUGAACCUGAAACUCGCAGGUUUCAGCGAAUGUUUCUGUGUUAUGAUGCGUGGAUGAAUGGUUUUCAGUUUUGCAGACCCAUACUGUUCAUUGAUUCUACCUUCAUCACCAACAAAUACAAAGGGUAGCUUAUUGGUGCAUCUGCCAAGGAUGCGAAUCAAGGUACUUUUUUAGUGAAAUGUUUAGUUGCAUUGGCAGUUUCUUUGAUUGUGAUAGUUACAUAGUUUCCAGGGGCUUCAGUUUUGAUUGCUUUGACAUUUUUAUAUAACUGUUUGAUGGAUAGUUAAAUGACUUGUGUACCUACAUUAAGCUACUAAUGUAACUAUCCAUGUAACUAUAAAUUGAUAGUUACUUGACUAGAUAUUCAUGUAACUAUCCAUGUAACUAUGCAUGUAACUGUCCAUGUAACUAAGCAUGUAACUAUUAAUGUAUGUAACUAUCCAUGUAACUAUCCAUCUAUGUAACUAUCCAUGUAACUAUCCAUGUAACUAAUACAACUCAAGUCCCUGCAUCACAGAUGCAUACCUAUAAACUGUUUCUUUGAUUGUGAUAGGUACAUAGUUUCCAGGGGCUUCAGUUUUGAUGGCUUUGACAUUUUUAUGUAACUGUUCAUGUAACUUUCAUUUAUUCAUACUGAUUUUUUGUUCGUCUUUUUUGCAGGUUUAUAUCCAGUUGCUUAUGUUAUUGUUGAUUCUGAAACUGAAUGUAAUUGGAGAUUUUUCCUUCAGUGUGUACCUGAAGAGUUGUCAAGACACCCUAUGAGGCAGGUGACAUUCAUUUCUGAUCAGAAUCCUGAUCUUCUUAGUGCAUACCGCAUGUCUUUCCCAAUAGUCCAUAUGGUUUUUGUUUUAGGCACCUUGUAGACAAUAUCUCCAAAAAGUAUCCAAGUCAGUCACCCCUUCAUAAAUCUGUUCCUUAUUUGUUCAUGUGUUGUGCUUAUUCUCACACCCCAGACUCGUAUGAGACCAACCUUGCAAAAUUGAAGGAGGAUGGAGGUUCUAUUGUUGAAGAUUUUCUAAAGGACCUUCCCAAGGAGAGCUAGUGUUUGGCUUUUUUAAACAGGGAGAGGUUUGGUGAAAUGACCAACAAUUUGGCCAAGACUUUUAACAAUUGGGUGGGGGAUUUGAAGAGUCUUCCUAUUUAUAAUCUGAAUGAAGGUAUUAAAACAAAGUCUAUGGAGAGAAUUGCUGAGCGGAUGGAAGGGUUAAAGGAAUGGGUCACUGUUUUGUGUCCAAACAUGGAAAAGAAAUUGAUUAAUAACUUGGCGGUUAGGCGACAUUGGCGAGUUAUGAGAUCUGAUACAUAUGUUUAUGAAGUUCAAUGUCAAUAGUACAGGGUUAUGGUGAACUUGGGAGAGGAUUUCGUUUGUUCGUGUGGGGAAUGGAAAUGUCAUGGUUUUCCUUGUUCACAUGCCCUUGUUGCAAUUCAGCAACAUGGUGUCUCUCCUUACUUAUAUGUCAGACCUUACUAUAAGGUACUCUUUUACUCAUUCUGUUUCUUUUUACUCCAUAUCUAUUCUUGUUUCCUGCUUUUGUUAACUAACAUGUCCAGUAAUUGCUUGUUUUUCAAUGUAACUGAUCAUGUAACUGCUUGUUUUUCAAGGUGGAUAAAUUCUGAGAAACCUACUCUCACACCAUUAACCCAAUCCCUUCCAUUUCAAUGCCUGUUGAUCUUGCUCCAUCGUCAUUUCCAUUGCAGCCUCCUUUGACUAAAAGACAGGCUGGAAGGCCAAAAACAAGAAGGUACUGAAGUAGGAGUGGUGUUCCAGGUGUGGGAAAUAUGACGGGCAUAACAGAAUGAGUUGUAAAGCUCCAAUAUAGCCUUUGGUUACAUAUGACAGUUACAUUGAUGGAUACAGUAUUUACAUUGAUGGAUUCAGUAGUUACAUUUGAUUUAGUAGUUACAUUGAUGGAUUCAAGUUCUUUUCAGUAGUUACAUUGACAGUAACAAUUCUGCUGUUGGAUGUUUCAUUUAUUUAGUUGUUGCUUUUUAUUAUGAUAGUGGAAACUGUGUAUCUCAUUUUUCGCGGUGCAGUGGCACGCUGCAAAUAUUAAUGCAAACCCCAUUUUUUUUGUUUUUCCAAGUGCUUUGUUUAUUUCAAGUUUCAUUGCUUUGUUUGUUUCAAGUUUCAUUUUGUUCACCAGUUACAUGGGUAAUUACAUUGCUAGUUACAUCCAUGUAACUAUGCUAUAUGUAACUAUCCAUUUAACUAUCUAUGUAACAAUCCAUGUAACUAUCUACAUGAAUUUUAAUAGAUUUCUAUUCUAAUACGCAGUGGGACGCUACCGUUGCGGUGCAGCGGCACGCUGCACUUAUUAUUAAAUAAAUUCAUGUAACUAUGCAUAUAACUAUAGUUACAUGGAUUUUAAUAGAUUUACGUUCUAAUAUGCAGCGGGACGCUGCCGUUGCGGUGCAGCGGCACGCUGCAAUUAUUAUUAAAUAAAUUCAUGUAACUAUGCAUAUACUAUGUAUGUAACUAUUUAUGUAACUACUCAUGUAACUAUCUAUGUAACUACAAAUUGCUAGUUACCUAGGUAGUUACAUUGCUAGAUGAUACGAGCACAAAGUGCUAUGUUUAUAAUGUGUUUCCUGCCCCAUUUAGCUAUGUUAUUCUUAUAAUAAUGUCAUUUCUAACAUGUUUUGUGAGUGUGAAGGCAAAAGAGCAGAAAAGCAGAAAAGGAAGCUAAAACAGGCAAUUUAAAAAAAAUCCUAAUCAAAGGAGGAUUCCUGGUGCAGCAAGGAGUCUCAUUAUGUCACAAAAUCUGAGGAUAUGUCGUUUAGGAAACUUUCCUGUUUUGAAAAGGGAAACUUGCCUAUUUCAUUUUAAGAAACUUUCUUAUUUUGAUUUAGGAAACUUACUAUUUUUGAAUCUUUCCUAUUCUAACUUUCCUAAAAUAUUUAGGAAACUUCUUUUCUGAUGAGACAAGGAAACCAUUUGAAGUCAGGAAACCUAAUCCAACUCAGAAUAGGAAUCUGUGAACGUAUAUAAAAGGAGGACGAAUUCUGCAAUAAUCAAGGGAUUUAUGUGUUAAUAUAAAUCAGAAAUUAAGAGAUUCUUUCCUUAACUUCGUCAUUUAAAUUCUGUCCAUCCUACCUUAUUUAUCUGAUUUUAUUCCCCUUGCAGGAACCCUAAUUAUGCACUAGGAAAGGAAGGAAAAUCAUGGAUUUUCGUCAAAGGUCUGAUUGAAGGCAGAAGAAGGAAGGUUUUCACUGCUGUGAUUUUCUCUGGAGAACAAGAAACGUACCUGGCCUCUAUUCGAGCCUCAUGCAAUGGAUUUCUGCACAAGACAUUCCAGAGAAUUCUGGGAAUUUUAAUUCAAGAUAUUAACGUAAUUAUUUCAGACCAUUGGAUAAGAAGUUGAUCAAGGGUUAGGAGAAGACCUAGGGUUUGGCGUGUUCACUAUAAAUAGAGACUCUCUACUUCACAAUUAUGAUCAUUCAUUCACGUUAAAAAGCAGAGAGAUACGAGAGCAGUAGCAGGCCGUCUUUUCCUCUUUUGCCGAGUUCAUCCUCUCUUGCCAGACCUUGAAGGACUUCUCCACGAAGGUAGCACAGUUGGAGACUUGAAGCAUUGAAGCCAAACAUCCUUUGGACGUCGACAAGCUUCCUUGGAAACUGAAAAAGUGUAAACAGUGCCUUUACUCUGUUUUGAUUUUCUUUACAAACUUGAAAGCAUGUUUCGAAUGUUAAACUCUGGAUUUGAAAGCAUGUUUUGCUUGUUUUUGUAUUCACUAGAUUCAAAAUCUUAUAAAAUGUAUUGAUGUUUCGUUAAUGAUUUCUGGCGAUCUGAUUUCGUGAGUUUUAAUGAUUGAAAGUUUGUGUUUUUAUUUAAAUAAAGGAGUUAGAAUGCAUGCUAGCUAUUGCCAUGAUUCGUGCUAAGCUUCUUCAAGUAAGUAUGUUUCUCUAAGUGGUGAAAACUAUGUAAUAAUAGUUGAAAACGUAAAUUACAGCAAAUGCACGUUAUGACUUCUCAGGUGCGCAUUGUUGUUCAAUCUCAGUUCCAUAUGUCAAGACCCACCCCAAAUUUUACCCUAAAACCUGGAGCAAGUCCUGCAGGGACCAUCUCCAAGGAAAAUUUACCGAAAAUUCGGCAUCACCUCCUUUGAAAAUGGACAACCCUAACUUGAAAAAUUCAGAUAACACUCCUAUACCAACACAUCCAACCUCAACACCUGGAGCCACCCGCUCCUCCAACACACAACCACCACACAAAAGAAAUAAUAUCAUCUUCUAAUCCAACACAUAAAUAUCCAAUUUAUAUCAUACACCAUCCUUUGGAUAUCUCCCAAAUUAAUAAACAAAGACUUAGCACACAACCGAACUAUUAUACAAAUAAUCCCAAGGUAAUCAGAGCUACUAAAUACUAGCGGAAGCAUAAAAAUAUGGUAGUAGGUUAACAGGUAACCUAUUGAUGAAAGGUGAAAGAGAUGUGGGUGACUAUGCCUCACCUCUAAUUAGUGCCAACCCGAACUCUGCAGGCUGGGCAUUUUAAAAUGAAGGGCCCAGGGGAAAACAUUUAAAAACGUUAGAGUGAGUGGAUAAAAAUAAAUUAAUAAAUAAAUAUUUAUGCAUUACCAUUUGAAUUUUCAAAGAAAUUAUGUUGCAUGCGAAAAUUCAAAAGCGCUUAACUCAUACCCUGGCAAUUUCAUGACUAGCUCUGGCUAGUCUCCAAACUCAAUAAACUGGAGCCUCUCAGGCUAAAGUAUAUAUAAACAUAUAUGUGUAUGUAUUUACACUCGUCAGACUCUUUGUAUGAAUUCUAUGAACAAAUUUGAAAAGUAGAAAUUCAUACAAGGCUACGACGCUUGCGUCUAACGCUCACGUCGCGCCAUAAUGGAAUUUUUUCUCAUUAUGACCGAAGAGGACGGGUGUAUAUAUACGUGUGGACUCCCUAUAUAAAAACCUAUAUAAACCAGAAAAGAAAGUAGUUUUCAUAUAAGGUUAUGACGGUUGUGUCUAACACUCACGUCACGCCAUAAUGGUAUUUUACCUCAUUAUGACGGACCAAGCACGUAUGGCUAGCUAGCAUUUAUAUACAUACUAUACUCAUAAACAUCCAAAAUGCAUAUCCACAGAAAAUCUCAUUUUCGGGAACUCUCCAAAGGAGGAAAAUUGCCAAAUAUCCGAGAAAGAAAUAAAUCUCAGCAGAAGAAACAAAUGAUCAACAGAAUAAUUCAUCGCAUGCUUUUCAAUUAAAACAAAGUUCCACUCACAAAUUAGGCCUAAGCCUAAUGUCGCUCCGAGGCUUCUUCUGCUCGAGCCUCCUCUCGUCCUGUGCCAAAUGUAAUAUUAAUUUCCCAACCAAAAAUCCAAAAAUUACACAAAAUAGGCAAAAUUAACCGAGAGCCAUAAACACGCUCAUCAAUGCCUAACUUCGAUACGGUCCACACCUCAACACUUAAACCAGUAGCCUUAACUACACCCUUCCACAGAUUUUAUGACUUAAAUCCAACGGCCAGAUUCUACCUUAUUAAUCCGCCACAAUUACUAAACUUUAAAAAUUCUCAAAUCUAACCAAAACUCCUCCAAAAAUUCUAAAAUUCACAUCAAUAACUCCCAUUAAUAUAACCAAUCAAAAACCAUGAAAAUCCCCUAAACAGCGGCGGCCGGAGGCCGACUCCGGUGACCUCUAAUGCCUACCAAAUUUUAACAGCAGCUUCCUUUCAACUCCCUCUACAACUUUCUUAACUAGCACAACACCCAAUUUCAAGCCUAACCAUGCCAAUCGAACGAAAACAUCCUAGAAAACCCUAGAGCUUCAACACCAAUAUUACCUUACCUAGCUCAAGAGAGGGUGAGACCUUUGGAGGGGUUGCUGUACGGGAGGAGGGCUUUCUUCCAAGCCAAGCAGCUCUGGCUAUAGCGGCCGGAGGAGAGAGUUCCGGCGACGGGAAGCUUUGGACAGUCGGGGAUUUCGGGCGUGCCUACUCCCACACGGCGGUGCUAGGGUGGCUCUCACUGGCCUAGGAUGGAAGCUGGGUCAGAGGCCAACCGAUCGGGAUCGGAGCGGCGGCCUACGGUGGCCGGACGGCGGCGAACUGCUGCUUGGAAAUUCCAGCAGGGAGAGAGGGAGGGAAUCGGGAGAGAGAGAGGAAAAAGAUGAAGAGAGAAAAAAGUUGGGCCUUAUCCUUCCAACCGGUCCUAACCCACCUAAAUAAACCCAACUCCAAAAAUUAACACCCCAAUAAAAAUACCCUAAUAAAAAUUACCUUUUACUAGCUAAAAUUUACCAUUUUUACCGUCGUCACAUUUUCUCUUACGAUUAAUUUCUCCGAAAUAAUCGUCCCUCAAAACCCCUCUAGGGACCUUUUAAACUAUAAAUUCAUUGACUGAGACGGUAAAAUUUUUAUUAAAACCAAGCUAGCAAAUAAGGUGAAAAUUUACGGGUUGGGAUGUGACACUAUAAUUCUUAAUGAUUCAUGUUUAUUGUGGACAAGUACUGUUUAGUAUUGAAUGCUGCAAUUUACAUGAAAUAAUCUAAGUUCUAGACUUCUCUGUGCUUAGGUGAUAAAGUAAGUAGAAUUAAAGGAAUGCAUGUCCUCUUCAGGCGUGUGUUCCGAGAUUGUUUCUCUUGUUAAAAACUUGCAUGAUAAUCGGACUGUUAGAAUGAGAUGAGAUCUUGAUGUUUGGUAGAAUUCGAAUUUAUCUCUGUUUGCGAUGUUGAAUGAAUCGAUCACUUGUAUAUAUUAUACUUUAUUUUCUGUUUUAGUGGGAACGUAGAACAAACCUUUAAAAUCCACCUUUUUAUCUAUUGUAACAUGUGUAUAUUUGUAACCGAAUACUUGUAAAUACUUAUAGUUACUGAUUUUUUAGUGUAACUGUGACUGUAGGAGCGCCCUUUAGGUCCCCGGAUUGAUCGAACCUUAUUUGCCAAUACUACAUUCUGAUAAAAAAGGGUUUUUAAAUUACGCGCCCGAUAACGAUCGCAUCAAUUUUUGACGCCGUUGCCGGGGACUUAAUAAGUCUCUAACGGUUUUCGGUUACUUAAUUGCUUAAAUAUUUAUACUACUUUAAAUUUGACUAAUUGUUAUCUGUUUUAGUUAUUUUCAGGUACAUAUCUUGUUUUGUAAACCACUGAAGGUUCUUUAGUUAAUAGGAUCCUAAACCCUUCAUUAGUACCUUUUCAAAGGUCUUUUGGAGGCAGAUCUUAUUAACUCUUGUACGACUGUCAAACAUACAAGUGUUUCCUAACUGAGUAAGGGACAUUUUGGAUGGUGUCUAGGUCUGAGUAAGCGCCUGGGACCAAAAUUGGACUUCAAAGGGUUAUAGACUGUGCGUAAGCACGAAAGGGGUUUCAACCUCCGUAGCCCAUUACAAAUGAAGUCCUACCAGCCCGUUUCACUUCGGCUUGGCCAUUAAAGUCUUCUGAAACCACGGAAACAUAUGUAUCAAGACAUUCAUACCUAUUCAUCAUUGGUUUACCACUUAAGAUUCGAGUUUGAAAAUUUAUAAAACUUAUAACUGUUAACUCAAACAGAUUGUUGUAAUUUAGAAUCUUUGUAAAAUGUGAAGUGUUUACUUAGUUCUAAGGCCUUUUAUGUUUGAGCUCGUUUUUAAAAUUUUAGUUACUUUGUUUAUGUUUAAUUUUUAUUUUGUUUCUUAUUUUGUUAUUUCAUUUUUGUAGGGUUAUGAAUGUUCGAUGAGGGAAUUCGUAUUCCUGGAUUAACCGAUGAGAUUUUAACUAACUUGAAGGAGCGGUUACAGCGCAUUAAGCAAGGAGAACCUUCCUAGAUUCUUGAUCUUCCUGUUCAAAUCCCCAACACAUUCAGACAGCUAGAGUUUGAGAGUGAAGCAUAAUCGGAAGCAGAGGAAGAAGAACACACAAAGUCCAUUGUCUCAUCACAACCUUCAGAUUCUAAGGAAGACAUUCCACCAAUGGAACAGCAGACUAUUAGACAAUUAUCGAAUUUGGUUGUACUAGGAGCCGGAGGUAAUGCACCUUCAUGUAUCACUUAUCCUGAACCGGCAGCCACUAAGGAAGGAGAAUUCGAGUUGAAGAGUGGACUUCUGCACCAAAUUCCAAAAUUCCAUGGGCUCAGCAAUGAAGAUCCCAACAAGCAUCUGAAGUCUUUUCAGUUUGUUUGUGUGAGCAUGUGCCCUAGAAAUGCAGAUAUUAACAUUCUGAAGCUGAAGGCAUUUCCGUUCUCACUGGAAGACCGGGCCAAGUCAUGGCUCAUUGACCUACCUACUGGACAUAUAGAUUCAUGGGAAAAGAUGAUGAGUGAGUUCCUGACCAAGUACUUCCCAACGUCAAAGAUCACGGUGAUGAGGAAGCAAAUCACCGGAAUUCAGCAAGGACUAGAGGAAACAUUCUGUCCUUAUUAUGAACGAUUGAAGGCCCUUGUUGCAGCUUGCCCCUCCCAUGGAUUUAAAGAGAAUAACCUUCUGCAGUACUUUUAUGAAGGACUUUCAUCUUUGGAGCGCCAGUUGUUGGAUGCUGCAUCUGGAGGGUCCUUCCUUAACAAAACACCAAGAGAAGCAUGGGCAUUGCUAGACAAUCGUGCCCUAAAUGACCAGCAAUAUGCUGGUGCAUUGGCUUCUUCUCGAAUGGUGAAUGAAGUAAAAUCAAGCACCACACUGGAAAGUAAAAUUGAUACAUUAUUAUCUCAUCUUAUGCUUGGAAAAAGCCAAGAAGUGAAAGCUUGUGGGGUGUGCUCAAGUCAAGGGCAUCAUACUGAUCAGUGCCCUCAACUGUCUGAAAAUGGUGGAUGGGAGACUCUCAAUGCUAUGGGAAAACAAAGGUACAAUCCCUUUUCCAAUACCUACAAUCCUAGUCUAAGGGAUCAUCCAAAUUUCUGAUGGAGCAAUACGGAGAAUGCACUUAAUCCACCACAAUAUUCUGGAGGUCAAUUUCAGCAUCCACAAGGCUUCUUUCAGAAACCCCAGGUUCCUCAAAAUUUUGCUUCAAAUUCUAAUAAUGCUACUCCUUCAUAUGAUAAGAUGCUUGAAGCCCUUUUUCAAGGGCAGCAAAAUUUAACAAAUUCUACUUAAGCUCUUGUGCAAGGUAAAACAAAUAAUACGAAGGAUAUAGCUGAGCUCAAGAACCAAGUGGGGAAAAUAGUGGAUUUCAUGGGAAAAAUUUCUGAAAGUGGAAAACUUCCGCCAAGCACUGUUCCAAUUCCAAAUUUUGAGUCUGCAAAAAUAGUGGCAACAAGGAGUGGACGCGUGUUCAAUGAGGUCCCAAAGAAAGUCCAAAAGAAGGCCCAAGUUGUUCAAGAAGAGGAGGAGGAAAUUGAAAUUUCCAAGAAUGAUUUGGAGGCAGGUCCUGCCACUUCCAGAGUUGAAGCAAAACUGCCCCAACCAACUAAACCGCACAAAGGUAAUGAUACUAACUUUCAAAGUUCAGUUAUUACUAAUCCUCCCUAUGCGCGUGUGCCAUUUCCAAGCAGGUUUCAAAAAUCAAAGAAGAAGAAUCUGAUGAAGCCAUGUUGGAGGUUUUUAAGAAAGUGCAAGUAAAUAUUCCCUUGAUUGACUGCAUUACUCAAGUUCCCAACUAUGCAAAAUUUUUGAAGGAGUUGUGCACAACAAGGAGGCAAACACGUGAAAAAGAAGUUGUGAAGCUGAGUGAGACUGUUUCUGCAGUUCUCCAAAGAAAGUUACCACCCAAGCUAAAGGAUCCAGAGAGUUUUUCUAUCCCUUGUGUAAUUGGUGAUACUACUUUUGAAAAUGUCAUGCUUGACCUAGGUGCAUCCCUUAAUGUUAUGCCAUAUAGCUUAUAUGCAUCUAUGGACUUAGGUGAACUUAAGAAAGACAAUGUCAUAAUUUAGUUGGCAGAUAGGUCUAACAAAUACCCUAAGGGGUAUGUGGAGGACGUUCUUGUGCAAGUUAAUCACUUGAUUUUCCCUGCAGAUUUUUACAUCAUUGAUAUGGAAGACUCACCCUCAAGUUCAACUCUUAUACUUUUAGGGCGUCCUUUCAUGAGAACUGCAAGAACAAAGAUUGAUAUGUAUGCUGGCGCAUUAACAAUGGAGUUUGAUGGAGAAGUUAUAGGCUUCAACAUCUUUGAAGCCAUGAGGUAUACUUUAUCUGAGCUUAAACCAUAUUAUUUUAUUGAUAUCGUUGACUCUCUUGCGCAGAAACUCCUAAAUUCAAUGAUUGAUGAUAAGUUGGAGUACAACAUUGCUCAAGGAGUGGGAUACAAUGCUGAUGGUACUGAUGUGUCAAACGCAGAAUUAGAGGAAAUAUGGGAUGACAUUGUGCUUGAAACCGUCGCCGCUCUUGAAGGCGUACCAAGUAGUUCUAAUCCUCUAUUGUCUCUUCCCAUUUCCACUAACAAAUUGUUACCAUCUGUAGUGCAGACACCCAAGUUGGACUUGAAAGCAUUACCUAAUCAUUUGAAGUAUGUGUACUUGGGAGAGGAUGAGACUUUGCCUGCAAUUGUGUCCUCCAAACUAGAUGAGGAACAAGAAAAGAGAUUGGUGGAGGUAGUGAAGAAGUACAAGACUGCCAUUGGAUGGAGUUUAGCAAACAUCAAGGGAAUAAGCCCAACCACAUGUGUCCAUCGAAUUCUGCUGGAAGAUGGAGCAAAACCCACCAGAGAAGCCCAAAGACGUCUACACCAACCAAUGAUGAAGGUGGUUCAAGACGAAAUCAUCAACUUGCUGGAUUGUGGAGUGAUCUACCCCAUAUCCGAUAGUAAGUGGGUCUCUCCUGUACAAGUUGUUCCAAAGAAAUUUGGAGUGACGGUUGUGAAGAAUGCUGAGAAUGAGCUAGUGCCCUAACGAGUUGUGACUGGACAUAGAGUUUGCAUUGACUAUAGGAAGCUCAACGCCACCACAAGGAAGGACCAAUAUUUCCCCCUACCAUUCAUUGAUCAAAUGCUUGAGAGGUUAGCUGGUCAUGAGUUCUACUAUUUCUUGGAUGGAUACAGUGGCUACAACCAGAUUUGCAUAGCCCAAGAAGACCAAGAGAAGACUACGUUCACAUGUCCCUUUGGCACUUUUGCCUAUAGGUGCAUGCCCUUCGGUUUGUGCAUUGCACCAGGUACAUUUCAACGUUGCAUGAUGUCUAUUUUCUCUGAUUAUAUCGAAAAUAUAAUUGAAGUCUUUAUGGAUGACUUUAGUGUCUUUGGUAAGGACUUUGAUUCAUGUUUGAGAAAUUUAGAACUCAUUUUGAAAAGGUGUGUUGAAACUAAUCUAGUUUCGAAUUGGGAAACAUGUCAUUUCAUGGUGACACAAGGAAUUGUUCUGGGACAUAUCAUAUCUGCUAGGGGAAUUGAAGAUGAUAAGGCCAAGAUUGAUCUUAUUCGUUACUUACCAUACCCCAUAACUAUGAGGGAGAUACGUUCGUUUCUUGGCCAUGCAGGUUUUUAUCACAGGUUUAUCAAGGACUUUUCCAAGAUAGCCAGACCCCUAACUCGCCUCCUUCAAAAAGAGGUAGCCUUUGAUUUUGAUGACGAAUGCAAGACGGCAUUUGAGAAGUUGAAGGAAUUGUUGACAACAGCACUAGUGAUGCUACCCCUAAAUUGGGAUGAACCCUUUGAGUUGAUGUGUGACGCAUCCGACUAUGCUGUUGGAGCCGUACUAAGGCAGAGGAAGGACAAGAAGCCCUAUGCCAUUUACUAUGCCUAAGAAUGCUCAAUGAUGCACAAUUGAAUUACUUUACCACUGAAAAAGAGUUUCUUGUUGUUGUAUUUGCUUUAGAUAAAUUAUGUUCUUAUUUGCUUCAAUCUAAAGUAAUUGUUUAUAUUUAUCAUGCAGCAUUGGGGUACUUGUUUACAAAGAAAGAGGCGAAGCCAAGGCUUAUUCGAUGGAUGUUGUUACUCCAAGAAUUCGACAUUGAAAUUAAAGACAAGAAGGGGAGUGACAACGUGGUUGCUGACCAUUUGAGCAGAUUAGUACGCGAAGAGGACGCCUUGCCCUUGUGUGAGACGUUUCCAGAUGAACAGCUCUUUGGAAGUGAGGUAAGUGAACCUUGGUAUGCUGAUAUUGUGAAUUAUCUUGUGUCUAAGACUUUUCCAGACACUUUACCUCGUUCUCAUAAAGAAAAACUUAAUAAAUUGGCUAGGCAUUACAUUUGGGAUGAUCCUUAUUUGUGGAAACAUUGUCAAGAUCAAAUAAUUAGGAGGUGUGUCCUUGAAACUGAACAUCAAUCUAUUCUUGCCUUUUGCCAUUCUGAGGUUUGUGGAGGUCAUUUUUGAUCUCGUAGAACUACCCUUAAAGUGUUGGAUGCAGAUUUCUUUUGGCCUACAAUUUUUAAAGAUGCCUAUUUGUUUUGCAAGACUUGUGAUAGGUGUCAGAGAUUAGGAAACCUAGGACCUAAAGAUCAAAUGCCUUUACACCAUAUUAUAACUGUGGAAAUUUUUGAUGUGUGGGGUAUUGAUUUUAUGGGACAUUUUCCUUCAUCCAAUGGUUAUUUGUAUAUUCUUGUGGCAGUUGACAAUGUUUCGAAAUGGGUGGAAGCGAUAGCCACCAAAACUAAUGAUUCCAAAGUUGUUGCAGAUUUCCUUCGCUCUCACAUCUUUUGCAGGUUUGGAAUGCCACGAGUUAUCAUAAGCGAUGGAGGAUCACAUUUCUGUAACAAAUCAAUUGAGGCUCUAUUGAAGAAGUACAAUGUGACGCAUAAGGUUUCUACACCUUACCAUCCGCAGACGAGUGGACAAGCAGAGAUCUCUAACCGCGAGAUAAAGAGAAUUUUGGAGAAGACUGUGGGCCCAACACAGAACGAUUGGAGCCAAAAACUGAACGAUGCAUUGUGGGCUUACCGCACAGCAUACAAGACCCCAAUUGGAACAUCUCCAUUUCAGCUGGUCUAUGGGAAGGCAUGUCACCUUCCAGUGGAGCUUGAACAUAGAGCAUGGUGGGCAGUAAAGAAUUUCAACAUGAACCUAGAUGAUGCCGGCCUACAUAGGAAGCUCUAAUUGAAUGAACUUGAGGAGAUCAGAAAUGAUGCCUACGACAAUGCAUGGAUCUACAAACAGAGGACUAAAGCUUACCAUGAUAAAAUGAUCCAUGGCAAAUCUUUUGUGUUGGCUAGAAAGUGUUGUUGUUUCAUUCUAGACUUAAACUUUUUCCCUGUAAGUUACGUUCUAGAUGGAUUGGUCUUUUCAUAGGUACUUAUGUUUUUACACAUGGUGCUGUGCAGAUUUAGAGUGAAAAAACUGGAGAAGAAUUCAAGGUGAAUGGACAUCGGUUGAAGCCAUACUACGAGGCUUUCAAGGAAUACAAUGUGGAGGAAGUACCCCUUCAAGAACCAUUCACACAGAACUAAUGUGUGGUACAAUCGUCUGGCUCAUGGACUUUAAACGAGGCACUAAUUGGAAGGCAACCCAACUCAACCGAAGAUGUGGAGGAGCCAUCAACGCAAAUUUGUUUUCCCUCCCUUCUUCUCUUUUACAUUUUGUUUUUACUUGUUUUGUUUGUUGAUUGUUGUGUCGUGAGUUCCUACUCCAUACUUUGAUUCUACACAUUAUUUUGUGAACAUUGAGGGCAAUGUAGAGUUUGAGUGUGGGGGAGGGAUUUACAUGUUUGUUGAAUUUUUAUUCGAAAAAAUUGAGAAAUCCAAAAACAGUUUUUGUUGCUUUUGAGUCUUUUGUUUUAUUUUUGAGUCUUAGGAGCCCUUAACUGUCUGUGAUGAGCUUAAUUCUCUAAAUUUAUAAAGAAAGAUCACAAGAUUGAAAUGAUUUCCAACUGAUAUUCUGAAGUUAAUUGCAAUGAAUGGAAAUCUAUGAAAUGUAGUGGAUGUGGUUUUGAAACUUUGGUACAGAAAUGAGCAUGUUAAGUCAAAUUUUGACUCAUAUGAACCCUAAUGUGAGCUUUUGAGCCUUUAUAUGUGCCAUUCUUUCUGAGUGCUUAUUGAAAUAUUCUGAUUUGUUUUCUUAGCUAUAAUUGNNNNNNNNNNNNNNNNNNNNNNNNNNNNNNNNNNNNNNNNNNNNNNNNNNNNNNNNNNNNNNNNNNNNNNNNNNNNNNNNNNNNNNNNNNNNNNNNNNNNNNNNNNNNNNNNNNNNNNNNNNNNNNNNNNNNNNNNNNNNNNNNNNNNNNNNNNNNNNNNNNNNNNNNNNNNNNNNNNNNNNNNNNNNNNNNNNNNNNNNNNNNNNNNNNNNNNNNNNNNNNNNNNNNNNNNNNNNNNNNNNNNNNNNNNNNNNNNNNNNNNNNNNNNNNNNNNNNNNNNNNNNNNNNNNNNNNNNNNNNNNNNNNNNNNNNNNNNAAANAAAAAAAAAAAAAAUGCCGUGAACAGUAAAAGAAAGAGAAUAAUAAAAUUUCGGCAGAAAAAGAAGAAACUGGACAUUGUUUUUAUGUUAUAAAAUGGGAGUUUUUGUUGUAAAUGGAAGGCCUAAAAACGAAAUUAUUUGGCCUUUGUUCUGUUUUAUGAUGUUGUAAGGUGGUUAGAAUGACGAAGGGCCCAACAAGUUGGUAUAUGGCCCUUGAUUUUGUGACAUAAGGCGUGUUUAAUGCUCUGCUAGGUCCUUAAGAAUUUUGCAACACUUGCUCUUAAAUUCAUACCCCUAGCCCAGCCCCAUUAACACCUUCUAAAGUUCCUUUUGAUCUUAAAGAUGAGUAAAAUUUGAUCUGUGGAGUUUGUCCCAAGAGUUGAGCCUAUGAAAUGGUUCAUUUGUGUGAGUAAUUGAUUUUUUCUUGAGGUUUUAUAUCUGUUUCACAUGUGCUUUUUAUUCAUAUAAAUGCAAGCUUUUUGAAUGCCUCAAAAUACUUUCUCUUGCAUAGUUUUGAGUGACUUAGCCAGAAAAUCUGUGUGAAAAAUGAGUGCAUACCUUGUGAGAUUGAAUCAUAUUUGUCUGAAACAUGCUGAGCUUAACCAUCACCACUGUUCUUCCAUGUUCUACAUGUAAAUAUGUGAUCUAUGCAUGGCAAUUAGCUUUUGAAACUUCAUGAAAUAAUUCUUGAUUGAGUGCUAAUUUGGAUGCCAUGAGAUUGGAGAAUCUGAGACAAUAGUUAAGGGCAUUAGAGUUUGUUCGUCACUUGUUGUAAUUGUUUGUGACGUUUUUGUUGUUGUAAUUGUUUUUGAGUCUUGUUGUACGUUUUGGUUUUGCUAUGGGACUAGCAAAAGCUAAGUGUGGGGAAAUUUGAUACGAGCACAAAGUGUUAUGUUUAUAAUGUGUUUCCUUCCCCAUUUAACUAUGUUAUUCAUGUAAUAAUGUCAUUUCUAACAUGUUUUGUGAGUGUGAAGGCAAAAGAGCAGAAAAACAAAAAAGGAAGCUAAAACAGGCAAUUUAAAAAAAAUCCUAAUCAAAGGAGGAUUCCUGGUGCAGCAAGGAGUUUCAUUAAGUCGCAAAAUAUGAGGAUAAGUCGUUUAGGAAACUUUCCAGUUUCGAAAAGGGAAACUUGCCUGUUUCAUUUUAAGAAACUUUCUUAUUUUGAUUUAGGAAACUUACUAUUUCUGAAUCUUUCAUAUUCUAACUUUCCUAAAAUAUUUAGGAAACUUUCUUUUCUGAUGAGACAGGGAAACCAUUUGAAGUCAGGAAACCUAAUCCAACUCAGAAUAGGAAUCUGUGAACGUGUAUAAAAGGAGGACGAAUUCUGCAAUAAUCAAGGGAUUUAUGUGUUAAUAUAAAUCAGAAAUUAAGGAAAGAAUUAAGGAAUUCUUUCCUUAAUUUCGUCAUUUAAAUUCUGUUCAUCCUACCUUAUUUAUCUGAUUUUAUUCCCCUUGCAGAAACCUUAAUUAUGCCCCAAGAAAGGAAGGAAAAUCAUGGAUUUUCAUCAAAGGUCUAAUUGAAGGCAGAAGAAGGAAUGUUUUCACUGCUAUGAUUUUCUCUGGAGAACAAGAAAUGUACUUGGCCUCUAUUCGAGCCUCAUGCAAUGGAUUUAUGCACAAGACAUUCCAGAGAAUUCUGGAAAUUUUAAUUCAAGAUAUUAACGUAAUUAUUUCAGACCAUUGGAUCAAAAGUUGAUCAAGGGCUAGGAGAAUACCUAGGGUUUGGCGUGUUCACUAUAAAUAGAGACUCUCUGCUUCACAAUUAUGAUCAUUCAUUCACGUUAAAAAGCAGAGAGAUACGAGAGCAGGAGCAGGCCGUCUUUUCCUCUUUUGCCGAGUUCAUCCUCUCUUAAAUAAAAGAGUUAGAAUGCAUGCUAGCUAUUGCCAUGAUUCGUGCUAAGCUUCUUCAAGUAAAUAUGUUUCUCUAAGUGGUGAAAACUAUGUAAUAAUAGUUGAAAACGUAAAUUACAGCAAACGCAUGUUAUGACUUCUCAGGUGUGCAUUGUUGUUCAAUCUCAGUUCUAUAAUUCUUAAUGAUUCAUGUUUAUUGUGGACAAGUACUCUUCAGUAUUGAAUGCAGCAAUUUACAUGAAAUAAUCUAAGUUCUAGACUUCUCUGUGCUUAGGUGAUAAAGUAAGUAGAAUUAAAAGAAUGCAUGUCCUCUUCAGGCUUGUGUUUCGAGAUUGUUUCUCUUGUUAAAAACUUGCAUGAUAAUCAGAUUGUUGGAAUGAGAUGAGACCUUGAUGUUUGGUAGAAUUCGAAUUACGCGCCCCGGUAACGAGAUGCCUAGAGGAUAGGAAAGUGGGCUUGGCUACCCAGUUUUUGGAGAAGGAAGCAUAGCAUUGGUAGCUUGAUAUGAGUAGAGGUAUGGGUGAUGCUGCAAAUCAUAUGUCCUGGGAUCAGUUUACAACUCUUUUUAGAAAGCGUUAUAUUAGUCAUGCUCAUGUCAACUGAAUGAGGGAGGAGUUCUUGAAUCUGCAGAAGAGUGAUGACAUGACAGUGAUGGGUUUUGAGCAGUGAUUCUAGGAGUUGUCCUAUUAUGUGCCUGAUUUGGUGAGGACAGAGCAGGAGAAGAUUUAUCAGUUCACCAAAGGCCUUGGUGGUAUUUAUGCAAACCGGAUGACAGCGGUGCCAUAUCAGUCAUUUCACCAGGCCGUGACUUUUGCUUUGAACAUUGAGGCACAGGAGUUGGCAGCUGGCCGUCUUCGUGAUUCUGGUGGUCAUAGCCAGGGUACAUCAAAGAAAUUGGCGUCCACCUCGGGUUCUGGAUCAUCUACUGGCAGUGGACAUGGUAGCAGUUCGAGUUUUGUCUCCGGUUUCAGAGGGAGGUUCAAGAGGCAGGGUGGUAGAUCUUUCAAGAACUUAUUGGGCGUCAGUUUGGGCGAUUUAGGAGUGGAUCGAGCAGUAAGAGUGGGACCUCUGGGGGUCAGUCUUUUCAGUCUGGGCAGAGUCAUUUUCAGCCAGGGGGAUGUUUUCAGUGUGGUCAGCUGGAUCACUUCAAGAGGGAUUGUCUCCUUUUGACUCAGGGAGCCACAUAUACUCCUACUCAGGCCAUGGGUCAGACAUCAGCUGGUGGUUCUAGUAGUGGCACUCACGCCAUGGCUCUAGCUUGAGGCGGCUUUCAGCAGGGCAGAGGACAGAGAGGUCGUCCUGCCACUACUCAUGCUAGGCUUCAUGCCAUGACUCAGCAUGAGGGACGUACCUCCCCGGAUGUCAUCAUUGGUACGUUGUUAAUUUUCGGUCAUCUUGCUUUUAUAUUGAUAGACCCUGGAGCGACGCAUUCUUUUAUGUCUAGUACAUUUUCAUUUCUCGCCAAUGUGCCAUCAUCGCCACUUCCAGGCGAGUGGCAGGUUUCCUUGCCCUCCGGUGAUGUGAUGAAGAUACAUUGGGUAUUUAGAGGUUGUGAAGUGUUGGGAGGGUCUUAGUUUCGAAGUUGACUUGAUCCAUUAGAUAUUGUGGAGUUUGAUGUAAUCUUGGGUAUGGACUUUCUAGAGGCACAUUGAGCCAUGAUUGAUUGUUUCCAAAAAGUAGUGGUGUUACGAAGUCCUGGAAAGCCUGAGGUUACAUUUCAAGGGGAGCGGGGUGUGGUUUCAAGUUGUUUGAUUUCAGCUGUCGCUGCUAGGAAAUUGUUGAAUAAAGGUUGCCAGGCUUAUUUAGCCCACGUGGUGGAUACUAGAAAGGGAGAGGUGAGAAUGGAAGAUAUCCCUGUAGUUAAUGAGUUUCCAGAUGUUUUUCCAGAUGAGUUGUCUGGCUUGCCUCCUGUAAGGGAGAUAGAUUUUACAAUUGAGCUACUUCCUGGAAUGGUGCCUAUUUCUCAAGCGCCUUAUAGAAUGGCACCUGCAGAAUUAAAAGAGUUAAAAACUCAACUGCAUGAGUUGGUGGAUAAGGGUUUUAUUCGGCCUAGUAUGUCUCCUUGGGGUGCUCCAGUGUUAUUUGUCAAGAAGAAAGAUGGCACCAUGAGACUUUGUGUAGAUUAUAAGAAGUUGAAUCAGGUUACGGUGAAGAAUAAAUAUUUUUAACCCCGCAUUGACGAUUUAUUCGAUCAGUUGAGGGGUGCCACCGUCUUUUCAAAGAUUGAUUUGAGAUCGGGAUAUCAUCAAUUGUGAAUUCGGGAAGGUGAUAUAGCCAAGACUGCUUUCUGAUCACGUUAUGGUCAUUAUGAGUUUGUGGUGAUGCCGUUUGGACUUACUAAUGCACCCGCUGCUUUUAUGGAUCUCAUGAAUAGGGUGUUCCGUCCUUACCUUGACCAUUUCGUGAUUGUAUUCAUAGAUGACAUCUUGGUGUAUUCGAAGAAUUUGAAGCAACAUGCUAAGCAUUUAAAUAUGGUAUUGCAGACUUUGAAGGAAGCUCAAUUAUAUGGAAAGCUUAGUAAUGUGAGUUUUGGCUGGAUAAAGUGGGGUUCUUAGGCCAUGUGGUUUCGGUAGAAGGUGUCAGUGUGGAUCCCCAAAAGAUAGAAGCGGUGAUAAAUUGGAAGAGGCCUUCUAGUGUGACGGAGAUUCGUAGUUUCUUGGGGUUAGUAGGCUAUUAUUGUCGUUUUGUCCAAGUUUUUUCAAAAAUUGCCUCUCCUCUUACAAGAUUGACCAUGAAGGGGGUUAAGUUCGAGUGGUCAGAGAAGUGUGAGCAGAGCUUUCAAGAGCUCAAGGAUCGAUUAACUAGUGCUCUAAUUCUAGCACUCCCUGAUGAUAGUGGAGAGUAUGUGGUUUAUUGUGAUGCUUCCAGGCAGGGUUUGGGUGGUGUGUUGAUGCAACAUGAAAGAAUAAUUGCUUACGCUUCUAGGCAAUUAAAGCCACAUGAAGUGAAUUACCCCACCCACGACCUAGAGCUUGCUGCAGUGGUUUUUGCUUUGAAAUUAUGGAGACAUUAUCUCUAUGGAGCCAAGUGCCAGAUCUUUACCGACCAUAAGAGCCCUCGGUAUGUGUUCACUCAGAGAGAGUUAAAUAUGAGGCAAAGAAGGUGGAUGGAGUUGAUUAAAGAUUAUGAUUGCACUAUUGAAUAUCAUCCUGGAAAAGCUAAUGUAGUAGCGGAUGCUCUUAGUCGCAAUCCUUCUAUGUCCUUAGCUUAUAUGAGAAAAGUUCGGGUUCCACUUUUUUAUGAGUUGCGAGCUACAGGAGUGGAAUUUUCGGUGGAUGAAAUUGGUGCUUUGGUAGCCAGUUUUCAUGUGAGGCCAGUUUUAAUUGAUAAAGUGCACGAGACUUAGUAUAAUGAUCCUUCCAUAGUUCGGUUGAUAGAAAGAACACUUAAUGGAACAACAGUGGAUUUUUCUGUUAGGAGAGAUGGAGCCUUGUUGUUUAAAAAUAGGCUAUGUGUUCCGAAAAGGAAUUUGGAGUUGAAAUAGGAGAUAAUGAAGGAAGCUCAUAGUUCUGCUUAUGCUGCACAUCCUGAUAGUACUAAAAUGUACAAGACCUUGAAAGAUUUUUAUUGGUGGCCAAAUAUGAAAAGGGAGAUUGCCGCUUAUGUAAGUAAAUGUUUGAUUUGUCAACAAGUCAAAGCUGAGAGGCAGAAACCUUCUAGUUUGUUAGAGCCAUUGCCUAUUCCGAUAUGGAAGUGGGAUCACAUCGCCAUGGAUUUUGUUUUUAGCUUACCUCGUACCCGUGAUGGGCAUGAUGGUAUUUGGGUGAUUGUAGAUCGAUUAACAAAAUCUGCUCAUUUUCUGCCAGUGAGGAAGAAGUACACAUUAGAUAAAUUGGCGAAACUUUAUGUGAAUGAAAUUGUGAGACUCCAUGGUGUGCCUGAGUCUAUAGUAUCUGAUCGGGAUCCUAGAUUCGCUUCUAAAUUCUGGGGAGCUUUGCAGGCAGCUUUGGGCACUCGGUUGCACUUCAGCACAGCUUUUCAUCCUCAAACGAACGGGCAGUCUGAGAGGACUAUUCAGACCAUGGAGGACAUGUUGAGGUCUUGUGCUAUGCAAUUCAGAGGGAGUUGGGAUAAUAAUUUGUCCUUGAUAGAAUUUGCCUACAACAACAGUUUUCAUUCUAGCAUAGGUAUGACUCCCUUUGAAGCGCUUUAUGGGCGGCAGUGUCGUAUACCUCUAUGUUGGAAUGAGGUGGGAGAAAAAGAGCUUUGUGGUCUAGAGAUUAUCCAGGAUACAAAUGAGAAGAUCAAGAUAAUUAAAGAUAAGCUCAAAGCGGCUCAAAAUAGGCAGAAGAGUUAUGCAGAUAACCGCAGGAAGGAUCUUGAGUUUCAAGUGGGUGAUCAGGUAUUUUUGAAAUUAUCCCCUUGGAAGGGCGUAGUAUGUUUUGGUAAACGGGGAAGCUUACCCCGAGGUAUAUUGGUCAUUCUGAGAUUUUAGAGCGGGUUGGCACAGUUGCUUAUCGAUUGGAGCUACCUUCAAAGUUGUCCAGGAUACAUAAUGUUUUCCAUGUGUCCAUGCUACGCAAGUAUAUCGCCGAUCCCACUCAUGUCUUGCAAGAGCAACCGAUUAGCUUGAGGAAAGAUUUGACCUAUGAAGAGGAACCAGUUCAGAUUCUUGAUCGGAAGGAGCAAGUGCUUAGGAGCAAAACGAUUCCACUUGUUAAAGUUCUGUGGAGGAGUCAUCAGGUAGAAGAAGCUACUUGGGAACCGGAAGAGCAAAUGAGGUAGCAGUAUCCUUAUCUCUUUGAUUGACAUGUAUGUAAAUUUCAAGGACGAAAUUUUUAUAAGGAGGGGAGAAUUGUCACACCCCGGUUCUUAAGUUAUUUUACGGUUAUUUACUUUGGUAUUAUUUUGGUCUUUUACCGUGUUGAGUAACCGUUUACUAUUUAAGGACCCUAAGGUUGACUUUUUGUAGGAAAGAUAUUUUGGAAAAAUUUCUUUAAGGAAGUUGUAGAGGACGUUAAGACAAGUUCGUAGGCAUGUUAUGCGUUAAAAUCGGAGUUGGCAUGAAAAAGUUAUCAAGUAAAAGGGUAAAUUUUUGAGUUGGUAAAAAGGGGGUAAAAAUUUUAGUGGGUAUUAUUUUUGUUGGGGUAUAAGUUGGACCGGGUGUGGAGCAGCCCAACACCCCUCUCUCUCUCUCNNNNNNNNNNNNNNNNNNNNUCUCUACUCUCUCUACUCUACUUCUCUCUCUCUCUCUCUACUCUCUACUCUCUCUCUCUCUCUCUCUCUCUCUCUCUCUCUCUCUCUCUCUCUCUCUCUCUCUCUCUCUCUCUCUCUCCCGAGCUCUCUUAUCGUCGGAAACUUUCCACCACCAGCUGCUACCAUCCGACCAGCAACCGACCGCCACUUCAGCCUAGUUCGAACCCCCGCCACCUCCUCUCUCUUCCUGGGCAAGUGUUCGAGCCAGUGACGCUGCCGAAGAGGAGAAAACCCGCCAGAAAAGUCGGACAGCCCUUCGCCGGAGUUCCCUCCUCCGGCCACCAUAGGUCAUUAUUUUGGGUUCAUCUUGUAGCCCUCAUCAAGAUGAGUAAUGCCUCAAAAGGAAUUGGCUAAAUUCGAUCUUGUUAGGGAGAAAUGUAUAAUUGAAGUUCUAGGGCUCAAUUUAAGGUUUUGGUUCGAUUAGCCUAGUUGAGCUUAAAAAUGGACUUUGUGCUAGUUAAGGAAGUUGUUGUGUGGGUUAAGAGGAUUGUUGUGUUAAAAUUUGGGAAGCAUUGGAGGUCACCAGAGUACGACUGCCGGCCGCCGCCCCUUAGGGGCAGUUUUUCAUGUUUUUGGGUUUGUUUUUGUGAGAGGAGUUUAAUGAAGUAUAGUUUGGAAUUUUUGGAGGAGUUUUGAUAAGGUUUGAGAUUUUUCAAUGGUUAAGGAUUGUGGCGGUCAUUAACAUGGAAUUCCGGCAGUUGGUUUAGCAGGUUUUAAAUUCUAAAAAGGUUAAUUUAUGGUUAUCGGUAAGUGCGGAGUAAGAUGAGCUUUAUUAGAUUAAAAGUGGAGAAGUUGGGCAAGAGAGAUGAAAUUAUAGGCUUCCAUUUUAUUUCGGAAAUUUUAUUAAAGUGUUAUCCUAGUUUGGAGACUAAAUAAUUAUUUAUUGUUUAGGACGUGAGGAGGAUCAUUUGGAGGAAUUCUCGGGUCGUCGGCAGGCAUAGCCGAGCACUGUAAGUGGACCUUUGAUUUGAAUGCCAUGCAUGCACUAAAGUAUAUUUAAUUUUCAAAGGCAUUUUGGAGAUUUAAUAUUUUUCUUGGUUUAAUGAGUUCCAUUUAUUUAUCGGGAACUCUCUUGAUCAUUUUAUUUGACAUGUGGGACAUGUCAAGUGAUUUAUUUUAUUACGUAAUAUUUUUGGGUACAGUUGGGAACUGUACUAAGCUCAAUGGAUUUUAUAUUAUUUUUAGGGAAGUGUUAUUCUUGAUAUUUAUUAUUUUACUUCACCAUAAAAUGGUUGAUAUAUAUUCAUUAUUGCUAGCUAACCAUUAUUAGCGGCUACUCACCAUAGGUGAUUAGAGCACUUAGCGUGGGACGCUAUUAUGGCCUGGGAGGCAACCGAUAACUAUGCAUGUAACUAUCCAUGAAACUAUCAAUUUUCCAUGAAACUAUCCAUGUAACUAUCAAUUUUCCAUGUAACUAUCCAUGUAACUACAUAUUGAUAGUUAUCUGGGUAGUUACAUACUUGCUACACUUGUGUAACUACAUUAACCUGCCUACAUUAACUGUGCUACAUGCUAGAUGUACUUCUAUAUUUCAGCAGAUAAUAAAUACCAGAAUUGAAGAUGUAUAUAUAAGCAAAGAUUGAUUAAUUACUAUGAAAUGUCCUAUAUUGAUUAAGUCGUAUAAGAACCCAUACUGUCAACGUUUUGAAUUCAACUUUCUUUGGUAGCUUUGUGAGGUCCCAUUUCCUCAUCUUAUGUUCCUCAUCCUCUGUGCCUUCAAUCGACUUUAUGACGUUUGUCUUCUCACAAAGCCAAUACUAGCACAUAUAAAAAAUUAAAAAAAUUAAAAAAUAACAGUUAGUUACCAAAUGAUUUUCUUACCAAAAACAGUUAGUUACCAAAGAUACAUACCAGAAUUAAGUGCGCACAGCCUCCUGUGUUCAACCCGCUCAACCCCUUACCCUUUGAUUUUAGUCGUUGUCUUAAACAACCUGACAAAAAUCUUCCAACCUCUUUAGCCCAUCCACAGCUCUCUAUAUUCCUCCAUAUUGCAUUUAUCAUGUCAGGACCCACCCUGAAUUUCACCCUGAAACCCGAAGUAAAUCUUGCGGGGACCACCUCUAAAGAAAAUUUACCGAAAAUUCGGCAUAACCUCCCUUGAAAAUAGACAACCCUUCCUAGAAAUACCUACAUACACUUCAAAAGAAAUCCAUCUAUAACCCUCUACUCCUAGAGCCUUCGUGCUCUCCAAAUCACAACAUCUCCCAAUUUAUUUACUAAAUUUAAUGAGCAUAAUCCCACAAUCGACAAUCACAAUUCAGAGCAACUCUAAUUGGGAGGAAAGGAACUAGAAACAUAGAAAUGAGUAGAAGCUAUACUAUUGACUAUGCAUCUUCUCCAUGUACGCCCGACCUCAAUUAUGGUAACCUGCAUACUGGGCAUUUUUAAAACAAAGGGCCCAGGGGAAAAUAUUUGUAAACGUUAGAGUGAGUGGACAAAAAUAAAUAAAUAAAAUAUUUAUGCAUUCCCAAUUUAAUUUCCAUAGAAAUUAUGCUGCAUGCGACAGCUCAAAGCUUCAUACUCACAAAUUGGCAAAUACAUGAUUAGCUCCAGCUAGUCUCCAAAACUUUAUAAAAUAGAGCCUCUCAGGCUAAAAUAUAAAUAUAUAUGUAUAUAUCUACACAUGUCCAUACUCCUUGUAUGAAUUCUAUGAAGGAAAUAUAAGAAAAAUAGAAAUUCAUACAAGGCUACUACGCUUGCGUCUAACGCUCACGUCACGCAGUAAUGCGGUGCUACACUACGCCAUUAAGGUGAACGGACGGGUGUAUAAAUAUGUGCCCAUACCAAACCUAUCCAAAACUCCUCAAAAAAUUCCAAACUUCACAUCAUUAGUCUCCCCUUAAUAUAACAUAUUUAAAACCAUGAAAAUCUCCCUAACAGCGGCGACCUCCGAUGCCUACAAAAAUUUGACAGCAUCUUCCUCUCAACUCACUCUACAACUUUCCAAACUAGCACAAACACCAAUUUCAAGCCUAACUAGCCCAAUCGAACGAAAACAUUCUAAAAAACCCUAGAACUUCCACUCAUCGAUUCUCCUUACCUGAAGCAAACUGGAUUGAGUCCUUUUAGGGCAAGACUACUGGGUUGGAGACCUUCAAAACCAUGUAAGGUUUGCCCGGAUUGGUGGCCAGAGGAGGGAAUUCCGGCGACGGAGAGCUACAGCAAUCGGACCUUUCGGGCGUGCCUACUCCCACACGGCAGUGCUAGGGUGGCUCUCACCCGUCCAGGAAGAAGGCUGGGUCGACGGCCGACCGUUUGGGACUGGAACAGCGGCCUACGGUGGCCGAACGGCGGCGGACUGCUGCUUGGAUUCUGGCAGGUAAAGGGAGCUCGGGGGAGAAGAGAGAGAGAGUGAAGAAAGUGUUUGGGCUUUCUCACUCCACUAUGACCCAGUCCACUCUUAAAAACCCACUCCAAAAUAAAUAACACACUCCCAACAACAAUCCAAAAAUAAUACCCUAAUAAAAAUUACAUUUUUACUAGCUAAAAUUACCCUUUUUACCGUCUUCAAAUAUUUCUCCUACAAAUAAUUUCUUUGAAAUAAUCGUCCCUCAAAAUAUCUCUAAGGACCUUUGAGAUUAUAAACUCAUUGACGAAUACUGUAAAACUCUUAUUAAUACCAAGCUAGUAAAUAAGGUAAAAAUUUAAGAGUCGGGAUGUGACAUAUCAACUCAUUUGAUACACUCCUUCCCCCAUUUGCAAAUAAAAACUUUAUGCAAAUUUCUAAAAUCAGCAGCCUAACCAAAUUUUUUCUCUUCUUUCUUCUUUCUUCUUUCUUCAUCAUUUGUUGGCUGCUGGUCCUUCAGCUUUCUUAAAGCGUCCAUCACACACUUUUUUGUCACUCUUUUGUUUUUCCCAAACAAUGUCUCUGCUGCAUUCUCUUCCACUUGCAUUGUGUCAAACUAACCACCUUUUCUAGGAAGUCCUAGAAUCUCAGAUACAUCUCUGCUUGAGAUUCUGUAUCUUCCUUCCCCGAUCACAAAUGCAUUAAACUUUUCAUUGUAAGUGUCGGUGAUUGUUUCAAUGAGCUUGUUCGACUUCCCAAAGUGCUUUUUGUUGACAUGCUCAUAAAAUCCUUCAAAAAUUAAACCAAACGGGCCAUUUCUCAGCUCAUUCAGUGCUUCUUCAUCUAAUACUUUUCUAAAACUGUCCAUUUCAGGCAAUGUUGAUCUGAACUGAUUUGAGUUAUGCUUCUCUGUCUCAUCUUCUUCUUCCUCCUCCAUUUCAGAUGUCUUCUUCUCCGCCUUCUUCUUCUUUGGUUCCUCUAUCUUAGUUUUCUUCUCUUGUUUUCUCCUUCUUGUUUGCUGUCCCAGAAAUAGUUUAGACAGCAGUACACCAUCAUCCUCUUCAUUCACUAUCCUCUUUCUCUUCUUUCCUUCCUCACUAAUUGUGUUCAUUUUUCGCUUAUCCAUUUCCUUGCAUCAAAUAAAGAGCAUAUAAACAUUAAGAAACUUUUACUGUGUAAAAACAAACAUAUCAUCCACAAUAACAAAUCAUGUAACUAUCCAUGUAUGUAAUUAAGUAUGUAACUAUGCAUAUAAUUAAGCAUGUAACUAUAUAGAACAAAAGCAAAGGACUAACAAACAUUAGAAUCCAAUAUUUACACACAAAUCAGAGGAAGCAAAAUCUAAUGAAGAACAAAUACUAACAACCAAUGAACAUAAUAUCAGUGAACCCUAGAUCUUCAAAACUACAUGGGCAGUUACAUGUAAAACGACUAAUACAACUCAAAUCCUUGCAUCACAGAUGCAUACAUAUGAACUGUAGAAUCCAAACAAAACAAAACAAAAUACACACUAAUAGCUAUCUUCAUAAUCCCAAACAAAACAAAACAAAAGCAAUGAAUAACGAACAGUAAUCAAACGAAAAAACAAAAGUCUCAGUAGUAUUGGAUAGUUACUUGAUAGUUACAUGUAACUAUCCAAGUAACUAUGUAUGUAUAUAUCGAUGUAACUAUGCAUGUAACUAUCCAUGUGUUUAACUAUGCAUGUAACUAUCUAUGUAACUAUGCAUGUAACUAAGCAUGUAACUAUCGAUGUAUGUAACUAUCCAUGUAACUAAGCAUGUAACUAUCCAUGUAACUAAUAAAACUCAAGUCCCUGCAUCACAGAUGCAUACCGAUGAGUUGUAGAAUUCGAACAAAAAAUACACACCAAAAGCAACUUCAUAAUCCCAAACUAAACAGAACAAAAGCAAUGAAUAACGAACAUUAAUCAAACGAAAAAAUGAAGAAAAAACUAAUGAACAGAAUGUCAGUGAACCCUAGAUCUUCAAAACCACACCGAUAUCAAAGUUCGAACUCCCAAACCCCUAAAUCCCUAAUCCUAUUCCUGAACCCUAGAUCUUCAAAACCUUCAAAUUCUGUUAAUAGGAUUUACUGAACCCAAAAUGCAAAAUAGUCGAGCUUAUAAUACUGUUUAAUCAGAAGGAAUCGAAAGCCAGAAGGAAUCGAAAGUAGGAGGCAGAGAUUAAGGACUGCGAAGAUGUUACCUAAGGUUUUUUGAAUUCUGAUAUUGUGGAGGAAUUGUUCUCGACGCCGCCCUCGAGCCGAAGAUGAGCCUCAUGUCGACAAUUACUGGGGAGUACGACGGCUUCGCCGGAGAGAGAUGGAUGAUGGAUUCGCCGGAGACACAGAGAAUUAGGGUUUUCAGCGAGAGUGAGAGAGAAGAGCGGUUUCGAUAGUUUUGAGGGAGAGAAUGAAAUGAUUUGUGAAAUGAAAAUCAAAGAUAGGGAUUUAGAGAUGGGGUAACGGCGUCAGUGGCAUAAUUCGUAGUUAUUUUUAUUCUUAGGGGCAACGUUUUAAGAGAUUUCAGUGGCAUAGAUCGUAAUUUUUUUUUAUUUUCAUGGGCAACGCUUUAAGAGAUUUAAAUGAGUGUACUGGUUUAUAUCAAUGAACAUUUAUUAACAGUUUUAUCAUUUGUUAUCUUUAAAUAUACAUUUUUAUCAUCGGCUCAAAUAAAAAUUUCCACUAAAAAUAAACCAAAACGAAUACAGAUAAAGAAAUGACGCAUGCCCAAGCUCUAUCAAGUGAUGUCACUCAAAGUUUUUCUUUUUCGGCCGGUAAUUUAAGUACCACACUCUUUUAUAUAAUUGGCUCGUACGAUGAUCCCAAAUCCGUUGUAAUCUACGGUCAGAAUGACUUCCACGUAAUCCACACUCCCAGAUCGCAAAUCCAAGCACGCCACGUGGCCGACUCGAUUCCAAAAUAUACGUUCCUAUCUUUCCUAAACAGACACCACAGCAAGCCCCGGUGGGACGAGCAACACCGAAUUAUUUAACCACUGGAGCUGAAGGAGUCGCCAGGUUAGACUUAAUAGAGACUCUCUCCUACCUUCCAUUCCAUUAAUACAGAAUUUUCAGGCUUUCUUUCUCCAAAUUCUCUCUCCAAAUGUUUCUCUCUCACUCUCACCCGCGCUUUUUCCCCUAAAUUCUCCCAAAAAUAAAAACCGCUGCCUGAUUUGAAACCACAGUCGCCGGCAGUCUCAGCUUCUCUGAUCGAUUUCAAGUUUCAGCUCAGGCCAAGGUACUGAGGUUAUGGAAUUGAUUGUUUUUGUGAAAGAGCUCGAUUUUUGUGGUUUAUGGAUAUUCUGAUGUGAGUUUUGGUUUCGUUUUUGUGGUGGAGGUGCAGAUCUGGAAUUCUAGGGUUUACAGAAAAGGGGGUGAAAAAAUGCAGAGGCAAACUAGGCUCAUGGAGAGGAACAACUCCAUGAGAGGGAAGAGGCAAGCGGAAGGGGGAGAGGAGGAGCAGCCGGAGCGGAAGAGGCCAGCUCUCGCUAGGUAACUAGUUUUUAGAUCAAUCUGCUUGGUUUUCGGUUGCGAAUUCGAUGAACUAGAUGUUUAAUUCGAGAAUUGAUGUACAUACACGCUUUUCUAUUUGGAGAAUUAAGGCUUGCUUUCUGUUUGACCGAUGUUGAUUACAUUGUGUAGGUUCAGUUACAUUUUACUUGCUGUUUUAAGGCACCGAAUCAGUUAUAGUUCAUUUGGAGUAGAUAGGAGUAACAUUUGCUUUUAAAUCUGUCGAGGUUUCUAGGACCAAAAGCCACAAGCAGUUAAUGACCUAAUGUUGUAUUGAAAUUUAAUUUGUCUGUUGGGGGCUCUACUUCGUGUACAUGCACACCACUAAAUGAAUCUUCGUACAGCUUUCAGUAGUAUAUUUAUAUUUUAUUACAUUUCUUUGUUCUAUGUUAAGAGGGCGUAGGGAAGAAAAGACGCAUAAUAUGGUAGGUUUAGGUGUUUAAGAGGAUUCUAGCCUGUCGCAAAAUGUAAAGUUGGAAGUCGUAUUUGUCUUGCUAGGAGUUUUAUAUAGAAUUAAUAAUGGAUCUUCAAACAGAACUUUGGUUGCCAAUUCUAUUUUUUUUAUUUGCAUCAGUUAAAUUGUUUGGUGUUCAAAUCUUCAAAAUACAACUAUUACGUGUUUUAUAUUCCAUUGGACAAAUUGUAUUUGCAGUGUAAUUGUUGAAGCUCUGAAGGUUGACAGUCUGCAGAAGCUGUGCUCGUCACUGGAGCCUAUUCUUCGAAGAGUUGUAAGUUGUCUUUGGAGAGAUUUCCUUUGGGGUGGCUGUGUUCAUGCAUUAUCUUGUUAACAUAGCACAAAUUAUCUGCUGAACACUACUGAUAUAAGCUUGCAGCUUAUUUUCUCAGUUUCAUCUCUAAAAAGGUGUAAAGUUCAGGCACUCAUCACUAAUAUUAAGCUUCACUUAUGUGCUUCCUAUCUAAAUUAUCCAAACAUCGUAUAUGAUGAAUUAAUAAUACAAAUGAUCAUUUUUGCUGAAUGUCAUCCUUUGAUUCUUUCUGGUGUAACUCCUACAAAUCAAAUCUAUCUCAACUUGAAACUUUGGUUGGUUGACUAAAAAUGGUAUUGCCCAAAACUACUGGUUUUAAAUGUGAUGUCUUAUGAGAGUUUGCUAUAUGAUAAUCCCAGCUUGGCUAGAUCCAGAAACUUGGUAGAAAUUCUUUGUAAGACUACCAGACUUUGAAGCUACUGUUUUUGAUGUCACAUACGUUCCUAGUGUUGACUAGGAUCCCGAGUAUGAUGGAAGAUAAUUUUUGUGUAGUUGGGGGCUAAAAGUUAACGUGAGGUGUUAGAGACGCUUAAAUAGCUUUGUCAUCAUUUUCAAGCAAGGCCAUUCGUCACAAAUUUUAUUUUAUUCAUAAACAGUUCUUUAACAGAGAAAUCUAUUUAAAUUCAAAUAACCAAAUUGUGUGUGAUUAAUGUAACUAGUACAUUUUAAAGUAUUGUGUAUAAAAUAGACACAAAUUAGAAAUACCUAAACGUAUGAGUAAUGUAACUAAUACAUUAAGUUUUUAAUGUGUUAUGUACAAAAUAAACGCAAAUUAGAAGUACGUAAACCAUUAGACGUUCGAGCACCUUAUGAAUAGCCAAUUUAAGACCAUGUAAUAUAACGUACGUGUAGUUAUUUGGUGGUAAAAAGUGUAAUAUGUUGUAGUUUCUGAUUUUUCUGGUCAUGCUAUUUGAUCUCUAGUCCAAUUCUUACUUUUAACCUUACUGAUUGAUUACUUAACAGGUCAGUGAAGAAGUGGAACGGGCUUUGGCCAAGUUGGGCCCUCCAAGACUUAAUGGAAGGUAAAAGAAUGUCUUGAGUGUUUGUUUGUCUGCAUCAGAUAAUUUAUUUCUUUCCAGAUGUGAACGGUGUCACUGAUUGUGAGUGUAAAUGUCUGUUUAAACUUUAAAUCAACAAGUCUUUUCAAGUACUAAAUGAUAAAAGGAAGAGCAAUUGUCUAUUUUACGCUGACAAAACAAUAUAUUUUCAAAGAUAUAAGAGUCAAAUCUAUUUUUAUAAAAAUCCUCAAAUUGCUGUAAAGAAAGCUUCUCUAUAUAUUUUCAUGUUGCUGUUCAUAUGUUUGUCAGACCAGCAUGGAUGCUGAAGGCUCGUGACAUUUUCAAAGUUUAANNNNNNNNNNNNNNNNNNNNUUUGAACGUAAGAUCAUAAUCUGACUGAGUUCAGCGGGGCUCCUUGAUAUGAUGAUCAUCAAUACCAUGAAUUAAGAAGGAAUCAACAAUAAAGAAAAAUGACACGGUUAUAGUUGUAGAAUUUUGCAUUCUAUAUAUGCAAUUUUUAUUUUCUCUGACACUUGUGAGAUUUUAGGUCUUCCCCCAAACGGAUUGAAGGUUCAAACGAGCGGAACUUGCAACUACAGUUUAAGUCCAAUCUGGCUCUCCCCAUCUUCACAGGAGGGAAAGUUGAAGGCGAGCAGGGAGCUUCAAUUCAUGUUGUUCUAGUUGAUACGAACUCUCGCUGUGUUGUAACAUCUGGACCUGAAUCCUCUAUAAAACUAGAUAUUGUUGUGCUUGAGGGUGAUUUUAACAAUGAAGAUGAUGAAGGCUGGACUCAAGAAGAAUUUGAAAGCCACGUGGUCAAAGAGCGUGAAGGAAAGAGACCUCUAUUGACUGGGGACCUGCAAGUGACACUGAAGGAAGGGGUAGGGACAAUAGGGGAUCUGACUUUUACUGAUAACUCAAGUUGGAUACGGAGCAGGAAGUUCAGGCUUGGAUUGAAAGUUGCAUCAGGAUUUUGUGAGGGAAUGCACAUCCGUGAAGCGAAAACAGAAGCUUUUACUGUUAAAGAUCACAGAGGGGAAUGUAAGCUUAUGCUCUGUUCCUACCUAUCUUGUGCUCAUACACUGUUACACUACUUUUGACUUCUUUUUCUUUUCUUCUCUUUUGAUCUUGACAGUAUACAAGAAACAUUACCCACCAGCACUAAAUGAUGAAGUAUGGAGACUGGAGAAGAUUGGAAAGGAUGGGGCAUUCCAUAAGCGGCUGAACAGUGCAGGAAUACACUCAGUUGAACAGUUUCUUCAGCUUGUGGUCAAAGAUCCUCAAAGAUUACGUAGUGUAAGUGCGGCGCUCAAUUUGAGUUAUAAACACACAAACAUAUGGUAUAUUUGUAUUCUUUUACGCUUGCAUAUGUUUUAAGUUUUCUGUCUUGCUGUUAUAGAUCCUUGGAAGUGGCAUGUCAAAUAAGAUGUGGGAAGCUCUCGUAGAGCAUGCAAAGACUUGUGCCCUUAGCGGAAAGCUUUAUGUUUAUUAUCCUGAAGACACAAGAAAUGUUGGUGUUGUUUUUAAUAACAUCUACGAGCUCAGUGGCCUGAUUGCUGGGGAACAGUAUCAUUCUGCCGAUACUCUUUCUGACAGCCAGAAGGUAGAUUCAUACCCACCUUUUCUUUUUGGUUUGCUUAUUUAAAAGGUCCAUAACCAUACUUUUGAGUGGUCAAUCUCUGGUGUAGGAUGGUAUUUUCCAAAAACAAACAGUUUCCCAUUCCACGAGGAAUAUAUUUGAGAGAUGUGAUAGUUUACAUAAGAGUAGAUCUAGGGCUGUGAUUUUGUAUUUUAAUGCGUAGAGAGUUGGGUGUCAUUUUUACAGUCUGGGGCCGUUGAAGGUCCUACGACCUAUAAUCCAGAUAGUCAAGUGCAUAACAUUUUAAUUUUUAAAUACUAUUUAACUAGAUAGUCAAGUGCAUAACAUUAUAUAAUGCUUAUGUUUUUGCAGCUCUAUGUAGAUACACUUGUAAAGAAAGCAUAUGAAAAUUGGGAUCAGGUUAUUGAGUAUGAUGGUAAGUCACUUCUGAGCAACAAUAAAAAUAAAAGGUCAGCUGCAGACCACAACGAAUUUCACAUGCGUUCAAUCAGUUACCCUAGUUCUUCAGACCAGCAGCCUCGACUGACAAAUUCAAUUCCCUCGGAACAGACUCUUCUAUCUAAUUCGCCCCUACCAAUUGGAGGUAAGCAUUAUUGGCUGAUUAAGGUUGUUUUUCUUUUUCUUGUUUUUUUGUUUUUUGUUUUUUUUUUUUUCUAUGACCUUUGAAGUUUUCUUUUUUAGCAGCUAUAUUAAUAAGAAAGUCUGGAAACUCCUCAACCCAUAUGGCUUUCAAGAUGACUCAAAAUGAACAAACCACUCNNNNNNNNNNNNNNNNNNNNAAGAUAUGAAGGCUAUAAGUUCCAAAGUAUUGGUGAAUAUGGCCUGUAGUUAUGGAGAUUGAAGUUGGGGAUUGUAGAUUUGUGUUGGUCGUUCUGUUUUUUAUUUUAUUAUUUUUUUAUAUGUUAGUAUUAUCUUUUUGUGUUGGUGGUUCUGUUUAGCACUGAAUGAGAUUAAACAGGGACUAAUGAAAAACUCAAUGAAAAGGUGGCUUUGAAUUGGUUUUUUCAGUUUUUGCGUAUAACCUAGAUCUACUUUCUAGAGCUAUUUUUAUGUGUAGAUACGUCAUGAUGAUCCGAAUACACAUAUUUUUAGAAUUGGCAGGUAAUCAGUCAUGUGCUUAUGAGUUCAGUCAAUUUUAUUGAUCUUCAAAAUGCUUGUGGUUUAAAUUUGUGUUUAUCAAAAUGCUUGUGAUCAAGAAGGUUAACUAUGUGUUUACAUUGAUGAAAUUUUUUAUAAGCAAUUUUUACCCUAGAACUUGAGCAUCUUUCUUAUAUUAUUUUUGCCCUUGUUAUUCCAACUGUAAAUGUGUGACACUGAGAUAUAAGAUGGACAACUCUUGGGAUGAAGGGAUUUCACUCCUGCUAUACUCUAUAUUUUGAGAACUCUCUCUCUCUCAGACACAUUCAUAAUUGAAUGCAUGUAUAGAUGCACUGUACUAUCCAGUUAAAAUGUUAUUUAUUUACUGAUGCUACCAGAGGUGGUGUGAUUCAAUUAAUAUAUUUUUUUCCCUUUUGUCCUCUUUAGGGUAUAAUGAUAAUCUCUCAACAAGAUAUUUGACCCAGCAACCAAUUGUCAAUUCAAAUUCCCGUGCCCAGUUUGAAGGCACCUCGUUUGCACUAGAUGGCCAGUUGAUCAACAGCUCUCAUCAGCCUCAAAACAUAGCAAAUGAUGCUAAUGCUGUUGGGCUUGCCCUUGGUCUUCCACAGUCAUCGACAUCAGGAUUUCAGGCUAUUAAUGCUUCUGUUCAGCCAUCUACUCUUAAUCCCUUAGAUGACUGGGGAACGAACAGAGAAAAGGGAGGUGAUGACUUCUUUUCAGAGGAAGAUAUUCGCAUCAGAAGUCAUGAGAUGCUUGAAAACGAGGAUAUGCAGCACUUGCUCAGAAUCUUCAGUAUGGGAGGCCAUGGCUCUAUUGAUAUGCCUGAUGAUGGAUAUGCAUUCCCAUAUAUGCCAUCUCCAAUGCCCAACUUUGAUGAAGAUCGCACACGUCCUGGCAAAGCUGUUGUGGGGUGGCUGAAAAUCAAGGCAGCUAUGAGAUGGGGUUUCUUUGUCAGAAAGAAAGCAGCUGAAAGGAGGCGGGCACAGCUUGUGGAGUUAGAUGAUGAAUAGAAGCAUAGCAAAGAUGCUAUAAGGUUCUUCUUGCUAUGAGGUCUUUCUAUGUGGUGAUUAUUAUUCCAUGAAUCAAGUCUUCCUUUGCACUUCAAUGUUAUUCUGCAAAUUAACUCGUAACUAUCAACCAGAACCAGCCACAAGUUUGAGGUAUUGGCACUGAUUGAAAAGUGAAAGCUUUAGCCUUGGUAAAUGACUGACACUUGCUGUAGAUCUGAUUGAUAGCAAGGAAUAUUUUCUUGUACAGGUGCCUGUACAGUAAGUAGUUUGUUUUAUUUUUCUUACUUGUGAAGUUUUUGUGGUUUCCUAAGCAGUCUUCUAUCCAUUUGUGAAUGUCUUAUUGCCUCCCUUGUUGACAUCUUAGGGUUUACUUCCAGUAUGUUUAGGUAGGGACCCAAUGUGUUUUAAUCAUGCUCAAGAAUGCUGUCUAGUGUUUUAUAUUGUCUUAGUUUAUGUAUUUUGGAUUGACUGAAUAUAUGAAGUAUAUUUUUACUUUAUUCCCUUAUCUGUUGCCACAUAGCUUGAAUUCUUGAGUUCUUAAUAUGCUGAUUCCCAAUCUAGGAUGAUAGAAUUAGAUCUGGUACCUGUAUGGUGUAUACUGUAUAGUGUAUAUGUGAUUAGUGACAGAGAGUAGAAGAUUUAGUUCCCUGUUUUCUUGAAUAUAGCCUAUGUAAACAGGAUUUAGAUAUUUUCGUUGAAACUUUAAAAUCAAGAUAAUGUAAAUUUGUGCAAUUUUUCAAUCCUGAAUAUAUGUCGAUUCAAAGAGUGGACUAGGCUGGUGUCUUUUGUGCUGGUCUUUCUUUUAUAAUGACACAUUCUAUUCUUUCCUUAAUUUGUGAGGAGAGAUUAGAUUAGGAACAGUUUGAUCUUAUUGGUUUGAUUAUGAGGAUUACACAACUGGCAUUUGACAGGAUGAAAAUACUAAAUGUUUUUGUUGGAAAUGGAUUUGGUCAGUGUUGGAUGCUGUCAGAGAUGGCUGGAUUUUUGAAGUAGAGGGUUGCGGUUGUGGUGUAAAAGAUUAGGUCGGAGAUGGCCGUUAAUGAUGGAUGAUGGAUGUGGAUGAAAAUCGGAGGCUAAAUGAUGAAGACUGCCCUCCGAGGGGUGGAGCCAUGGAGUGGAGCUGUGGAGGUGAUGUUACACGAGGCGCUUUAACUUGUUUCGAUGGGCUAGUUUCUUUUCUGGAGAGGGCCUGACAUGAUAAUAUUUAUCCGGUCCAAAGUAAUCCUCAACCAAACUCCAAAUUGGAUUAUUUGUUACCCUGGUAAACAAUGCCUGUAUAUUAGUCCAAUUAUUUUAGAUGAUCCAUCAGUGUCUUGCCGGUUCAUAGUUCCUUGUUCUACCUGUUUGUGCGCGGUUGAAACAAUGGUCGGGAAUUACCAUAUAUGUGUACACAGUGUCACUAGGGCCAAUACCUACCGUUACGUGGUUUGAUAAAGAAAACGAGAAUUUAUGCAACUUAAGUAGUCGAAACCAACUAUAAAGCGAAAACUUCCUUGUUAACAAAACAUAGCGUGGUUGAUAAAGAAAACGAGAUCUUAUGCAACUUGACCUUAUGCAAUUCUAGUAGAAACUAGAAACCAACUAUGAAGCGGAAACCAAAUCCUUAUCAACAAGACACUAGCGCACCAUCUUCAUAAACGCAAGAGUCGAGUUUUUUUUUUUGUUUUUUUAUAUUUUUUUCUCUUCCACUUUAACUCAUCGUUGAAAACCCUCGACGCUAAAGUACUGUCUAGAUAUGGAUAUGUAUUCAAUGCCUAUGAACUCUUUGGAACUGAAGUCAAUCGAGGAUCCUAUCUACUUUCUUUUUAACAGUUCUUUCAUAAACCUCUUGAAUUCUUUUAUUAAUGCUUUUACGGGCCCAAAACCAUCAGUCAUGCAACUCAUCUUAUUUUACAGAAAUAAGAUGGGACAAGACGAGCCUUUUAAUUUUCGAUUUAAAUCUCGUCUCAUCCAGCUAAAUUUCGGGACGAGACCGAGUUAGGCUCAUGCUUACGGUUUUAGAUGCCCCGCCCUAACAUCAUUACCUCAAAAAGGAAGAGUGGUUGCCAACAACCCCAUCCUUUCUCAUAAAAUAAAAAAGAAAACUAAAAAUUGUAGAAAAAUUAAAUUUGCAAGAGAUAAAGCCCGGACUCAGUCCAUAAGACCCCUUAGCGGCCUUAGCCCAAGUAAGAAAUCCAAAAAGUUGGCACCCCAAGACUAAUGCUAACCCUAGCCAUAUUGACCCAGGCCGAAACACCAAAAACCCACUGAAGUGGACACCCAAGCAAUUGACCGGCGCCUGCAACAAGCUGCGCCGCCACUUACAACAAGAAGGGUUCCUCCACUCGCCCCUAGCCUCAGGUAGAUCCUUGAUGCCGCCGCCGGCCACAACCAAGAAAGGAUCCGAAAAUGCUGCAUCAACAACAAAUGGAGCCUGCAACAGAACCACUAGAGAAAUACAACUAUCACCGACAUUGAACCUAGUUAGGCUCAGGGUCGCCACCACUCCUAGCCAAAGUUCUACGUUGUCAGCCCAGCCUCGGCCAAAAGAAACCAAUUGCAGCCCCGAAACUGAACCGCCUGAGUGAACGCUCGACAAACAAUGGCAGACCAUCCACAACCACCACCCUAAGAUCCUCUCGAACCGCCACCCACCGAGGCAGCCUCAACCCUCCAACCUCGCCACCUAAAGCCAGAGGCUCCCAUUCGCCAAGAUCGCCACCGACCUAACACCACCGCCGCAGCCCCACCAUCAGCAAAAUGGCCAAAUUCAAACAACGGGGGCCUCAAUCCCUGCCAUCACCACUGAAGAAAAAUGAGCAGAAUGCCAUGAAAACGAGUUCCCAUGAAAGAAGAGAAGUAAAAGUACAAAAGAACAUGAGAUCUCCAAAGCCAUGAAGCAUAUCCCAAAUAGUUUUCAGCCGAAGCUGCAACAAAGUUUCCGGAUCAAAGAAGCCGAUCCCAAUCCUAACCGCGGCUCUAGGUUUAAAGAGAAAAGAAAAUUACUCUCUAAGUGGUGUAAACUUUUAGUAUCGGCUUUCGAUCUAAUUUUUUUUUUUUUUGAAUUAAUUGAUAUUACAUUCAAUCAAAAAUAAAGAAUACAUCAUCAAUCGAUCCAUUGCUUUACGUACAAAUGACAAAUAAGUUCAAAUGAUCGUAGGUUACCACCCUCAUUACACUUUUCUCGCUUAUUUAACAUCAUAACUAUAGUAAAAAAAAACUAUGAACAAUUACUCUAAAGAAAAGAGAAACACCAAAACCUAUAAUCUAUGAGAAACAAAGAUUAUAGACCAUUAUUCUAAGCAGAAAAAAAACAGCAGAUUUAAAAGGCAAAUGAGGCUCAAAGCCCAGAUCUAUUAUCCCAAACCCAAAGAAACCUUAAACAAGACCCAACCUACUAAAGCACAAAGGCUCAUGCCCAAUUUCUAUGGGCACCCUAGCCUCAGGCCUUAUGCAUCAGAUAUCCGCUUGCCACAAACACUAAGUUGUAACGCCUGCAACGCUUCAUCGCCCCCAAACCAUUUAAGCCUCCGAUGUCACAUCCCGACUCUUAAAUUUUUAUCUUAUUUACUAGCUUGGUAUAAAUAAGAGUUUUACCGUCUUCGUCAAUGAGUUUAUAGUUUUAAUUAGUCCCUAGAGGGGUUUCGAGGGACGAUUAUUUCGGAGGAAAUAUUUGAAGAAAAAAUAUUUGACGACGGUAAAAAUGGUAAAUUUUAGCUAGUAAAAGGUAAUUUUUGUUAGGGUAUUUUUAUGGCGGUGUUUUAUAUUAUGGAGUGGGGUGUUUUAAGUGUGGACCGGGCCAUUUUUGGGGACAAAAGCCCACACACUCUCUCUCUCUUCUCUCCCGCUCCCCGAGCCCUCUCCCUGCCGGAUUUUCUUUCCGACUGUCCGCCGCUGUCCGGCCACCGUUCGCCGCCGCAUCGGUCCCAAACGGUCGGCCAUCAUCUCCUCUUCCUUCUUGGACCGGUGGCAGCCUCUCUAGUGCCGCCGUGAGGGAGAUAUCACGCCCAAGAGCUCCGGUCGUCCAUGGUGUUCCGUCGCUGGAACUUUCUUCUCUGGCCACCAAUUCGGGCAAGCCUUAUAUGGUUUUGAAGGCCUUAUUGAGAUCGGGCGUACAUGGAGAAGAGGCAUAGUCAAUAGUAUAGCUUCCGCUCAUUUCUAAAUUUCUAGUUCAUUUCCUCUCAAUUAGAAUUGCUCUGAACUGUGAUUGUUGGUUGUAGGAUUAUUCUUAUUUAAAGUUAGUAAAUAAUUGGGAGAUGUUGUGAUUUGGGGGAGCACGAAGGCUCCAUGAGUUUAAGGUUGGAUUUGGUUUAUCAGAAGUGUAUGCAGGUUUUAUUAGGAAGGGUUGUCUAUUUUCAAGGGAGGUUAUGCCGAAUUUUCGGUAACCUUUUCUUGGAGGUGGUCCCCGCAGGAUUUACUUCGGGUUUCAGGAUGAAAUUCGAGGUGGGUCCUGAAAGUUGGUAUCAGAGCAUUAGGUUAUUUGAUUCCUUUCUCUUUUUACUACUACCUCAUAUUCUUGGUCAUACUUAGUGUCUAUAGAGUGAUGGUCCGACCGCGGCGGAUCUAUUAGCAUUAUAUGCUUUAGACACUAUGUGUUGAUUAGGUUUGUGAGGUAGUUUUUCUUGUCUUAUUUAUGGACAAUAUUGUGCCAUAAAUGUUUAUAUCUUCAAGACUAUGCCUCCGUACGCCGACCUCUUGGGUAAUCUUUAUGCUUUGAGUAAUGGAAAGGUGUAUGGAUUACGCCUUUUCCAAGGGUUAUCAAGUUGAUAUCUUAAAUUGUUAAGUGUUCAAUUGCGAGUUGAGAACUCCGGUUGGGAACUCAUAUGCAUAGUAGCAUUCCUUUCAGUUGUCCCAAUGAUUGAUUGGGUUAUGAUUAAGAUGUUAGGGUGAACAUCUUGAGCCAAUCUGUAGUAGGUGAAACGUUUGAUUCGAAGAAUGUCUUGGAGUUCCUAUUUAUGGUGGGCAAGUAUGGAGUCGUAGUAAUCCGGUGGAAGACCUUGGUAUCAAGUUUGUGAAUUCUGGGAGCAAUGAGUUGGAAGGGAAGUUCAAAGUAGUGAAGUGUUCUAUAGAUGUAAAGGUUGGUUGAAGUGAUGUGGUGCGGUAACCAUAGUAAUUCCAAGAGGCACCUUUACGAGUUGUUGAGGACCCUAAUCCUGAGCGAAUUAGUCACAUGAGAUUUGUGACUAAUUUUGGAUUGCAGGAAGUCGUUACAUAGAAAGAUAAAUGUCAUUUUAGAUAAGUCAUGAUUGAAGGUCAUUUUGCCAACUAUUUUAUCCGCAAUAGAAAUCAAUUGGGAACAUGUUGGGAUAACAUUGGUUGUGGAGGUAUAUGGUCUGGUCCCUGUAGCUCUAAUUAUGAAUAUGUUCUUUUUCCUAGAGCAUUAUAUUAAGAGAGUAGUGGGAAUAUUUUGGGAAUGACAGCUAUUAGUAGUCGAUAAAUAAUAAGAUUCGGACGACUUUGUCUAUAUUGUGAAUUAGCUGGAGUUGGUUGAGGCGCUCGGCGUAAUGACUCCAAAUUUACUUUCUGGGGUUGGUUUUUCAACAGCCCAUGGGCAUAGCGUUGUGACAUAUGUACUCGUGCGUUAUAGUAAGAGAAUUAAGGAAUUGAAUGGUGUUAUUAAAUGUUUCGAAUUGCAAGCAGGCUUUGAAGAGUCGAGUGGCAUUUAUCGGUUAUAUUAUUUUUUUUAAAUUGUGUGGCCUUUAUGGAUCCUUUCGGAAUUCUAGGUGUUGAAGUUUGGUCUCUAGAUUUGUUGAGUGUUUGGGAAGUUGAUAAUGUAAAUGGAAUUGAAAAGUAAUGGUGGAGUGAGAGCAGGAUGGUUGUGGCCACUCCGGCUUUAUGACAACCGAUGGUGAUCUUAUUUUGCAUUGUCAUGUUAUUUUAAUUCAGUUUCAUGGAGUUGGCGGAAGUGACAGCUGUGGAAUAAAGCCUAUUGAAUCAAGGAUCAAAAGGGCGUGGGUGUCCAUAGUAAUUUUAAGCAGUGUCGUUCUGAAUAGUUGAAGUAAGUCUUGCAUUUGUGAUCGAAGUUGGUUCAUUGUCAUCACUUCGUUAGCAUUUGGUGACUAGCUACGACACAUCGAUGGGAGAAUAUGUUCACUCACCUUAUUUAUAAUUCGGUGAGAUGGAGCAGAGUUUUUGGUUGUGGUGUGUGUGGGAAUAUUUAAAUCAUUCCUAUUGUAGUUUUUGGGUAGCAUCCUCAAAGCUUGAAAUUAUGAAGUGCGAAUUUAAACUCUAUGAUUUGAAGGCUAGAGGUUCUGUUUAGUUGUCGAAUUUAUGAUAAAUUGGUUGUUGUGUUGUAGACAUGGAUCAUGGAUAAAUCCAAUCGUGAUCCCAAGUGAGCUGGAGUUCAAUAAAGCGAUGAAUCUUGGAGCCGUGAGUCCUAUGUGGUAGUCUGAGAGUCGCGUGGUGAUGUUGAUUAGAUGGUUUGUGUCGUUGUAGGUAUAUUUUAUGUUGUAGUGUUAUGGAAGAGGGUUUUCCCCUGUUGACUCAAGAAGCUUUUUGGGUCAAGGUUUAUUAAGAGUUUCAAUGUUGUGGUUAGUAGAGAUAUUGGUAAGUCGAGCGAUGUCUUUUCUCGAGAUCGUAUUGUGGUGCGACCACUUGCUAACCCAGGUUUGUUUUGGAAGGUCAUCACUAUCUGGAUGUAUGUUCAUCCGUUUAUAUCAAGCUGAGUAGUUGAAACCACUCUAUUAAAUUUUGGUUUCUAGUUCAUAUUCGAAACGGGUUAGUGGUGAAACUUUUAAGCUCGAAGUUGAAGAACUUAUCUUUCAUAUGCUUUAAAAUUAUUUCUUUUGGAGCUUGAGUUGAGUUUAGCCACGAGUUUUGGCUUUUUCUUGAAUAUAUGGUUUUCGUUGGUUGGUGAGCCACAAAGUGUAGUAGUGGGCCUGUUGCGGAAAUUAACUUUUAUAUUCGAUGGUUAACUUGUUGCUGCAAGCUCCGUUAUCGAAGAAUCUUUUUGGUGAGAAGCCUUGGUUCUUGGAAGGUGUAGGAGACUUGAGCAUAUUUGAUUUUCAGAUUGUUUUAUGUUGUCAAAUUAAUUGUUAAUAGAGGUAGAAAGAAAAAGUGUGUUGUGUAGUUCUGAGAUUUUAAAUCUCGUUUAACGGCUAAAGUGAGCUGUAUAAAUUUUAUCUAUUGAAUUUGGGGUCGCGGUUGCACCCAAAUAAGUUGCAUGGCUGGAGAUGUAAAUUCUAUCAAUGCUUAAGGAAGGUGUUCUAUUUAUGUGGAUUUCAACGUCAAGUUUAGCAUCAUGAAUUGACUGUGCCAAUUUUUCGUGGGCAUUAUUAGUCAGUUUUGUUUAUGGCGAGCAAGGAGGAAUAUCCAGUUUCCACAUGAUAGUCAUGUCUUUAGAUUAUUUUCUAGUUUGUGGUAAAGAGAUUAGUGGAGAUAGCAGAAUCAGGAGAGAGUUGGAAUUCCUAUAAGCUGCUAGUUUGUGGUGCUCAAAAUGGUAAUGUAAUAGUUUUGGUGAAGAGACCUAAAUGACGUAGUAGUGAUCUCUAUAUAAUGUCAUUUCGAGAAUCGGGGUUAUCAUGUUGGUUGACUGGUCACUUAGGCAGAGCAAGGAUGUCUUGUGGACUUGCGAGAGCUUUGACUCUGCAAAAGACUCUGCGAAGUGUCUGGGUAUUAAAAGUGAUUGUUGCAGUUCUGCAGUGUGUGUAUCCUUUAAUCUAUUCAAUUAGCGGGUCUUAAUUUUAACCCCUAUGAGCAUGUGGGAAUGUGUGAACUUUAAUUUCCUAGCAAGUGGGCUUCAUUGUCGAGUUGUGAGCAGCGUAAUGUCGAGGUUGUUGCGUGACGUUAGAAGAUUUGAGCCCGAUGGUGAUAGCAAAUUUAUGCGCUUUGUUUGGGUUAGCUAUUUCCAUUGCUUAGGAAGGAGUGUGCAUACCUACGGGUACUCGUACUCUGGAGCAGGUAUCGCUGAAAUCACUUACGUGUAAACGUUAGUGGUAGUUCAACGAAGGAUUUAGAGUCUUUGAGAAGUUUUAAAUAAUUCAGGAUUUAAAUGAAAAAAUUUAAGAAGUCAGAGAUAGACUCAAGGCCGCUCAAAAUAGGCUGAACAGUUAUGCAGAUGUUCGUAGGAAGGACCUUGAGUCUUCAAGUGGGCGAUUGGGUGUUCAUAAAACUAUCUCCUUGGAAAGGGGUAGUGCGUUUUGGUAAACGUGGAAAGCUUAGUCCAAAUUUAUUGGUCUUUAUGAGAUUAUAAAACGAGUUGACUCACUUGCGUAUCAGUUAGUUUUGCCUCUAGAGUUAUCCAAAAUGCAUAAUGUGUUUCUGACAGGACCCACCCCGAAUUUCACCCUGAAACCCGAGGUAAAUCCUGCGGGGUCCACCUUCAAGGAAAAUUUACCGAAAAUUCGGCAUAACCUUCCUUAAAAAUGGACGACCCUUACCUGAAAAAUCCAAUUUAACACUUCUAUAACCAAACAUCCAUCCUCAACACUUAGAGCCUUCCUGCUCCCCGAGUUCAACACAUCUCCCAAUAUAACAAUUACUCAACUAAACUAAUCCCACAACCAACAAUAACCAACAUUAAUUCACUAACUGAUUAUCAGAGCAUAUCUAGAGUUAAAUGAAAAACAAUGAAUAAAGAAUAAGCGGAAGCAGCCUCUGACUAUGCCUCGACUCCAUGUACGCUCGACCUCAAAUAACUUAGCCUGCAAAUUGGGCAUUUAAAACCAAAGGGCCCAGGGGAAAGUAAUUUAAAAACGUUAGAGUGAGUGGAUGAAAAAUAAUCAAGUAACUGAUCACGACAUAACUAACUAAACUUAAUUACUUUCCCAUUUUCCAAUAAUCAAGAAAUCUGUUGCAUGCAAGUGUUGAUAAAACUUUCAUAGAGAAAAUUCCAAGAAAACAGACUAGCCCCGCAAGUCAAAUUAACGACAAAGAUAAUUAAUAACCUUCAUAGAAGAAGGUACCAAAAUAAUGGACUAGCCCUGCUAGUCAAAACAACAACAAUAAAUAAAGAGCAUAUAUAUAUAUAUAGCCAUACAAGUGAGCCUCCCAAACUCGGUUGCCUCCCAGGCAAAAGUACUCCCAUACUCCCUACACCUUCAUGUUAUGAUAACAGAGAGGAUGUAGGGCUUGCGUGAUGUCGUCGACUACAUCACAUCACCCGAAGGCGGAAAGGGCUUGAGUAACCCCACUUAAAACGUGGAAGUUACAUCGCCUUGAAAGGCGGAACACCAUGCUAGCAUGAAUAAUAACGAUCCAACAAGUAUGACAUAAAUAAAGAAACAUAAAUCCAUGUGAGUUUCCCUGAAACUCAUAAUUAAUGCAUAAGUACGAUUCCCAACCGUACUCAAAGAAUUCAAAGAGCAAAGAAAAUCAAUAAAUUAGAUGACGUGUUCCACACGUUAAAAUGCUCAAAGAAAUAAUUAACUUAAAUAAUUAUCAUCUUUCGAAAACCAGGCAAUAUGCAAAUCUGGAUAUAAUCUCAAAUCCGGAAAUCAAAAGAAUAUCAUAAUUCAAAUACCAAAACUCUUACCCAAGCUCAAAUCCAUAAGUUAUUAUCAAAAACAUAACCAGUCGGUCAAUCUCAAAUAAAUUCCAUAACCAACUCAAAAGCUGAAAUUAUAAUUUAAGCUCGGAAAAUAUAAUUAACAACUUAUAAAAUCAUGCAUGCAUAUUCCUUUAAAAAUAAAGUGUCCACUCACAGAUUUAGGCCUAAAUCCUAAGCCUGACGAAUUCCGAAUCACUACUCAAGCACGGUUCCCUUCGUAUCUUGGCACAAUAAAUAUGCUUAGGACCAAACUGAAAUUCUGGAAAAUUAAACAUUUGAAAAUAAACACCCAAAUCUCUUCCGCUUAACCCACUACUCUAACUAGGGUUAAGCUCACCGGAUUUCCACCAAACUCCACCAUAACCUUAAUUCCUCAAUUCUAACAUUUUAGAAUAAAUAUCAAGGAAAUCCAACGGCCGGAUUUAUCCUAACAACCGCCAUUCUCUCCAAUCUCCGAAAAAUUCCAAACCUAACCAAAACUCAUCAAAAAAUUCCAAACUAUACUUCAAUAAACUCCUCUUAUUAAAACCAUCUCAAAAACAGGAAAAACUGCCCUUAAGGGGCGGCGGCGCCGGCUGCUCCGCCGGCCGCGGCGGCCGGCAGCCAUAUUCCGGCAAGGACCAAAGCUUCUCAAAUUUUAGCAGAAUAAUCCUCUCAUCAUGCACAACAACUUUCAUAACUAGCACUUAAUCCAAUUCUAAGGCUAACUAGGGUAAUCGAAUUAAAACAUCCAUAAAUCCCCAAAUUCAAACCCUAGCCCGAAAAUCCUCUUACACACUUCGAAUUUGAUAGUUACCUUCUAGGGGAUUGAUGCACCAAGAAAGGCCGUUAAGCUGAGCCAAACGUCUCCAGCUAUAGUGGCCGGAGGAGGGAGAUUCCGGCAGAAACUCCCCCCGCUGCCCAGUCGGCUUCUAGUCGGGUUUUCUCCUUCAUGGCGGCAAGGCACGGCCAUCCACCUGCCCAGAAUUACAGUAGAGCUGACGUUGAGUCGAACGGGACCAGCGCGGCGGUCUGUGGCGGCCGGACGGCGGCAGACGGAGGCCAGGAAUCCAGCGGGUCGGGAGAGACGCGGGAGAGAGGAGAGAGAGAAACAGAGGCAGAGAAGGAAAUGGGCUUCUCCCACACCCGGUCCAACUUAACCCAACAAAAUAAAGCCUACAAAAAUUUACCCCCUUUUUACCAUCUAAAGUAACUUUCGUUAUUACACCAUAACUUCUUCAUACGAACUUCGUUUUAAGUGUGCCACAUGUCCACGAACUCCGUUUAACAUCCUCUACGACUUUCAUGAAGAAAGUUUUCCCAAAUUCCAAACGGAAGAAAAAGUCAACUUUUAGAGUCUUAAAUAGUAAAUGGCUACUUAAAACGGUAAAAGGUCAAAGUAACCCAAAAGUAAAUAACCGCAAAUUAACUUAAGAACCGGGAUGUGACAGUUUCAUGUAUCCAUGCUUCGCAAGUUUAUUGCCGAUCUCUCGCAUGUGUUGCGAGACCAGCCGAUUAAUUGGAAAAAGCUUUGAUCUAUGUUGAGGAGCCGAAUUAGAUUUUUGACUAAAAAGGAGCAUAUGCUUAGAAGUAAAUCUUUUCCACUUGUUAAAGUUCUGUGGAGAAGUCAUCAAGUAGAGGAAGCUACUUGGGAAUCAGCGGAGCAAAUGAGAUAGCAAUAUCCCUAUCUCUUUGAUUGUUAGAUAUAUAAAUUUCGAGGACGAAAUUUUUAAUAAGGAGGGGAGAAUUGUCACAUCCCGACUCUUAAAUUUUUACCUUAUUUACUAGUUUGGUAUAAAUAAGAGUUUUACCGUCUUCGUCAAUGAGUUUAUAGUUUUAAUUAGUCCCUAGAGAGGUUUCGAGGGACGAUUAUUUCGGUAGAAAUAUUUGAAGAAGAAAUAUUUGACGACGGUAAAAAUGAUAAAUUUUAGCUAGUAAAAGGUAAUUUUUAUUAGGGUAUUUUUAUGGGGGUGUUUUAUAUUAUGGAGUGGGGUGUUUUAAGUGUGGACCGGGCCAUUUUUGGGGACAAAAGCCCACACACUCUCUCUCUCUUCUCUCCCGCUCCCCGAGCCCUCUCCCUGCCGGAUUUUCUUUCCGACCGUCCGGCCACCGUUCGCCGCCACACCGGUCCCAAACGGUCGGCCAUCAUCUCCUCUUCCUUCUUGGACCAGUGGCAGCCUCUCUAGCGCCGCCGUGAGGGAGAUAUCACGCUCGAGAGCUCCGGUCGUCCAUGGUGUUCCGUCGCCGGAACUUUCUUCUCCGGCCACCAAUCCGGGCAAGCCUUAUAUGGUUUUGAAGGCCUUCAACCCAGUUGCCUUGCCCUAGGAGGACUCGGUCUAGUUUGCCUCAGGUGAGGAGAACCGGUGAGUGGAAGUUCUAGGGCUUUUUGUGAGGUUUUCGUUCGAUUGGCCUAGUUAAGCUUGGAAUUGGUGUUUGUGCUAGUUAGGAAAGUUGUAGAGUGGGUUGAGAGGAAGAUGCUGUCAAAAUUACAUAGGCAUUGGAGGUCGCCGGAGUUGGCCUCCGGCCGCCGCUUUUGGGAGAUUUAUAUAGUUUUAAAUGUCGAAUAUUAAAGGGAGUUUAUUGAUGUGAAUUAUGGAAUUUUUGGAUGAGUUUUGGAUAGGUUUGUGAAUUUCCGAAGUUUGGUAUUUUUGUCGGUUAAUUAAUGUGGAAUCCGGCUGUAGGAUUUAAGUCGUUAUUCUGGGGGAGGUUGUAUUUACGGCUGCCGAUUAUGGUAUUAAAGUUUGGAUCGUUUCGAUUUAGGAAUAUCGAAGUUAGGCGAGAAUGAGCGUGGUUACGGCUCAUGUUUAUUUUGCCUAUUUUGUAUAAAUAUAUGGAUUUUUAGUUGGGAAAUUAAUUUUACAUUUGGAAACAGGACGUGAGAAGACUCAAGCAGAAGAGACCUCGGAUCGACGUCGGGCAUAGGCCUAAAGUUGUGAGUGGACUUUUGUUUUAAGAAUGUGUAUGCGAAAUAAUUUAUGUUGUUAGAGAAUAACCGAAAUUGAGAAUUUCGGUGAGUAUAUAUAUAUAUCCAUAUUUGGAUGAUUAUGAGAAUAAUAUGUAUAUGAAGAAAUGCUAGCUAGCUAUACGUGCUUUUCCAUCAUAAUGAGGAAAAAUUUUAUUAUGGUGCGACGUGAGCGUUAGACGCAAUCGUCAUAGCCCUAUAUAAAUAUAAUAAUUUAUAUAGGGGAUAUGCGCGUAUAUAUUUAUAGAAUGUCUUUUCCACCAUAAUGAGAUAAAAUUCCAUUAUGGUGCGACGUGAGCGUUAGACGCAAGCGUCGUAGCCUUGUGUGAAUUUCUAUUUGUCUUUGUUGUUUCAAGAAAAUUCAUACAAGGGAUAUGACGAGUGUAAUACAUACAUAUUUUAUUUUAGCGUGAGAGGUUUUAUUUUUAUGAAGUGUUGGUGACUAGCGCAGCUAGUCACGUUUCGGUAAAUUCGGUAAAUUUUUAAAAGCUUUUGAGCUUGUUGCAUGCCGUUAAUUAUAUUUCCACAGAAGUUAAAUCGGGAAAGCAUAAAGAUUUAUUUCUUUUUAAAUUUAUUUUUGUCCACUCACUCUAACGGUUUUAAAUGUUUUCCCCUGGGCUCUUUGUUUUAAAAUGCCCAGUUUGCAGGUUAGCAUAAUUGAGAUCGGGCGUACAUGGAGAAGAGGCAUAGUCAAUAGUAUAGCUUCCACUCAUUUCUAAAUUUCUAGUUCAUUUCCUCUCAAUUAGAAUUGCUCUGAACUGUGAUUGUUGGUUGUGGGAUUAUUCUUAUUUAAAGUUAGUAAAUAAUUGGGAGAUGUUGUGAUUUGGGGGAGCACGAAGGCUCCAGGAGUUUAAGGUUGUAUUUGGUUUAUCAGAAGUGUAUGCAGAUUUUAUUAGGAAGGGUUGUCUAUUUUCAAGGGAGGUUAUACCGAAUUUUCGGUAAACUUUUCUUGGAGGUGGUCCCCGCAGGAUUUAGUUCGGGUUUCAGGGUGAAAUUCGGGGUGGGUCCUGAUAUCCGACCACAAGAUCAUCGACCCUAAACGAAGUCCAACUUGAGCCUGCCUCCGCUCAGCUUUGGUCGCACGAUGCCCGCUCACAUCGUUUAACAGCUAGCCCAGUCCAUAUCAUUGAGAUAUUGUCUGCUUUAGGCCCAUCGGCGCUCACGGUUUUGUUUUUGAGGUUUCACCCCAAAACGCGUGUCAAUGUAACGUGCUAGCUUUGCACAUAUAAGCACAUCAACUUGUCUUCCCCGGGCGAUGUGGGAUACGUGCACCUACUAGCCUGCCGGUGCCUUUUUAGCACCCGCCCAGUUUGGUCACCACAAUCCACCCCCCUUAGGGGACCGAAGUCCGUAUCGGCACACAUCUGGCUGGGGAAAUGCUAUGAUACCAUCUGUAACCUCUAAAACCGUCGGUGGUGGUACGGCUAAAAUAGCCUCACAACUUAACACUGCAAAAGAUUGUCGAUUGUAGUAUAAAGAAGCAAGGAUCGUUCUUUGCCAGAGAUUGAGGGUAUUUAAUUUCACACACAAAAACAAUAUCACAAAAGUGUCUACUGUUCCUGACGAACAGCAGACUAAAAUAUAAUUAACUACCUAACCCACACUAUUCAGAAAAUUAUGAAAAUUUAUAAAACUAAACUAGACAUACAGAAGAACAUGCACACAAAAUUUGAGGGGAUUUGGAGUUUGUUUACUAUACUAAAUAAAUCACGAAAUACAGAAGACAAAAGAAUAAGAAAAUAGUUUUGAUUUGUAGUUUGAGAAAUAUGAUAGAGAAGAGGUUAGGGAUUUAGGAAAUUCACCACCGAAUAUGCUGCAAAACAAAGUCCACACAACCAAGAUUCCAAUUACCAAGUUAUGAAAAGGUUCAAUCAAGAAUAAACCGUGAACGCACCGCGUAAAUUCUUAUUACUUCCCUUAACUACUUAUGCAAGAUGAACGCACCAUUACUAAGCCUUUAGAAUAACCAAUCAAGGUAUAGACGCUAUCCUAUCAACAAGUUAUUCUAAGCAUUAAGAUCAAUGGAAGUGAUUGAACAAGUAUGCAAAACUAGUGUGGAACGCCUACCUAGCAUGCAAGUCUCUCUAUUUGGUUUCACCUAUUGUCCUAUAGGUUUUACUACUUUGAAUUAAGCCGUAUUAACCGUUUAGGAGAUUAAACAACCUAAUUCUAGCCCCACUUACAAGUUCAUAAUGUUCUAUGUAUGCAUCCAUGAACAUAAACAAGCAAGAGUUCUCUAUAAAUCAAAACCAAACAGACAAUCCAACUAAGUAAUUACGAAAUCAAGGUUGUGAGACAAAGUUUAUUGCACAAUUCGGGGCUUCAAACCUCCACCUCUAACUAAGAUAAACUAGCCACACAUCGUUGUAGAAAUCACUCAGAGAAAAUAAAUCAUAUUCGAAAGUUAAAGAUUACAAAGGGAAGAAGAAAACUGUGAAUGGAAGGAGUUGACGAUGAUCCUGGCGACUUCCCCUUGAUGGAUUCUUGUGCGAUACAGCAACGUGAAGGCUCUAUUACAGUCUGACGGCUUAGAGUCGUUCUGGUAUUAGGGUUUUGCUUUAAGUAGUCUCCAAGUCUUCAAAGCUUCCCUGAAUCCCGGAAUUGCUGAUUUUCUGUCCAACUUUGGAGCUUCAUAACUCCCAGAUGCCAUCACCGAUUUGGAUGAUUCUUGAGUCCAAAUUGAUCUACAAAUGGUCCUCUACAAAUCUGGGCAGUCAACUUGGUGAAAAAAUUCUCGGAACCGCAUGGAAAUAAGCCUUGAAAACCGGAGAAAAUAAGCAGAAACCAUUUUUCAGCUUUUUGUGUUUGCAGCUUCUGUUUUGGUGAAGUGGUUCCAUCGCCUUUCCUUCAUAAUUUUGAACAUGUGAAUGAUCAAACUCCAUCCUUGACAUCUCUACUUCGUAUUGGAAGCCUUGCUUGCAUCACUUGAGCACAUAUUUGCAUUAUCUUGCUCCACGAAGUACCUAAGAAGAUAACAAAGUUAAAACGAUCUUUUUAAAGGAAAAUAGCUAAGUUAAAUGCAAAGGUUAAACUAUAAAAUCGUCGCAUUUUAUGCUCCUAUCAAAUUGCCCCACACUUAGCUUUUGCUAGUCCCUUAGCAAAAUCAAAGACUCAAAACCUAACUAGACUCGAAACCAACUCUAAUGCCCUUAACAAAUUGUCUUAGAAAUCCCCUACUUUCAUAGCACCAAGGAUAACACUCAACCAAGAAUUAAGCUCACAUUCGAGAGUUAAUAAAGACUUAUGUUCAACAUAGCACAAGUAAGACUUAGGACAGAACAAUGGUGAUGGUUAGAGCUCAACAUGCAUAAGACAAAUCAUGAUUUCACCUCACAAGGAUUGCACUCUUUCUUCUCUCAAGAUUCAAGGUAUGCUUAAAAGCUUUCACUCAAGUGUAUGCGAGAGAUCAAAAUAAAAAUCAACAAAUAGCUCACAUACGUAAGAAAGGAAAAAGGCUCAACGAAAAACAUGAUUUAUAAUCCCAUGAAGGAAAUCAAAUACUUGCCAAAUGGACCACAAUAUGCUCAACUUUUGCACCUAACUCCACAGAUCAUAGUUUUCCCAUCUCAAGGAUCAAGUAGGUCUUUUUCAAGGUUGUAAUGGGGCUAGGCUUAGGGUUACAGAAACAAGGGGAUAGGAAUUCAAACAAGUAUCCUAAAACCUAGCAGAGCUUUCAUUGAUGUAGAGAGAUUCCUCUUGUGCUCUUACAACCAUCAAGGUCUCCUUGUAACUUCAUUGUGUCAUUAAAUGCGGCCGAAUGUCAAUGAGUUGGGCCGUUGCUUCAUUCUAAACACUUCAAGAAAUUAAGCUCGAUGUUCCUCACAAAUUCUUUUUCUUUAGUUCUUCUCUUCCUGCCCGUUUAAAUUCUACUUGUUUUUUUUUUCUUUUUUUUUUUCACGGCCAGGGAUUGCAAUCCAGCUUGACUCCUCCCCCACACUUAUUCUUCUUCAUCAUCUUCGUAUCGCCUUGAUUUUGCAUAAAUCUCAUGUAUAGCUCUACUAGAUUCCAGAACAAGGGUAAGGAUAUAGCUAUACUAAAGCUCAAGGUCAAGAUAAUAAGGGUGAUGACAAAAAGGUCUAAAACAUAGGCUCAAUGGGGUUAAUCUAAGGGGUGUACAUCUUGUGUACACAACUGGGGACACAGGUUGAUUUGGCUUUGGUGGAGAUCCUAAGUGCCUCAAUCCCUUCCUCAAUCAGGGCAUGUCAUGACUAAAAGUUUUGAAAGGUGGCAAAAGCGAGUUCUAGUAAACUCUCUAGUCUAUUAAACUUAAUCUGCAGCAAGCAUUCAAUCAUGAAAGAAUAAUGGGAUUUAGCAACAAGCAUAUCAUUGAAAAUCGAGUAAUGAAUUUCAAAAUCUCUCCAAAGAAAGGCAUUAAGAUCAAUAAUCUGACAAGGGUUAUUUUGAAAUCACAAUCUGAAAUAGCAUGUUCAAAAAUUCUAUACCAAAGUCUCAAGCCAUAUCUACUACAAGUACGCAUGCAUCACAUAAGACUCGAUUAACCAAAGAAUAUUAUGCUCAUCAUCUCAAAUUAAUGAUCAUCUUUUUGCCAUGAUUUCAGAAGAUUAGUAUCAUCCUAGACUUGUUAAGGGCUUCUACGACUCAAAAACUAAAAACAAAAACACAAACACAAACACAAAUUUUUUAUUUUUUUUAAUAAAAUUUGUGACUAACAAAAACAAAACAAAACACAAAAUGCGUGCAGUCUCUUCCCCCACACUUGAACAAUGCAGCGAUCUCGAUGCAAGAACAAUAUAGAUCAUGCAAUGAUAACAUAUGUAUGGAGGAAAGUGAGCAAAACAAGAGACUAAGAAAAGAAAGUUCAGAAAAGCUCCCCCUUUUUCUGCUCUGAAGCCAACUUCCAGAGCAUAUAAUAGCUGGUUGCAGCAUCCAAUGUCUGAGAUUGCAAUUGGAGAGGAAAUAUGGCAUUGCGAGCUUUAUGUGGAUAUAUGGUACGUUUCCUAACUCCAAAUGAAUUGAAAAUGACAGCCCUGCAAAGUUAGAAGAAAAACAGAAUUCGCACAGAAAAGCUGAAGCAAGGACCUUUACCCAUUCAAACCUAAUUUCCAAUGAGUUCUGGUGCCGGAAUGUAAAAGUACCUCAAAGCAAAGUUGAAGCUGACUCAACAAGCUUUCUGGGCAUGUAUGGUUGUUCUUUACAGAAUUUCCGGAAGUAUCCCCUGUUUUGACCUUUUUCCGGCUGUACUGCACACUUCUGGUUUCCUGGCAGUGACCUUUCUUCCUUCAAUGUCGAACUCGGAGUAACUCAGAUCUCCAAAUUCACUUCUGUAAAAUCCUACAAAAACGAGACUGAGAGAUCUUUCUUUUCAUAUAAAGCACAUAUUCCCAGGUCUUGUGAGCUGCAAACAGUAGCCCUCCAAAGUUGGCAGACUGCUUUUUGCAAGAUCACUGUUUUUGCAUAACUUGGAGUUUUCUUCAACUUUUCUCAACUCUAACCUGCACACACACAAAACACAUCAAAAUGAACAAAAACAAAACAAAUAAAACACAGAAGAUAAAGAUGGUUGGGUUGCCUCCCAACAAGCGCUGAUUUAGCGUCUUCAACCAGACGGAGUUUCUUCUUUAGUCCACAGGGGGUGAUUCAUUGCAGAGGUUCUCCUCCUCUACAUUGUGCUCNNNNNNNNNNNNNNNNNNNNAAUCAUCUUAUCAUGGAAAGUCUUUAAGUUUUCUCUUUGUAAAUUCGUGCACUCUCAUAUGCAUCAUUCCGUAGUUCUUCCAACUCACUAAUUUGAAGCUUGCGGUGUAGUCCAGCCUUGUCAAUGUUCAUAUUGAACUCUUUAACAGCCCAAUAUGCCCUAUGCUCGAGCUCAAUUGGCAGAUGGCAUGCUUUGCCAUAAACAAGCCGGAAAGGCGACAUGUCAAUGGGUGUCUUGUAUGCAGUUCUAUAUGCCCAAAGUGCAUCAUCAAGGCGUUGGCUCCAAUCCUUCCUGUUUGGGUUGACAGUUCUCUCUAGUAUCUUCUUGAUCUCACGAUUUGAAACUUCUGCUUGUCCACUCGUCUGAGGAUGAUAAGGUGUGGAAACCUUAUGUGUAAUGUUGUACUUCCGUAGCAGAGCUUUAAUUGAUUUGUUGCAAAAGUGUGAUCCUCCAUCACUGAUGAUAGCUCUUGGCAUUCCAAACCUAGAAAAUAUGUUAGAUCGAAGAAAAUCUGCAACAACUCGAGAAUCGUUAGUACGGGUGGCUUUUGCUUCCACCCAUUUCGACACAUAAUCCACAGCAAGGAGUAUAUAAAGAAAACCUUGGGAUGAAGGAAAAGGUCCCAUAAAGUCUAUACCCCAAACAUAAAAAAUUUCAACAACCAAGAUUGGAGUUAAGGGCAUUUGGUUUUUAGGUCCUAGGUUUCCAGAUCAUUGACACCUAUCACAAGUCAUACAAAAAGUAUAUGCAUCUUUGAACAAAGUAGGUCAAUAAAAUCCGGAUUCUAACACCUUGAGAGCAAUCUUUUUAGAGCCAAAGUGACCACCACAAUUCUCCGUAUGACAAAACGACAAUAUAUGAUUAAAUUCAGAAUCAGGCACACAUCGUCUUAUCAAACCAUCAGCACAAAAUUUUCACGAAUAAGGAUCAUCCCAAACAAAACGGUUUGCAUCUCUUUUCAGUUUAUCCUUCUUAGCAUGCGACAAAGUGUUUGGCAACUUCUUAGACACUAAAUAGUUCACAAUAUCAGCAUACCAAGGAGUACUUACCUCAAGUCCAAAGAGUUGCUCGUCUGGGAAGGUCUCAAUUAAAGGAAUGGCAUCCUUGUCAUGCACUAUGCGACUCAAAUGAUCUGCCACAACAUUCUCGCUUCCCUUCUUAUCUUUUAUUUUGACAUCAAAUUCUUGGAGAAGGAGAAUCCAUUGAAUCAGCCUUGGUUUCGCCUCCUUCUUUGAGAAUAAAUACUUCAAAGCUGCAUGAUCAGUAUAAAUGACGACUUUAGUUUGAAGUAAAUAUGAUCUAAAUUUUUCAAGAGCAAAAACAACAGCUAAUAAUUCUUUUUCUGUUGUGGAGUAAUUCAAUUGAGCAUCAUUCAAAGUCCGAGAGGCGUAGUAGAUCGCGUAUGGCUUUUUGUCUUUUCUUUGACCAAGAACGGCGCCUACGGCAUAAUCGGAAGCAUCACACAUGAGCUCAAAGGGUAAGGACCAAUCUGGGGGCUGCAUUAUGGGUGCUCUAGUCAAUAAUGUCUUCAACUUCUCAAAGGCAGCCUUGCACUCGUCAUCAAACACAAAAGGGACGUCUUUCUGGAGCAGCAUUGUAAGGGGUCUUGCAAUCCUUGAAAAAUCCUGGAUGAAUCUUCUGUAAAAUCCUGCAUGACCAAGAAAAGAACGAACCUCUCUCACAGAUGUGGGAGGUGGUAAGUAGCGUACCAAAUCCACCUUAGCCUUAUCUACUUCAAUUCCCCUAGAAGACACAAUAUGCCCUAACACAAUUCCUUGUGUCACCAUGAAGUGACAUUUUUCCCAAUUUAAAACCAAGUUAGAUUCAAUGCAACGCUUUAAAAUCAAAGAAAGGUUUUCAAGGCAUUCAUCAAAAGUUUUUCCAAACACACUAAAAUCAUCCAUGAAAAUUUCUAUGAUUUUCUCAAUGUAAUCAGAAAAGAUGCUUACCAUACAUCUCUGGAACGUACCUGGUGCAUUGCAGAGUCCAAAAGGCAUCCUCCUAUAGGCAAAAGUGCCAAAGGGGCAUGUGAAUGUUGUCUUUUCUUGAUCUUCUUGCGCAAUAGCAAUCUGAUUGUACCCUGAAUAACCAUCAAGAAAGCAGUAAAAUCCAUGGCCCGCUAACCUCUCUAACAUUUGAUCAAUAAAGGGCAAAGGGAAGUGAUCCUUCNNNNNNNNNNNNNNNNNNNNAUUUUUCUAUCAAUCAUGGCAGAGACAUUGGCUCCAACUUUCACCACUUCUUUUUCUCGAAUGUGUCUUCGGGUUGUACACAACUCCUUGAGGAAUUUAGCAUAUUUUGGAACUUGUUUCAAAGCAUCAAGGAGAGGGAUAUUAAUUUGCACUUUCUUGAAAACAUCCAAAAUAGCUUGUUCGUUCUCUUCCUUCCUAGAUUGUGAAAACCUACUGGGAAAAGGCAAACAAGAAGAAGAAUUAGUAUUAAUCAAACUUGAAGGGUCAGAAGGUUCACCUUUUGCGUUGAAAGCUUUGGUCAAAGAUGGUGGCUUCUUUAAUUCUUCAUGCAAUGUUGCUGGAUCUUUCUCUUGUCCUUUUUGCAUGGUGAUAACAUCCUCCUCUUCAUUAACAUGCAUGGGCACCUUCUUUGGCUUCUUUGGAAUGUCAUGAACCACUUUACCACUUCUUGUUGUUAUUGCUUUUGCUUGCUCAAAGGAUGGAUUUGGAAUGGUACCUCCAGGAAGCUUUCCAGGUUCACGGAGCUGGUUUAUAGCAUUCACCACAUCACCUACUUGUUUUUUAAGCUCCUUGAUCUCCAGGCCUUGAUUGUGCUGCCCUUGCAUCAACUAUUGAGUGGAGGUGGUCAAAGCUUCUAACAUCUUGUCGUACUUCUCCAAAAUUGGAGUCAUUGUGGAACCUAAGGCUUGAUGGGAUGCAUAGCUUUGUGUAAACCCCCCUUGAGGACGCUGAUUAAAUCCUGGUGGUGUACGGUUGUUGCCUUGAGAUGCUUGAGAAGGUCCAAGUACGUUGUCAUUGUUACUCCACCGGAAGUUAGGGUGAUUCCUUGGUCCUGGAUACUGAAAAUAUGGAUCGUUCUUUUGAUAUUGCCCUCCUUGCUGAAAAUUUCCUACAGCAUGUACCUCCUCAUCCUCAUAUAAUUGAGGGCAGCGAUCAGUUUGGGGACCCUCCAUUGAGCACACACCACACACCAUGGCUCCAUGCUUCUUUUGACCCAAUACCUGAGAUAACAUAGAUGUGAGAUUUGAUAAUUGNNNNNNNNNNNNNNNNNNNNNNNNNNNNNNNNNNNNNNNNNNNNNNNNNNNNNNNNNNNNNNNNNNNNNNNNNNNNNNNNNNNNNNNNNNNNNNNNNNNNNNNNNNNNNNNNNNNNNNNNNNNNNNNNNNNNNNNNNNNNNNNNNNNNNNNNNNNNNNNNNNNNNNNNNNNNNNNNNNNNNNNNNNNNNNNNNNNNNNNNNNNNNNNNNNNNNNNNNNNNNNNNNNNNNNNNNNNNNNNNNNNNNNNNNNNNNNNNNNNNNNNNNNNNNNNNNNNNNNNNNNNNNNNNNNNNNNNNNNNNNNNNNNNNNNNNNNNNNNNNNNNNNNNNNNNNNNNNNNNNNNNNNNNNNNNNNNNNNNNNNNNNNNNNNNNNNNNNNNNNNNNNNNNNNNNNNNNNNNNNNNNNNNNNNNNNNNNNNNNNNNNNNNNNNNNNNNNNNNNNNNNNNNNNNNNNNNNNNNNNNNNNNNNNNNNNNNNNNNNNNNNNNNNNNNNNNNNNNNNNNNNNNNNNNNNNNNNNNNNNNNNNNNNNNNNNNNNNNNNNNNNNNNNNNNNNNNNNNNNNNNNNNNNNNNNNNNNNNNNNNNNNNNNNNNNNNNNNNNNNNNNNNNNNNNNNNNNNNNNNNNNNNNNNNNNNNNNNNNNNNNNNNNNNNNNNNNNNNNNNNNNNNNNNNNNNNNNNNNNNNNNNNNNNNNNNNNNNNNNNNNNUAAAGUGGGGCUGAUGGGCUCGGCCUCUUCUUGAGCAACUUUUGCUUCUCUUGCUAACCUUCUCUUCUCGCGCACUAGCUUCUCUAUUUCAGUAUUCAAAGGCACUAGUUCACCCUUCGGAUUGUUCCUUGUGUGCAUACACAACAGAAGUUCCCUACAAAACACGUAAAAGAAAAACUUUAGCAACAAAGAAGAAAAUCGACUCUAAACAACUAAUGUGCAAAACUAAAAUUUUACAAUCCCCGGCCAUGCGGCGCCAAAAAUUGGUACGGCUAAAAUAGCCUCACAAUUUAACCUUGUAAAAGAUUGUUGAUUGUAGUAUAAAGAAGCAAGGAUCGUUCAUUGCCAGAGAUUGAGGGUAUUUAAUUUCACACACAAAAACAAUGUCACAAAAGUGUCUACUGUUCCUGACGAACAGCAGACUAAAAUAUAAUUAACUACCUAACCUACACUACUCAGAAAAUUAUGAAAAUUUAUAAAACUAAACUAGACAUACAGAAGAACAUGCACACAAAAUUUGAGGGGAUUUGGAGUUUGUUUACUAUACUAAAUAAAUCACGAAAUACAAAAGACAGAAGAAUAAGAAAACAGUUUUGAUUUGUAGUUUGAGAAAUAUGAUAGAGAAGAGGUUAGGGAUUUAGGAAAUUCACCACCGAAUAUGCUGCAAAACAAAGUCCACACAACCAAGAUUCCAAUUACCAAGUUAUGAAAAGGUUCAAUCAAGAAUAAACCGUGAACGCACCGAGUAAAUUCUUAUUACUUUCCUUAACUACUUAUGCAAGAUGAACGCACCAUUACUAAGCCUUUAGAAUAACCAAUCAAGGUAUAGACGCUAUCCUAUCAACAAGUUAUUCUAAGCAUUAAGAUCAAUGGAAGUGAUUGAACAAGUAUGCAAAACUAGUGUGGAACGCCUACCUAGCAUGCAAGUCUCUCUAUUUGGUUUCACCUAUUGUCCUAUAAGUUUUACUACUUUGAAUUAAGCCGUAUUAACCGUUUAGGAGAUUAAACAACCUAAUUCUAGCCCCACUUACAAGUUCAUAAUGUUCUAUGUAUGCAUCCAUGAACAUAAACAAGCAAGAGUUCUCUAUAAAUCAAAACCAAACAGACAAUCCAACUAAGUAAUUACGAAAUCAUGGUUGUGAGACAAAGUUUAUUGCACAAUUCGGGGCUUCAAACCUCCACCCCUAACUAAGAUAAACUAGCCACACAUCGUUGUAGAAAUCACACAGACAAAAUAAAUUAUAUUCGAAAGUUAAAGAUUACAAAGGGAAGAAGAAAACUGUGAAUGGAAGGAGUUGACGAUGAUCUUGGCGACUUCCCCUUGAUGGAUUCUUGUGCGAUACAGCAACGUGAAGGCUCUAUUGCAGUUUGAUGGCUUAGAGUCGUUCUGGUAUUAGGGUUUUGCUUUAAGUAGUCUCCAAGUCUUCAAAGCUUCCUUUUCAGAUUAUGUUUCCUUCUUUGACUAGAAUCAAUGUUUGGGCCAUCUUUUGAAUGUCUUCCACACAUAAUCUGGGCUUGGCUUUUGGGAAAAUUAUAUUAAUGAUGUCACUCUUCAAAAUCGUGCAAAAACCCCCAAGAAAGCUUCUCAGAAUCCAGUCCAAACACUGCCUCGAACUUGACUGCUGCACAGCUUUCCCGGAACUGCUGAUUUUCUGUCCAACUUUGGAGCUUCAUAACUCCCAGAUGACAUCACCGAUUUGGAUGAUCCUUGAGUCCAAAUUGAUCUACAAAUGCUCCUCUACAAAUCUGGGCAGUCAUCUUGGUGAAAACAAUCUCGAAACCGCAUGGAAAUAAGCCUUGAAAACCGGAGAAAAUAAGCAGAAACCAUUUUUCAGCUUUUUGUGUUUGCAGCUUCUGUUUUGGUGAAGUGGUUCCAUCGCCUUUCCUUCAUAAUUUUGACCAUGUGAAUGAUCAAACUCCAUCCUUGACAUCUCUACUUCGUAUUGGAAGCCUUGCUUGCAUCACUUGAGCACAUAUUUGCAUUAUCUUGCUCCACGAAGUACCUAAGAAGAUAACAAAGUUAAAACGAUCUUUUUAAAGGAAAAUAGCUAAGUUAAAUGCAAAGGUUAAACUAUAAAAUCAUCGCAUUUUAUGCUCCUAUCAGGUGGGCCCAAAGCGGACAAUAUUUCAAUGGUAUGGACUGGGCUGUUAUAGAUGGUAUCAUAGCCUGUCCAUGGCCGGAAGUGUGCCGAUGCGGACAUCGGGCCCCAAAGGGGGGUGGAUUGUGGUGACAUAACUGGGCGGGUACUAAAAGGGCAUUGGCAGGCUAGUAGGUGCAUGCGUUCCACAUCGCCUGGGGGAGACAAGUUGAUGUGCUUAUAUAUGCAAAGCUAACACCUUACAUUGAGACGCGUUGUGGGGUGAAACCUCAAAAACAAAACCGUGAGGGCUGGUGGGCCCAAAACGGACAGUAACGAUCUGAAUGGUAUGGACUUGGUUGUUACAGAUGGUAUCAGAGCCUGACAGCUACUGGAAGUGUGCUGAUGCAGAUGUUGGGCCCCUAAGAGGGGUGGAUUGUGGUGACCUAACUAGGCAAGUGCUAAAAGGGCACUGGCAAGCUAGUAGGUGCACGUGUCCCACAUCGCCCGAGGGAGACAAGUUGAUGUGCUUAUAUGUGCAAUGCUAGCACCUUACGUUGAGACACGUUUUGGGGUGAAACCUGAAAAACAAAACCGUGAUGUCCGGUGGGCCCAAAACGGACAAUAUCACUUGACUGUUACACACCGCCUCCCAAUCACGAUCAAUGACCCACCAAUGGAAGGUCACGCCGCAAGUAGAAAAACCUUGGAUUUUCACGUGUAAGAAGCUGCUCCAAAAAGGUUGGGUGCCAACGCUCUUAAAAAAAAAAAAAGAAUUUUUGUAUUUGCUAACUAUUGUGGUAGAUUAAUAUAAAAUUACAAUUAAAUUAUGAGAUAUUAUUUUUGUAGUGCUCAUAACUUUUGUGACAUCACAAUAUUUUUGAUAAUAACUUGGUCCUAAUUUAGUUAUGUGGCUUAAGUUUCAGUAACUCCUGGCUUUUAGUACCAAACUUUUUUUCUGUUUUGUUUUGAAGAUAUUUGAUAAAUAAUUUUGCUCACUUUUCAUUUGUGACCAACGAUCAUACUAUAGUCACCAUAUAGAAUCAGUGACGUCUUUACAGUGAUUAACAAUAUUUACCGAUCAAAUUCGCUACAUCAAGGACCACUAUUAUGUUUUCAAAGUCAUGUUUUAUUGUAGCGAUUCUAUUUUUUCCAGUUUCCUUCACCAGCUUAAUUUUCCAGGUUUUUUUUUUUUUUUUUUAAAUGAAUAUGUACACGAACAUAAGUUUGUAAAUGUUUUUAUUUUUCCUUGGGUGUACUUAUAGAUUGUUAUCAUGUUAUCGUUAUAUGUUAGAUGCACCAUGUUACGCAAUUCAAUAUAGAAAAGAAAACAUGUAUUUUGUGCCUACAUGAAACAACUUCAGUUUUACAUGAAGUUUAUGUUCGUCAUUCUUUUACUUUUUCUCUUCAUGUUCUAUCUUGUUUCCUGAUAAUUUUUCUUUCCAUUUGUUUGGGCUGCUGCUCUGUUUUCUUGUAAUUUAUUUCCCCAUUUUGGAUAAAAAGUCUUAGUUGAUCAACCUACUAUGUAAUUUUGGAAAUUAAUCAAAUUAUUGUCCAAUAGUUGUUCCCAUAACACAAGCUAAUUUCACUAGACAAAGUCUAAUUGUUGAAAGUAUACUACUUGCUAAAUCAUGAAUCACAACCGAGCCAUAUAUGCCAAUUUAUAAAAGAAUUGCAUCUCCUACAAAAUGAAUAGUAAAAUUGGAAAGAAUUGAUUGAUGACUUCGUAUAUGUCUCUCUAUGAAGCGCUGCAUUCAACUGGGAGACCCUGAGGGAAUCUGUUGACAUCUGUGCAGUAAUUGUAGAUCAUGUAGUUUUUCUGCACCCAACUCAUCUUCUUUUGACUUGUACUGUCCAAUUCUUGCGAAAGCCAAUCGCCAUUAGUGGAAGAAGGGGCAUUGCUUGAGCCGCAAGAAGAUGAUCCAGACGCCCAAAUGCAAGCUUCAGCAUUGAAAUUCCUGUAAGAGGCAGUGAAAGGAGCUGCAUUCCACUCCGUCUUCACACGUCCACUCAUUGUCGCCCAAUCGUCGGCAUUCCAAAGGCUCGAGUGUAUUCUCAUUGCUUGGCUGUUUGGGAAUGGAACACCAUUUGAUUCUUGGUUCUUGAACUCUCUAAUGGGGGUUCCAUCAACAGAGAAACUGAAACACAGACCAAAGUAAAUUGGUCAAUGUAUAUAUAUAUAUAUACACACACUAUUGGAGAGGAGAGAUCCCACAUUGGAAAAGUGACAAAUAAAAUAUAAUUUAUAAGUGGGUGGAUCAUUCUUAAUUGUACCGAGGCCUUUUGUGGUUAAAACUCUUUGUUGUUAAAACCCAACACCUUAAAGGUGGUUAAGUUGGGACAGUAUCGGUACACGGAUGAUCCACGGGCCACGCUUGUCGCUGUUUGACAUGGUAUCAGAGCGGAUCCCUCUCCAGUUGCGUCUCCACGAGCCUGGGUUGGUUCUUUCAAGGGUCAUGGCCCUGGUUUGAUUCUUUUGAGUUUGGAGUUAAUUCAGUCUAGUUUGGUUCUUUCGAGUUUGGGGUUCUUUCAGUUGUCAUGAGGAGUUUGGGGUUCUUUCAGUUGUCAUGAGGAGUUUGGGAUUCUUUCAGUUGUCAUAUAGCCCGGGUUCAGUUUCAGUUUGUUAAUCAGUUUCACGUGCAGACCCACACGUGAGGGGGAGUGUUGGAGAGGAGAGAUCCCAUAUUGGAAAAGUGACAAAUAAAAUAUAACUUAUAAGUGGGUGGAUCAUUCCUAAUUGUACCGAGGCCCUUUAUGGUUAAAACCUAACACUUUAAAGGUGGUUAAGUUAGGACAGUAUCGGUAUAUGGAUGAUCCAUGGGCCAAUCUUGUAGAACGUCCGUGAAAUUAAGAGUGCGAACGACGCAACGUGUCAACCAGUCAUUGGUUUUCUGCAAAAGACUAAUAUACGGUGAAAUUUUGUGUAUAUAUAUAUAUAUACAGCCAAGAUCAGAAGAGGACGUCCGUGAAAUUUUGUAGACAUGUUUCUUGCAUAUGAAUCUAGAGGAUCAACGGUUGAGAUCGUUAAAUGAAAUCAUCUACUAAUGUUAAAUAAUAGAAAUCUUUAAAUUCUUAAAGUAAGGAGGUCCUCUUUAGAUCCUCCCUCUAUAUAUAUACAGAAAAGUUCUGAAAUGGACGUUCGCACUCGGCUUAAAGUACGGACAUCCCUCCUUUCUUCACCGGACGGCUUCGACGACGGCGCGCCUCCACCCAUGCAGACACCAGAGGUAUCCCCGACCAUUAUCCCUUCCCGGCGAGUCCGCCGAAUUUUAGUUUUUCUGCGAGAUCGAUCUUGUGUGAAAUUUUUGGUGGAUGUUGCUGCCUAGACCUUCAAAUCGAUCUCGCCGGGAAGGAAAAGUAGUCGGGGAUGCCUUUGAUGUCCACUCGGUUGGAGACGCGCCGUCGUCAGAACCGUCCGGUGGAGAACAGAGGGACGUCUGCACCAGAACGUGCUUAUAUAUAUAUAUGUUACAGAAACGUAGUAACAAUAGUAGUGAAACUAAUGUCAUUUAAUUGUAACAAAAUUUGGAUAUUAGCGGGUGCUUACACAAAUGCGCUGUGGAUUCCAGAGAAUGGAAUAGGUGUGGAAAUCAACAGUUGGGUCGAACCAGAGAUAGAACUGCUGCUCUCUGUUACCUUUGCCUUGGCUGAACACAUUGGUGUGAAGAAUGUAAGGGUUGCCACUCAGGUUUCCCAAGAACUCAAAGUCUAUCUCGUCCCAUGUAGACCCUUCUGAUUUUAACUGCACAAAUUAAUUCAGGAAACGUCAUGAAUCACUCUGACCAUAUUAAUUCCCAAAAAGAAUCUGAGACAUGCAGGAUAGGUUGAAGCAAAGUGAAAGAAUAUAAGAUGAAUACAUACAUAGUAGGCAGUGACGGUGCCAGCAGAGUUUCCGGGGACAAGCUUGAGCUGCAUGUCAAUCUUGCCAAAGAGAUAUUCAUUUGUGGAUUCAAAACCAGAGCCAGAGGCUUUGUCGAGGGAGAGAGUAAGAAGUUGGCCGUCGUUGAAUAUCUUUGCUCGACCGUCCCCCCAUGUAAUCUUAAAGUCUUGGUUGAAGUUACCCGCAGAGGCAACCAUAACAAAGCUAGCAAGCAGAAAUGGUACAAACAGAAUCAUUGAAGUUGAAGAAGCCAUGUGAAAAUUAGUAAGUACGACUAUGGAAAUGGAAGGAUAUGGUUAUGAAUGAGAGAAGUUGGCAUGUAUGGGAUGGUAUUUAUAGGACACGAAUGAGCUUAUGAGGAAGAACUCGGGAAGGUUCAGUCAGCUGUUGACAGUGAAAAGUAAAGAAGGAGAUAGCUGUAAAGAUUUGGGUAGUAAUUGUCGAACACGAACGUAAAGAGCCAUCUUUAUUGAAAAAAGGAAGUUUCAGAGGGGUCGAGGUUGAAUAGAGUAAAGGGCAAUAUAUGACCGUGUUGAAGAACUUAUUAUUGAUCAACGCAGGUGAUCCAGCUAGCACAUUAUAUGCCAGCUUCGUCUAACGUUAGAUAAUGUUGCAUGCGCACCACCAUAUUAAAGAUAGAAAUAAAGACCCUAUAGUGCAAGCAUAUGUAUUCGUUUAAAACAGAAAGAUCCCAAGUGUCACGCGUUUCUUUCUCUUUUUUGCUAACUUAUUUUGCUGGAAAUGGAGCAAUUAAUUAGGAACUUAUCUAACAUUCUAACAAAAUAUGUAGAUGCUUAUACUGAUUCUGACUAGCAACCUAAUUAAGUAGACUUUUAGGUGACCUAAUAUAUACCUAAAGAAAUUUAGAGGGAACGAUGUUGUUUUUCUGAUAUAUUGAAGUAUUUAAUUAUGCAGACCUCUUCUACUAGUGUUUCGUUAUUAUGACUUAUAUGAGAGACGAGACAUUAGGCUAACUUGUCGAUCACAUUUUCACAUCUUGAUCGUUCACUUUAUAGGUCUCUAUAAGUCUAUAUAUACUAGUAGAUCACUUUUGGAAUUUUUGAGCCAUAUUAGUGAUCGUGAAAGUUUCGAAGUAGCUUAAUUAGAUCAAUGGACAGAUCGAAUCUGCCAAACCUGAACCGUUCAUGCAAAUUCCAGUUUUGAACAUCUUAAUGAUCACUAAUUUAGAUGAAAUUUUAUAAAAAUAAAUGGGUUAAGAUUGAAAAAUAUGAUAAAAAAAUUGACCUGGCUCACAUAAGCCACAAUAAAAAUCCCUUAAUGAAAGAGUCCUAUUUAACUAUUAUUCAUUAUAACUGAGGAUGCAUAAGAAAACGAUCCUUCACGCACUAGCAAAAACAGAGGGAUAUAAAAUAAGGGACCGUGACUCUAUUCUUCUGUGUUGAUGCGUACAGAACAUCAUGUGUAGAAAAACAUGAACAGGUUAAAAAAGUUACAAAGGCACACAUCAAAUUUUGGAACAAAUAAAUUGAUGUUUUAAAAGCGCGUUUGGUGAUGAUGAUCAUUUUGGGGGUUUGGAUGUGGUUUGGUAGUGCGAUUCUGGACAGCUAACAGUAUACUACUUUUUAUGUAAGCCGCCAACAACUGUCCACAGCAAAGUUGACGGAACCUUCCUUCCAAACUUCCCUUCACUCUUCCUCCCAGUCCCAGCUAGCUGAAGCAUAUGCCCAAUUGCCCAUGCAUCCUCCUCUAUAUAUACCUAGCUACCUACUCUUCUACUUCAUACUCAUCCAUCCUUCACCUUCUUCUCUCUUCAUUACCACUUCAUCUCCAACACUUGUCACUAGCUAUGUCUUCUUCCACUACUUCAGUAGUGUUGCUGAUCAUUCCUCUACUUGUAGUUAGCUCUUUCAUAGUUGCCUCUGCUGGUAACUUCAACCAAGACUUCAAGAUUACAUGGGGCGACGGUCGAGCCAAGAUACUCAACCACGGUCAACUUCUUACUCUCUCCCUCGAUAAAGCCUCUGUCUCUGGUUUUGAAUCCACAAACGAAUAUCUCUUCGGCAAGAUUGACAUGCAGCUCAAGCUUGUUGCAGGAAACUCUGCUGGCACCGUCACUGCCUACUAUGUAUGUCCAUCAUCUUAUAUUCUGUCACUUUGCUUCAACCUAUCCUGCAUGUAUCAGAUUAUUUUUGAGAAUUAGUAUAGUUAGUUAGAUCGAGUUCUUAAUAUUGUUUCUUUAAUUAACUUGUGCAGUUAAAAUCAGAGGGGUCUGUUUGAGCCCAGUAGAUAUUUUGGUCCAUGACUCGGAAUAAGUUUUAGAUAACAUUUGAGCCAAUAUCUGUGACCCUUUUUUAUUGUAAAGCCUAUGAAGGGUGGCGAGCUUCGGAGGCUCGCGAGGUAAGGAUUUGACCAGGACUUCGAUACCUUGCGGGAUCCUUGUUUCAGUUCGCGUAGGAUUCUGCAGUUCAUGGCGAGGUAGAGUCGGAUAGGGAUUAUAGCACCUCGCGGGAUAAGAUCGCUUAGUGUUCGAGUUCGCGUACAACGCUACAGUAAGAUAACGCGGGGUGGUGAGAGAGACCUAGGCGGAGUCUGUUCUGGACACGUGUCGCAUGGAUAGCGCGGUUCGCGAGCUGGUCGUAUCCUUGUGGAAUUCUAAUUGCUGAGUCCGAAUGGGUUUGUGGUUAUGUCUCUGCUAACAGCUUGCGGGUCGCUAUAUAAGGGAGUUUGAGGAUCUGGUCUCUCCACAUAAUCAAAUCAUACAAAACUACAAACAAAUCUUCGAGCAUCCUCGAAACCCUAAAAGUUUUAAGUGCAUCUCACCUUGGUUCUCAGAGCCCGUUUGGACUCGCCCUUUCUUCCUAAUUGUUGCUCUGCUCGCUCUAACAGUGAGUAUCGAUUCACAGGUGACCAGAGGUUUUGCUCGUAAUUCCUCGUCCGCGAGGUAGCACCGGAAACCCAUUUCGCUUGAUUAGAAGUCCAGCGCAGCGCACUCUUUCCUCGUCCGCGAGGUGGCACACCCCGCAACCUUGUUUUUUACUUUUGAGUCACCGGAGUCCCGACUCUGACCCUGUUGAGAUGCCUGGCCAAAUCAUUGGCACGCCCAGUGGGACCGGGAGUAUAAUAUUCUUGUCACCAUUGGGAAGUCAGGCGAAUCCCCAUACAGGAAACCCUCGAUUUCUUGUCUCAAACACAAGUCACCACGUUACCAACCUCACAACAGCGGCUUGUCGCUCGCUCACCAAGGAUGAAGUCCUAACUCGGUUCGGGAAUCCAGAUUUCAACGAACCAACGAUGGUAGGACCGACACCCGCCAACAACUCUGGUCCCAGCACGCCCACUAAGGACCAGAUCCGCCAGAUGGACGCUCACCUAGCAGCUAUGGUUGAGAGCCUAAAGGCUCAUACCGAUCAGGCAACCCGCCAAUUGAAGGAAGAGUUCGACUCCCUCAACUCGAAAGUCGACACCCUCACCGAGCAAGUCAAGAAAGAUAAGCCUCUAUGGCAGACUAACCAAGAGAACCUCGUCGUACUCAACGAGGAUUUUGGCCAUCAUGCAGGCCAAUGCACAGAGAACAAAGCCUUGGUCGAAGGAUCACUUCAACGGAUCCGAAAGGAUCUGCUUGAUAACAUAGAGGCUCUGAAGCUUGCCCGCACAACCGUGGAUGAGCAAACUCGUCGUUUUGACGAACACGACACCAAGCUACAACAACAACAGAACGCUUCCUUCUUCGUAAGUAAGAAUGGCCUAGAAAAGCUUGAAGACUACAAAGAACGGCAUGAUAAUCUGAGCUUAAGGGUCCUGCAGGUAGAAGAUUGGAUGCGGUCUCAGGCACCAAAAAAUCCUACCCUAAACUAUUCUACUACAGGAGCAACCGAGGGCUUAAGGUACAUUCCACUUAAUGAACACCCAAGGGGAAAUCCGAAGGUCGGGGCUCAGAAGACUCCCCAAUCCACAUUGGAGGCCAGUUCGUCAAAGACGCCACCCCUUCUACCUCCGCCGUACAGCCCUGGAGUCACGCUAAGGAGCGCUGGUAGCUCUCCAUAUCAGGGGACCGGGACACCAGAUGACCCAGUUAUAGCUUAUUCCAAUUCAUCCCCUAAGAACAUCAUGCAGGCCCCUAGCCUCUCUGCAUGGCACAACCACGAUUAGGGGGCAGAGUCCACACCAGUAACGGCAGCUGAUUGGCGCCAGCUCAUCUCGAGCAUAGUCAAGGAGCAAACCGGAAAAGGUGAGUCUAACUUGCAUUAUCGUGACCCUACCCUAAUAGCGUGGCACAAUAUCCCUUCCCUUAGGGGUUUAAGAAUAUUGUCUUCACCACUUUCUCUGGGGAGAGACAAAGGAUGUCACAGCCCGACCCUUAUAUUUUUACCUUAUUUACUAGCGUGAUUAUAAUAAGAAUUUUACCGUCUCGAUCAUUGAGUAAACAGUUUAAUUGGUCCCUAGAGGGGUUUCGGGGACGAUUAUGUGCGGAGGAUUAUUAGUAUGAGGGAAAUACGACGACGGUAAAAAUGGUAAAUUUUAGCUAGUAAAAGGUAAUUUUUAUUCGGGUAUUAUUUUUUUCGGGGUGUUUUUAUUUUUGGAAUUUGGGUUGAUAUAGGUUGGACCGGUUUGGGGUGUGAGGCCCAAACCCACUCUUUUUUUCCUCCCGAUUUUCUCUCCUCACCCCUCCCGCACCCGAGCCUCUCGCUGCCCGGUUUUCCGGCCGUCCUCCCGCCGCCGUCCGGCCACCAACCGCCGCCACACCGGUCCCGUUCGGUCGACCUCCAACCCAGCAACCUCCCUGGACCGGUGAGAGGAGCCCUAGCUCCGCCGUGAGAGAGCGGUGCCACCCGAAAGGUCCGACUGUCCAAAGCUUCACUUCGCCGGAACUUCCUCCUCCGGCCACCAAUCUGGGCAAGCUUGGUACGGUUUUGUAGCCCUCCUCCCAUGCAACAACCCCUCCAAGCAGCUCCCUCCCUCUUGAGCUAGGUAAGGAGAAAUGUGGAGUUGAAAUUUCUAGGCUUUUAAGUGUUUUCGUUCGAUUAGCCUAGUUAGGCUUGGAAUUGGGUGAUGUGUUGGUCAUGAAAGUUGUAGAGCAUGAUGAGGAGAUUAUCUGUCAAAAUUUCAUAGGUUUNNNNNNNNNNNNNNNNNNNNNNNNNNNNNNNNNNNNNNNNNNNNNNNNNNNNNNNNNNNNNNNNNNNNNNNNNNNNNNNNNNNNNNNNNNNNNNNNNNNNNNNNNNNNNNNNNNNNNNNNNNNNNNNNNNNNNNNNNNNNNNNNNNNNNNNNNNNNNNNNNNNNNNNNNNNNNNNNNNNNNNNNNNNNNNNNNNNNNNNNNNNNNNNNNNNNNNNNNNNNNNNNNNNNNNNNNNNNNNNNNNNNNNNNNNNNNNNNNNNNNNNNNNNNNNNNNNNNNNNNNNNNNNNNNNNNNNNNNNNNNNNNNNNNNNNNNNNNNNNNNNNNNNNNNNNNNNNNNNNNNNNNNNNNNNNNNNNNNNNNNNNNNNNNNNNNNNNNNNNNNNNNNNNNNNNNNNNNNNNNNNNNNNNUCGCCAGUAGGUUACCUGUUCAACCUACUCGUGUUUUCUUGCUUCCGCUUGUGUUUAGUAGCUCUGAAUACUUUAGAAUUUUUGUAUAUUAUGUGAUGUUCAGAAGUGUUAAAUUAAGAGUGUAAUAUGAAAUUUUCGAGUUAGGGUUGUCCAUCUGCAAGGGAGAUUUUCUUAAUCUUUUCAGUAAAUUUUCCUUGGAGGUGGUCCCCGCACGACUUACUCUGGGUUUCAGGGUGAAAUUCGGGGUGGGUCGUGUCUGUUGGUAUCAGAGCUAUAGGUUUCCUUUUCCUGCUUCCUUGUCACUAUCACAUUUGCCUAAGUAGCAUGUAGUGUCUAUAGAGUGAUGAUCCGACCGCGGCGGAUUCAUUGGCAUUUUAUGCUUUUGAUGCUAUGUGUUAUUGGGUAUAUGUGAUUAUUGUGUUAGUCUUGUUUAUGGACUACUAAAUUUCUUCUUCCUCAGGUACUAUGCCUCCUAGGCGUCCACGGCAACCCCGUGUGGCUACUUCGACCAAUGCCGAUGAGGGCAAUGAGGUCAGGGGACUAGUUGAUGAUAUUGGGAAUAUGCUAAGGGAUGUCAUGGAUCGAGCUCCACAACCUCAUACAGUGAAGAUGAGAGAAGUUUAUGAGGCUGGAGCAAGAGAGUUCAAGGGUGCCAAGGGACCCCUUGAUGCUUAUACUUGGGUGGACAAAAUGGAAAAGGCUUUUGCGAGCACAGAUUUGCCAGAAGAAAGGAAGGUGAAGAUGGCAGUAACUUUCCUGGAUGAUUCAGCACAUCACUGGUGGUUGCUUGCCAGCAGGAAUGUUGAGGAUGCGCUGAAUAUGUCGUGGGAGCAGUUUAAGACUCUCUUCUUGGGGCAAUAUUUCAGUCCUGCCCACCGCAGCAGAAUUCAGUCAGAUUUCCUGAAUAUGAAGAAGAGGGAUGAUGAGGGUGUUAUAGAGUUCCAGGAGAGAUUCACUUCCCUGAGCUAUCAUGUGUCAUAUCUGGUUCCUGAUGAGAGGACCAGGAUGGAGAUGUUCAUUGGGGCUCUUGGUGGAGUGUUUGCAGAUAAGAUGAUGAGUGUUUAUUACCCGACUUUCUCUGAUGCUGUUCAUGCAGCCAUGGCCAUCGAGUCUAUGGGGAUUUAUAGUGCUCGGCCACGAGAUUUCGGUGGCCCCAGUCAGGGUCCAUCCAAGAAAGCUGCUUCAUCAUCCGCUUCAAGUUCAUCAGCUGGUAGUGGCAGUAGUGGGGGAUCAGGUUCUCAUUCUCGGUUCAGGGUUAGAGGACGUCACAGGAGACCUGCUAGGAGCCAGUUGGGUAGGCAGCAGUCUGGGCAGUAUGGUUCGGGUGGCAGUUUCCAUGGUGGGUCAUCCGGUAGCCAGACUUUUUCNNNNN